RNAcentral lists this long non-coding RNA (131510 nucleotides) under Vitis vinifera (wine grape). RNAcentral describes it as "long non-coding RNA (VVIN_LNC004796)". Lineage: Eukaryota; Viridiplantae; Streptophyta; Magnoliopsida; Vitales; Vitaceae. The record is from RNAcentral.
UGGGUUUGUUUUGGUUCAUGAUAUAUUGCAUGGUAUGUGUAUGAUUAUUUGGUUCAUAGCAUAUUGCAUAAUCAUGUUCAUGGGGAUGUUUAGUUCAUACCACCUUCAUGGGAUGUUGUAUGGCAUGUGCAUGACUUUAUUUUGGAAUACUUGAAAGACUAAUUGGACUCUUUUGAUUUUUGGUAGGACUCUUGUGUGAAACCAAGGUUUGGUUAAUAUUGAUUUUGAUGAUAACAAAACAAGGUUUAGAACUAAUGAUCAUAUUUCAAGUGUAAUUAGGCAAGAUGAUUUCCAAAGUGGCAAUCACAAAGACAAAUCAAGUCAAGGAGAAAUCAUGAAGAAGAAGACCACCUCAAAGAGAAGUGUAUUCAAGAUCCAAGCUUCAUAAGAUCUCUUUGUAAGGUUGUUGGUGCACUAGGAUUUUCAUGCAUUACAUUAUUUACUUAUGCACCAAAAUCAUCCAAUAGUUAUUUUGUUUUAAAUAUCUUAAGAAUUGGAUGAUUUCAUGUUUUCAACUAAAAUCUUGUGUUAAAUGUUUUUCAAAUUUGUUUUAAAAGGUUUUAAAGUUGAAAAAGUUGGGUAUUGAGCCAAAAAAUGGCUCAACUGGUUCAACCGGUUGAGGAACAGGUCGACUGGUUGUGAUCGUCCGGUCGAGUAUCGGUCGAGGAAGACCAAAAAGUUUCUCUCUCUCCCAGUGGCCUUCUCUUCCCAAUCGAUGACCGAUUGAGGCCCAACAGUUACCUGCCAAGCAUUUAAUGCUAACGGCUAGUCAACCAGUCGACCCUUAGCUCGACCGGGCUGAACCCCCAAAUGGCUAGUUUGGUUUUUCUCUUCUAUAAAAAGGUUCCAAUCUUCAUUGUUUAAAGAGCUUAACCUUUCCAAAUCCUUCUUGAUUAUAUUUGAGCCUUGGAAGAGAAUUUUUGAGUGCACCAUUAUUUCAAAACUUGCAUAUCUUUAGUGCACCAUUCAAUCCUAGUUUUUCUUGUAUCAUUUGAGCUUAAAGUUCUUGUGCUAGGAUUUUUGUGAGAUCUUUUAUUUGUAAAUCCUUGAGAGGAAGUUGUUCAAGAGUGGGAUAUCUCUUGAGAAGUGUAAAGGGUGCUUGGAGCCAAAAGUCCAAGAUGGUGAAUUGGACCAUAAUCCAAUUGUAUUGCUUGAAGGCUUGGUUUGGAAGCCUUGGAUUAGUGGAACCUUAAGCUUGGGAUUGAAGUUAGAGGAGAGUGGAUGUAGGCCGGGUUGCGCCGAACCACUAUAAACUCUUGUGUUUGCAUUCUCUCUUCCCUACUCUUUAAUUUAUAUGCAAUUGUCUAUAUAUUGCUUAUUAUAUACUUGCAUAUAAUUGUCUCUUACAUUCACUUGUUUAAAUUUGCGAAAAUAGACCAUCCCCCUAUUCACCCCCCCUCUAGGGUGAUUACCUUAGGUUGGAUUAGCCCUAAUUUCCUAACAUCUAAGACCAUGUUUGAGAGUUUAAGGAAAUCUAAAUUCUAAGAGAUAUUCAUGAUAUUAGAGAUUGACACAGCUUGGAGAGAAUGAUGGUUCAUGGUUUGAGGAUUUUUAGAAAGAGAGGUAGUCGUGCAUGGAUAAGGAAGGGCUAUCAAAUCGAUUUUAAAGGGAAUCACAAGGCUACGUAUUGAAUAUAGAAGAUCAUGGGGUUGCAUAUUGGAUUUGGUUUACUGUGCCUUUAUAAUAAAAAUUUGAUUUGACUUACUUAGUAUGCUUCUAAAAUUUUUCUUGUGAUUGUAUGGUAUUGUACACCCCUCGAAUAUGUUUUUAGAAUUUUAUUUGAAUCAAAAAUCAAAUUUCAAAUAGGAUAUAUGAACUAAUAUUUUAGUAGGUUUAGUUUUCACCUAGUUCUGGACAUCUAAAUUGUUUCUAUAAAUUUAAAUUAUUUUUUGACCUUAUAAAAUUGUUUGUAUUUUUUUCUUUAUUUUAGACUUCUCAAAGUUAAUUUUAGUUUCUUGUUUCAUUAAAAACCAACUCCCUAAGAAACAUUUUUCCUUUUUCACACCUAUUACACUAAUUUGAUUUUGAACAAAGGGGAUAUUUGGUUGAAUUUAAAAAUGAUCCAUGUGUACAGUUGCCUUGCCAUUAUUUUUUUAUGUAAAUUAGACACUUUGAAAAUAUUGUAUGAUUUUUGGUAGGAUCUUAUCACACAUUUGGAUAAGAUAGGAUUUUAUCCCAUCUUGAACCAUUUGGAGAUUUUUGAAAACUCGGACUAAUUGGGGUCUUAAUAAAUUGUUUGGCCACUUGGGUGGUAAUCUAGACACAUAGGAAAGACUCCUCAAUUUUUAUUUUAUUUUUUAAUAGUAAAAUUCCCCUUCUAGAUAUUUUUUUAGGAUUUGUUUUGUGAGACCUUCUAUUCUAAUUGCAUGUUGGUAAUUGUCACACCCCUGAAGAUCACACUUAAUUUUUCACGAGUGCGCAGUGUUAAGAACCCUUCCUUAGCCAACCUUCCUUAGCCAACCUUCCUUCCCAGCUUUUAUAGAAACCGAGCAGAAGCAAAGUAAAAGCAUAGUAAGAACAAAGCAACAGGGACACACACGAGGUUACGGGAACCUUUACCCAACUUGUAUUAUUUCACUCUACAAGACAAAAUCGUUUUCCUGAACUAGAGUACAAUGCUCACACCCAAGCAUACGAGAAGAACCCUAUCCCCCAGAUUCUCUCUCUCUCUGUUUCAAGGCUGUAGGAGCCCUUUUAAAAGACUCAAGCUGCAGUUACAAAUUUGAAUUUCCAAAAUUCAAAUGUUAGAGCCAAUAUGGUGGUUAUGCAACUGGCCAGAACCGCCCACAACUGCCUUGCAUAACCACCCACCACCCAGAUAAUGGCCUCACAUGCCACCCACUUGCACCAGCCAUAAUCUCCUCAGCCAACUGUAGGUCAAAUGACGGCUUGACUUGGUCACUUGUUGCUUGAGCUAGCUGCCACUAAUUAGCUGCACUGCCAUCUCCUCAAGCCUUGCUCGCCAAGCUGUUGGAGAGUCCUCCUAACAAGCUGCUUUCUUCCCUGUAAGGUGCCUUUUGUGACCAAGUGCCCAUUAGCAUGUCUUUGAUCAAGGCCUUUUGAGCCAGGCAGCGUGCACCAACCAUUUGACCAAGCGUCUGGUGCAUCAGUGUGUCUUCCCCACACUGAUGUAUGAGCCCGUGCCAUGUCUAGGUGCCCAUGGCUUGGGCUUGUUGCUUGCUUCCCCUGUCCGGUCCAACUUCACAGCAACGAGGCAUGGCAUUGUGCCCAUGGCUGAUCCCUCUUGGUACACAGGGCAUUGCACCCCUGUGCAAUGCGUAGGCAUUGCACCCCUGUGCAAUGCGUAGGCAUUGCACCCCUGUGCAAUGCGUAGGCAUCAUGGUACAAGUCAACUUAUUGUUUGGUGCCAUCAGACCAUGACAUUGUGCCCAUGGUUUCAUCAGCUGGCUCACCGCACAAGGCUUAGGCGCUCUCAUGCCUGCGUGGGGAGAGGGUAGGCUGCACCAGGCCCCGUGCCGUUGCGGCCACGGGGUGCACACCACACAUGUCGUGGAGCCCAUGUGUGCUUGCUCGAGUCACAUCUAUGUGUCUUAGGCAUGCCCAAGGCCUUGCCAUGGUGCCCCCUUAGUGCGGUCAAGGCUUCCCUUGGUGUUCUCUCCUUUGAGUCACCUACCCCUUCCCUUAAAGAGCAAUACAUACCAUUUUCAUUGUUUCUGGAGGAGACAUCAAUAUGUCUGAGGAGACAUAAUGGAAUAAUAAAUAAUUAUAAAUUAACAUUCCAAAAGUCCCUCAGCUUUCAUCUGCACCACCUAAGUCAGGUGUGCGCGCGCGAUGCCCAUCUGGUGCGCACGCGGUGCAUGUCUAGUUCGCCCGCAAUGUGUGCGCGGUGCGCAUCUGGCCCGCCCGCGGUGCGCGUCUGGCUCGCCCGCGGUGUGCGUCUGGCCUGCUCGCGGUGCGUGUCUGGCUCGCCCAUGGCCUCCUCACUUAGCCCUUGGAGUUUGAACCACCAAACCUCCAGGCUUUCCUUGCUUUUAGCCUAGGCUCUCAUGGGUGCAAGGCCUACCCAUGAGGCCUAUUCCUCCAUGGUUAAGUUAAGAGGCUAAGGGGUUGACAAUAAUCCUGUAUAAUGUUUAAUUUUCCAUUUAAUCUGGUGUUAAUUGGUAUCUCAUCACAUGAUUUUGGCUUUUGUAUUGUAAUAUAGACAUAAUAAGGAUGUUACCUAAUUUUUAUCAUAAUGAAAUAAUACUUUUAGAUAUUUAUUUAGGAUUUUUCUAAUAAGUCUAAUUGUUCUGAUCAUUUACUAGGUGCUUUUACUAAGUCACUAAUUUGGCAUUUCUAGUUCCCAUGUAAAAUAAUUUAACAUUAAUGAUGAGUUGUAGAUGUGUCAUAUGUGCUAGUAAAUGCUUCUUUAUACUCCAAACUAUUUUUUUUAUAAAUUAAGAGGACUUGCUUUGUGAUUGCAUGCAUGCUAAAAAAUCUACAUCUUUUAGUUUAGAUAAUUUUUUAUCAUUCAAACUUGUUGAAUUCUUGCCACUUUAUUUAAGUUUUAUACGUGCCAUGUAUAUAUAGGAUUGGUUAACAUAGUUACUUGUUAUCAUAAUUGUUUUGCUCAUUAUCACUAGUAGUGAGCUAACCCUUUCAAUUCUUAUACAAGUGCAUUGUAAGCUAUGUAUGCUAUCAAGGUAUGCUCUUUACACAUUUUAUCUCUUUAAUUAUGUAAAUAUACAUACUUUGAGUGUGAACAUUAUCUGAUUAUGCGUAGUCAUUGCUUGAUUUUUUGAAUGGAAUGAAAUGCAUGUUGUAUGCCAUAUUAACUGAAUUAACCUCAAUGUCUUCAUGAAAGCACUUUAGGUUGCAGUUGAGGUAUGCUUUUCUUCUCUUUUUAUAUGUUUGAAUCCUUUGGUAUGCUUGUUUUAGAUUGAAUAGCAUCUUGUUAGGCUUUAGAUAUAAUCUUUUUUGUUAUCUUGUGAUAUCCCUAAUUUAUCAACUAACUGUCAUACUUACAUCCACUUAGUUAGUAGGAACCUGUUUUAGGGUUUAGAGGAGUACAACAUUUAUGGUACCUUUUCGAGGGGUAACUUGACCCUCAAAUUUAAACUUAGGUUUUUAAAGACAUGCUUUUGGAUUUUAUUUAUUAUUUUAUUCUCCCUUUAAAAAUAAAUAAAUAAACAUAAGUGGUAAUUUCAAUCUUUAUAAAAAUCAAAUUUUCAUUAAAAAGCAAAUCUCGCUAUCAAGUGAGGGUACACGUAAAAAAUACAAGUCUAUAAUCAUAUUUUUCAUACUUUAGUACUUAGGUCAUAUUUUUUGUACCUAAGUCACAUUAUUCGUAUCUUAGUACCUAAAUUACUUUUUUGGUACCUUAAUACCUAGGUUACAUUCUUAUUAUUUAGGUUAUAUUUUUCGUACCUAACUACCUCAAUAAGUCAUAUUCUUCGUACAUAGGUUACUUUUUCCAUAUCUUAGUACUUAAAUCACUUUUGUUGUACCUUAAUAACUAGGUUACAUUCUUCGUAUUUAAAUCACAUUAUUUGUACCUUAUAUUUAAGAUACUUCUUGUGCAUUGAGGUUACAUUCUUCAUAUUAAGGUCAAAUUAUUCAUAAUUAAUUACCUAUGUCACUUUAUUUGUACCUUAGUAAAUAGGCCAUAUUCUUUAUAUAUAGGUCACAUUUUUUCAUACUUUUAGUACUUAAGUCACUUUUUGCGUACUUUAAUAACUUAUUACAUUCUUAGUAUUUAAGUCACAUUCUUUGUACUUCAAUACUUAAGAUGUUUUUUUUAUCUUUAUUCUGAGAUUGCAUUCUUUAUAAAUCACAUUAUUCGUAUUUUAGUACCUAGGUUACCUUUUUGAUACCUUAGUAUUUAGGUUACUUUUCCAUACAUAACUACUUUAAGUCAUAUUCUUCGUGUCUAAAUUUUUUUUUUAAGCCUUAAAUACCCAAAUCACUUUUUUCAUACUAGGUCACAUUCUUUGCACUUUAUUUACAUUUUUUGUACUCACAUUAUAUUUUGUAAAGUAUACCUUAAUACUUUAAUCAUAUAUUUUGUACUUAAAAUAUUUGUAAGUUUGUAACUUGGCCAAAUUAUUCAUAUAUAAAUCACAAUUUUAUCUUAAUACCUAGUUCAUUUUUAUCUUACUGUAGACCCCCAUUUGGGGGCUCACUUUUUGGCAGCCUGUGUUUGCCAAGUGUCGCAAUCUCAUAAGGCCACAUGCCUUCUUAGGAUUGGUCACUGUAGAAUCACUAUAGUGGAAGUGAUGGGCCAAUUAGGGAAAGACAACUGGAAAGGGAAAGAAUUUUCUAGAAGGAGAAUCUGCUGGCCGUUAGAGGAGAGAGGCUGCCAGAUGCAGGUGGUGUCGUCUGGGCAGAGAGAGUGGAGGCUGGCAGAGGAGUGGGGGAGGUUUUUGCUUUUGGGGAGACGGUUAGAGAUAUUUUUUGAGGGGAUCCUUUGCUUGGGUCAGGCGGGUUACUCAGGGGGAGGAGAGAAAAAAACACUAAAAAAAAGAGAUUCCAGGAGCUUGGGGGACGGCUUUUGGGUAGAGGGGUUUAGGAGUUUGGGGAAGAUACCUGAGAGAGGCUAAGGAGUCCAGAGAGGGUGACUGGGAGAGGGAUAGAGAGAGCUUGAAGGGCAAGUUUUUCUGGCUAAGUGAAGACACCAAACAGGAGUAACGAGGGCAGACUGCUUUUGGUAGAGAGAGAUACUUGAGAGAGGAGGUGCUUUUUGAGGCUCGGCUGGAGGUAUUUUAGAGGCAGAGAGAAGUUUGAGGAGAGAUUUUUCUAGAGAUUGGUUGCUGAAGAUAAGCAUUUUCAGGUACUUUCAUUGUGUUUUCCCAUUAGCUUCUACUGGUAUACUUUUCUGUUCAGUUUCUGCUGAUUUUUGGAUGAUAUUUGUUGCUUGAGGUGAGUAUAUUCAUAUUUUGCUAAUGGGUUUUUGUUGAAGUUUAGUUUGCUUUGUUAUGAUUUCCUCAUGAGACAUCUUGUACCUCUGUUUUACCUCUUAUUUGAUGCUCAUUUGAUCUCAUCCACCCAACAUCUGAGUUCAUGGACCGAUAGAUGAAAUGAGGCUUAUAUUGGGCUCAUUUGACUUUCAUUAUUUUGAUGCUCUGUUUUUGUUAUGCUUGCACCCUUGCUAUCUACUCUCUGUUCCCGGUGACUAUUUGUGCUCCGGAGGGGAAGUACUUUGCUGUUACGAUCAUGAGAGACAUUAAGGAGAGUGAGAUUCAUAUGUGAGCAUUUGGUGAGGCUCCGUAGGCCAAAGCAGAGGAUGAAUGAAUGAAGAUUCUGGAUGAUGUGGGAAACAGUUGAAAGCGUUCUCCGAUUGGUUUUUCCAAACCAAGGUGGCUAGUAAUUUAGAAGCCAUUUUCCAGCUGCUACAUACGAAUAUGCACUUUUGGAAAGAGGAGGUUGUUUUCAUUCAGAGAUGCUGGUUCGAGGAGAUAUUUGGAAGAGAAAGAUUGGUUUAAAGAGCCAGCUGCCCCAAGGGAAAAUCACAGAUGGUAUGCGGGCUCUCAAGCUCUUGUGCAUCACUGGGCUCAUAUGGAGGUUCUACCUUGGCGAGGAAAACUGUUGUUUGGGAACUCUAGGUUGUUUCAUUCUAAACCAUUUUCAAGCUUAUCAUGUCUGCAUGUAUUAUUACAUCUUGGGACUGUAAGGUUUGUGGCAAAGUAAAAGCAAGCAAAGCUGUCUUCGAAGCCGCCGGCGGCGAAGCGCCUCCGCCAUCACCGGAACGCCAAGUAACCAUUGAAGCCCCUUUUGAAGAUACUUUUACCUGUUUUCUUUCAUGCUAUGCCUCCAUGGUUUCUUCUCUGUUGUGGUUACAUUCUCGUUUUUGGAUCUUGUGCUAUGCUUGAACCAGAUCCGAAAACUGGCUGACAAUUGUACUGAUCUCCAAGGUUUCCUUGUUUUCAAUGCUUUUAGUGGCGGUACUGGCUCUGGGCUUAGUUCACUGCUUUUGGAGCGUCUUUUUGUUGAUUUAUGGCAAGAAAUCAGUAACUUGGGUUCGUAGAGCUUCUAAAGUUGGAGAAACUCUACCAGAGUAAGGGGAAGUAUGGACCAGCUUUUAUGAACUUAUGGAAGUCAUUGUUGAGCAGCCACCGCCUGGUGCAUCUGGCAUCUGUUGAUCAAUUUUCUGCAGAAUUCUGUUCCUUUAUCUCUGUAUGCAUACAGAGAGGUCCAGAUGACAGAAAGAUCUCCACAAUGGGCUUGCCCGCAGGUGCACCGUGUAGGUCUCAUAUGCUAUUGGUGUGCCCGAGCCUUUAUCCGUAUUUGUUGACACGCAUGCCACUGGAAAGAUGCCAGACAAGGAGAUUCUCAAGAUUGUGAAAGAGAGCUUUGACUUCAGGCUUGGAAUGAUUGCCAUUAACCCGGAUCUCAAGAGGGGUGGCAAUGGCAGGUUCUUGAAGACGGCUGCAUACGGGCACUUUCAAAGAGAUGACCCGACUUCACAUGGGAAGUUAUGAAGCCUCUCAAGGCAAAGGAUGACGAGCACCGCGAGGGAGAGUGAGGCUUCAGAGGUCGAGCUUCUUGAACGCAGAUGAGUGCAGUUUCUUAGGCGACUCCACGGUUGCUUGCACCCAGGAGACCUUUGAAGAUGGACCUCCCAAAAGUUUUCUCAGUGGACAAACUCAUCACUAUGACAUCAUCAGAAGGAAAUGUCUGCAUGAAAGAUCCCUAGGCAGUCCAUGGCCUGAGCUUAGUUCAAUGGAUGAACACGCAGCAAAAUCCUCCUUUGGGUAUCUCUCCUAUCACAUCGGUCAAAGCUUCGAGAAGAUCAACCAAAACACGGAUCGUGAUUUCUUCAUAAGCACAAAAGAAGCCAAGGAGUACAGAUUUACAGAUGGCGUCAUCUUGAAUCCUCUAAAGGCCUUCCCAUCUCUGGCGGCUAUUGCAGAUCGAAUAAAAGGCUUCCUUUAGAGAAGGAGAUUAAUCCUAAAGUCACCUGCGAUCUUGAGAUGAUGCUGAUAGAAACAAAGCAGGAGAUGCCACAUUAGGUGUUUUGAAUGAAGAGUUAGAAAAGUCAACCCAAGGAUGAAAGAUCUGAAGUCCAUAUCCAAUACCCAACUAUGGCAACCUGGACCCACCCUUAUCUAUGACUUGCAUGGCCACCUUUGGCAUGCAACCCUUGACCAUGUGGUUUUCUACAUUUCAUUAUUAUUAUUAUUAUUAUUAUUAUUAUUAUUGCUAUUUUAAAGAUAAUUUCCUAACCCCAUUUUCAAAUAUUUUUUCCAAAUUCCAAAUUCUCAAACUAUCCCAACUUCCCCAUUUUUCAUCCUUAAAAUGUUUAGAUCCCAAAAAUCCUCCCAUUUUUAAUAAAAUCUGGCUUCCAUCUUUCUUUAUGGCAAGCAAUUUUCACACCUCCUCUAUUUUUUUAAAAUGUUUUGAAAUAAGCAAAAAUCAAAUUCCGUAAUUCCAAAUGAUGGAAUUUAUGGAAUUAAUUCAUGCAAAAAUAAAUGGGCUUUGGUGGGGGCCCUACAUAUGGGACUUCAUGAUUGAUUGACUGAUUGAUUGAUUCAUUAGCUAUAUGUGAUUGAUUUACCCUGAUCCUUGAUAUGCACAUAAUUAUAUUUGUUCAUUGUUCACUAACCAUGUUUCAUGAUAGCGCGUUCGUGAUUGCCGUCCAAGUACGCAUCUAUUCAUAUUUCGCUCAUUCCUUAUACAUGUUUUGCUUCUCAUAUUGUGCAUGAUUGAUUUGACUAUUCAUCGAUUUUCUUGUUGACUGCCACACUAGCUUCAUUUUAUUAGUAGAGACCCGACAUUAGGGACUUAGAGGGGUGCUACGGUCCGUACCGUACCUUCCCGAUAAGUAACCUGACCCUCGAACCCGAUCCGGUUUUUCACAGACCGCCUUUUCCAAAAUAAGGAGUCACACUUAGGGUUUUUCUUUCUUAUUUUGUUUACCCUUUAAAAAUAAAACAAAAAUAAGUGGCGACUCCAAGUCAUUUUCAAAUAAUCAAUAAAAAUCAAUUUUUCAAAUAAAAAUUCGAGUUUCGCCAUCGAGUGGGAAACGCAUCGAGCAAUCGAAAAUGCGGGGUUCACACUUACCUAGAUCCAUGGUUUGAAAAAUCUGAUUUUUUCGCCAAAAGAUCAACAAAAAACGAAAUUGGCCACUAACAAUCAGUUAAUUGGUAGGGCAAAUAAAUCGCUAGAGUGUCGAGUGAAAUUUAAAAAUCGGGUAUGGGAGGGACGCGCGUGGCAUAGAGCGGUUUGAAAAAAUCGGCGAUAAAUCUGCGAUUUUUCGAAAAACAACGAUAAAUUGGCGAUUUUUUCGAAAUAAUCAGCAAUUUUUUGAAAGUUUUUAAUAUAUAUAUAUAUAUAUAUAUAAUAUUUUUUAAUUAUUCAUUUUUAAUUUAUCAUUUAUUUUAAAUUUAUAUUAUUAUUUUAUUUUUAACUAUUUUUCAUAUUUAUCUCAUUAAUUAUAUUUUAAAAAAUUACUAUCACUUCACUCUUAAUUUUUUUUUAUUUAUCCUUUUAAUUUUAAAUAUUUUUAUUUUAAAAUAUUAAAAAUAUCAUUUUACUCAAAAAUUGCUACAAUAUAAAAAAUAUUAAUGAAGCCCUAAUAUUUUAUAAAUUAAAAUUAAUUUGACACGAUAAAUUAUUAAUAAUUUUAAUUAUUUAAAUAAAUUAAUGCUAAUAGAAAAAGUUGUCACCAUAAUAAAAUUUUAGAAAUAAAAUAUUUUAUAUAAAUCAAUUUAAUUUUUUAUUUAAAAUGUAAUAAAAAAAUGUUUUAAUAAAAAUAUUUUUUAAUUUUUAAAACAAAUGAAUAUAAAUUUAUUAAGGAAUUUAAUCUAAUUUUUUAUAAAAAAAAAUGAUAAAUACUAUCUUUAAUUAUACUUAUGUUAAUUAUACUUAUAAAAAAAAUAACUUUAAUAUAUGUAUUCUUAUUUAUUUUAUCAUUUUUUUUUUAAGUUUUUUUUAAGCAUUUUCAUGAAUUUUAAACUGUUUUAUUCAAUUGAUAUUUUCGAUAUAUUCGUAAAAUUCAAAUACCGAUAUAUCCGUAUUUAUCGAUAUUUUAAACCUUACCUAAAUCAUAUUACUUUUACUUAGACGACAAUUGAUGCACUUCUGCACCUCAAUUAUACUCUUUGGAUACUUAUUACUUUUAACUCUUGUUACAUUUUUGUAACCAUGUCAUAAUGUUUAUAUCUUAAUACCUUAUUCACAUUUUUUUUUUUUUUUUGUUUCUAAUCUUUGUGAUGCUCUACUUUCUCAAAAGAUGAUCAAGACUUCUCUAAAAGGUAAAAAUCGAAAGGUUUUGUAAAUAGAAAUUUAGAAGGUGAGUCAAGAGCCAAAGAGUAGAGUAGAAGUGAGAAACACGCUAAAACUCUUCAAUCUUAAAUCUUUUUUCCUCAAUAAUAAGUCUUUUUCCCUAUAUUAUCACACCUUUAGUUAUAGAUAUACAUAAUGAAUUUUUUUUUUUAAGCAUUACUACAUUGAAAUAAAUUUUAAUACAAUAACUUUAAGGGAAAGGAAAUAUAAAAAUUACAAUGAAAGAAAAAUAAAAUAUAGCUUCAAUCCUUUACAACGUUAUUUAUAUUUUAAUGUAAAGAAUUAAGAAUUUCAAAAAAUAAAAAUUUGAAAUAAUUUUAUCAUAUAUAUAUUUUUUAUUAUUUUCAUUAAUUAAAAAAAAAAAAGAGUUAGAGUUUUUUAUUAUUUUAAUAGUUUUUGAGAUUGAAUCGAUAUAAGUUUUAAAAUUUAUAAAAAUGGUAAAAUAAGGAUACUAUAAUUAGUAUCUCAAAAUAACAAUUAUCAAUCCCUUAAAAUAAAAUAAAACUUAUUUAAAUAUUUUUGGGAUGAAAAAGAAAAAACCAUCAUAAUUUUUCAAAUAUUUUGAUUCUAUUAUAUUUGUAUUCCAUUUUUUUUUUUCUAAUUUUCCAUUUUUUAAAAUUUUUUGUUAAGAAAAAAAAAGAGACACAAAAUGACAAUGCUCGGAAGAAAAUAAUGAAGGAGAUGCACAAAAUCAAACGAAUAAUGAUAGGAAUCCAUUCUAAUCAAUAUUUCAACAAUUAAAUAUUAAAAAUAUUUCAUUCAUUUUAAUGUAGGAAAUAAUAUUUAUUUUCUUUAAUUAUAAGAUAUUUAUUAUUCUUUUCUUUGUAUAAUUUACCAAACAUUCUUAUACAAAUUUUUAAAAAGAAUUACCUAUCAUAGUAGAUAAUAUCAAAAGGUAAGAGAGGAUAUGCUCGAACUUAAGCCUUCUCCAAAAGAGGUCAAAUGCCAUAGUAGGGUUGACCUAUUCUCACCAACCAUGUCUUCCUCUUGGAAAAAAAGGUAAUAACAUUAAUAUCCAAGUCUUCCAUUAAUUUUCUAGGUUAAUUCAAUUAAGCUAAUUUUAUAUGAAGACAAAGUAUACCAAUUUGCUUAUGACUUUAUAGUUAAAUGUAUUUUUGUUUUCAUUUAUUAUGCUUACUGUGAUGGGGGAGCCAAACAGUACCCAAAAUUUUGAGAAAACUAACUUACUACCACUAGGUUAUAUAAGUAGUUUGCUGUAGUUUCGCAACCCUUAAAGUAAGUUUCAUAUGUUGCCCACCCUCGGGCCUACCAUAUUUUAGCCAAUUCGUUGGAGUUCAUUCUUCAAUGACAUUGACAAUCAAUCACUACCAAAAAAGAGGAGAGAACGUUUUUACAAAAGUUUUUAUUUGAAUAACAAAAUCAUGGUUGAAAUGGUUGACGAAGUCACGAAGGGAAGAGACUUCACCCUUCUUACGUGUUCCAAUUCUCAAUAAAUAAAUAAAUUGAUAUUUUUAUUAAGUCUUUGUCAAUGAUGUCUUCACCAUAUUUUGGGACAAGUUAGACUUUCAUAUUUAUUCUCACUCUAAGCAAAAAUAAAUAAAAGAUUACACAAAUGGUAGGAUCCAAAAUAAAAUAAUAAAACAGAUACAUAAAAUCAUGAAGAAGAUGUACAAAAUCAGUGCAUAAUGAUAAGGAUUAACUCUUAUCAAUAUUUUUAAAAUAAAGAAUAAUUAAAUAUUAAUAAUAUUUGAUUCUUUUAAUUUGAAAGAUAAUAUUUAUUUUUCUUAAUUCUCGUUAAUUUUAGAAUAUUUUUUAUUAAUUUUUAUGUAUAAUUUAUAAUAUAUUCUUGUAUAAAGUUUUUUUUUUAAAAAAAAUAUUUUUAUUUUCAAAUUAUCAUACCCUUUUUUUUUUUGUGAGAAAUUGUUGCUAUCCUGAAACUUUUUAUUAUUAUUUACAUAUAAUCUCUUAUCUAUAUUUUCAACCACCAAAUUCACCUCAAUCCUUUUUGUUUUUCUAGAAAAUUAAAAAAGAGAAAAUAGAACUUCAUUACCUGAAAAUACCAGCAUAUCACAUUCCCAAUCCCCCCUAAAGCAUCUUUAGAAAAUUGGCCAACUUUAACAAAGUAGGGAUUACCUUUUUCUUUUUCUUUUUUAUACGCCAUAAAAUGAGCUUGCUUUGUCGCUUUCAAUCCUUUUCCUUCCUCCACUUCCUCUCAUUUUCCUUUUUAAUGACUUUCAUAGCAGCCGCCCAUCCCAUUUUCUCAUCCGCGUGAAAGGAUGGACCAUCGGCAUUCACACAGCGACUUCGCUUGUCUAUAUCCUAUUGACUUUUAAGUCAACAAAAAGACGGGUAGAAGCUACUCUACUCAUUUUAUAAAAAUUCCAUUCCAGAAUAAUGGUUAAAAAUUCCCAUUUUCAACUUAUUUUUUAAAACUCCAAUUCCUAAAUUUAAUUCUCAAAUAUUUUUAAAAUUUUAAUUUCUUUCAAAUUUAAUUUUCAAAACUCCAAUUCUUAAAUUUAAUUUUCAAAAUUUCAACUCUCAAUUAUUUUUCAAAACUCUAAUUUCUUUCAAAUUUAAUUUCCAAAAUUCUAAUUCUCAAAUAAUCUUCAAAAUUCCAAUUUUUUUCAAAUUUAACUUCCAAAAUUCCAAAUCUUAAAUUUAAUUUUCAAAACUCCACUUUUCAAAUAAUUUUCGAGAUUCCAAUUUUCAAAUAUUUUUUUAUUUCAUUCUUUAAAUGUAAUUUUUAAAAGAUUUCAAUUUUCAAAGCUCCAAUUUUAUUUCAAAUAGUUUUAAUUUCGCGCCAUUUUUAAAAUAUUUUUUAAAUCAUAAAUUUUCUUUAAUUUUUAAAUAAUCUUUUGUUUUCCUUGAUUUUUAUUUUAAUAAGCAUGAUUGAAUUUUUCAUAAUUCCAAAAUAAUGGAAUUUGUGAGAUUAAUUCAUGCAAAAUCAAUUAGGCUUUGGUGAUGCCUCACAUAUGAAUUUUCUCUUAUGAUUGUCUAUUGUUAUGUUUAAUGAAUUUUGCUUGAUCUUUGUCCUACUCUUUGAUAUGCAUGUGAUGAUAUAACCCCGUUUCCAUGAUAGCGCACUAUUGCAAUCAAGGUACGCUCCCACUCCCACUUUGCUUACUCUUACGCGUGAUUUGUUUUAUUAUUUGAUCAUUUCAUUGGUAUCUAUUGAUUUCCUUAUCAAUUGUGUCAUGAUUGUCUCGCCUUAUUUAGUAGAGACACAUUUCUAAGAGUUUAGAGGGGUGCUACGGUUUUUACCGUACCUUCUCAAUAAGUAAUUUGACCUCUGAACUCAGACUUGAUUUUUCACGAGCCACAUUUUUUAAAUAAGAAGUCACACUUAAGAUUUUUUUUCUUAUUUUGUUUAUCCUUAAAAAAUAAAAUAAAAAUAAGUGGCGACUCCAAGUCAUUUUCUAAAAUAAGGAGUCACACUCAGAGUUUUCUUCUUUAUUUUGUUUACCCUUUAAAAAUAAAACAAAAAUAAGGGACGACUUUAAGUCAUUUUAUAAAAAAAUAAAUCUUUUUCAAAAUAAAAAGCUAGUUUUCCAAAUAGAGGGUCCACACCAUUAUAAUUUUUCAAAUAUUUUUAUCCUAUUAUAUUUUAUUCUACUUUUUUUUUUUUUUUCUAAUUUUCUAUUUUUAAAAUUUUUUAUUAAGGAAAAAAAAAAAAGACACAAAAUGACAAUGCUCAAAAGAGAAUAAUGAAUGAGAUGCACAAAAUCAAACGAAUAAUGAUAGGAAUCAAUUAUAGGAUAUUUAUUAUUCGUUUCUGUGUAUAAUUUACCAAACAUUCUUAUAUAAAUUUUUUAAAAAAGAAUUACCAUAAUCAAUUAUCAAACAUUUCCUACAUUUCAUAGUAUCAUAGGUAGAUAAUAUCAAAAGGUAGGAGAGGAUUGACAUACUCUCACCAACCAUGUCUUCCUCUUGAAAAAAAAGGUAAUAACAUUACUAUCCAAGUCUUCCAUUAAUGUUCUAGGUUGAUUCAAUUAAACUAAUUAUAAAUCAAGACAAAGUACACCAAUUUGCUUAUGACUUUAGUUAAAUGUAUUUUUUUUUUUUCAUUUAUUAUGCUUACUAUGAUGGGGGAGCCAAACAGUACCCAAAAUUUUGAGAAAACUAACUUACUACCACUAGGUUAUAUAAGUAGUUUGUUGUAGUUUUGCAACCCUUGAAGUAAGUUUCAUAUGUUGCCCACCCCCGGGCCUACCAUUUUUUAGCCAAUUCGUUGGAGUUCAUUCUUCAAUGACAUUGACAAUCAAUCACUACCAAAAAGGAGGAACACGCAAAAGUUUUUAUUUGAAUAACAAAAUCAUGGUUGAAAUGGUUGACGAAGGGAAGAGACUUCACCCUUCUUACGUGUUCCAAUUCUCAAUAAAUAAAUAAAUUGAUAUUUUUAUUAAGUCUCUGUCAAUGAUGUUUUCACCAUAUUUUGGGACAAGUUAGACAUUCAUAUUUAUUCUCACUCUAAGCAUGAAGUGGUAUAUUAAGCAAAAAAUAAAAAUAAAAGAUGACAAAAAUGGUAGGAUCCAAAAUGAAAUAAUAAAACAGAUACACAAAAUCAGUGCAUAAUGAUAAGAAUUAACUCCUAUCAAUAUUUUUAAAAUAAAGAAUAAUUAAAUAUUAAUAAUAUUUGAUUCUUUUAAUUUGAAAGAUAAUAUUUAAUUUUCGUUAAUUUUAGAAUAUUUUUUUUAUUAAUUUCUAUGUAUAAUUUAUAAUAUAUUCUUGUAUAAAGUUUUUCUUUUAAAAAAAAUAUUUUAAUUUUCAAAUUAUCAUACCCUUUUAAUUUUUUUUGUGAGAAAUUGUUGCUAUCCUGAAACUUUUUAUUAUUAUUUACAUAGACUCUCUUAUCUAUAUUUUCAACCACCAAAUUCACCUCAAUCCUUUUUGUUUUUCUAGAAAAUUAAAAAAGAGAAAAUAGAACUUCAUUACCUGAAAAUACCAGCAUAUCACAUUCCCAAUCCNNNNNNNNNNNNNNNNNNNNNNNNNNNNNNNNNNNNNNNNNNNNNNNNNNNNNNNNNNNNNNNNNNNNNNNNNNNNNNNNNNNNNNNNNNNNNNNNNNNNCUUUUCUUGACCUGGUCUUCUCUGCCGUGGGAUCCAUGAGCAUGACCUGACGAGGCUGAUCUCACCGUCCCUUUGGAUUAUUUAUAUCAGAGAACACCGAACCGUCGUGAUCAUUACUGGGGACGCUCUUUCCACUAGUGCUCACCCCAGAUGUGACGGUACUCCUUGACCUUGACACCGAGAACAGGUCAUCGUUAUCACUAGUGGUGGCUCCUCCACGUGUCACAGCGGAUGAGCUCGGUUGUGAUCCGUCCGGUUUGACUCCAACCCGACCCAUAUACACCUCAUCUCCACUGUUGAUUUGGGCGUUCCUCUCCGCAGUCUCCUGGAGCUGCAGUGCAAACUCAAGGGCCCACACCACAUCGCUCAUUGGUGGCCGUUCGAUUCCCUCGUUACGCACGCAGCUAUCAGCGAUCUCCCCAAACUUUUUCAAACACUCUGGCGCAACCUCGUCCCUCAGAUUUUGGUCCAUGAUCCGAUCAAGGGCUCCGUUCCGAUAAGAUCUCCGGCCCCACUCUGCUACACUCACCUGCUCUUUUGGAGCACCGGGGAUCACCGCCGGCCUUCCGCAUAACACUUCAAACAGCACCACUCCGAACGAGUACACGUCAGACUUCUCCGUCAAUUGCCGCAACCGGAAAUACUCUGGAUCCACGUACCCGAAACUGCCCUUCACUGCUGUGCUGACGUGGGUCUGGGUCAUACUCGUGGGGCCUACUCUAGACAACCCGAAAUCCGAAACCUUGGCCACCCAUUUCUCGUCUAACAGGAUAUUGGUGGAUUUGACGUCCCGGUGAAUGAUUGUAUGCUUCGCGCCUGUGUGAAGGUAGUGCAAUCCACGCGCCGCCCCAAUGCAGACUUGAAGGCGUUGCUUCCAUGGGAGUGGAGGGUUUUUUGUUUUAUAAAGAUGAUCACGGAGAGUGCCACGAGCCAUGUAAUCGUAGACAAGGAUCAUCUCUCCUUCUUCAUCACAGUAACCGAUCAGAGACACGAGAUGGAUGUGGCGGAGCUUGGACAGCAUUCUGAUCUCUGUUUCGAAUUCGCGGGCACCUUGUUUUGAUGAUGGAUUCAGCCGUUUAACCGCAACCGUGGUGGAGCCGCCUUUGAUGAAGCCUUUGUAAACGUUUCCGAAACCUCCCUCGCCGAUGAUGAAGUUCUUGUUGAAGUUGCAUGUGGCGUCUUUAAUCUGGGCAAGGGAGAAGUGGCGGCAGAUAUCGGCCGGUAGUGACGAGCCGUUGGUGGUUGUGGAUCUUGUCGUGUAGGAAAAUGGGACCCAAGAUGACUUUGCCCGACUGAUGCCACCAACGUGUUUCACUCUCAUCCGCGGUCGGAGAACCAAGAACCAGAGAAGAGAGAGUGCGACUACUCCGCCGACCGCAGCUACAAUGACUGUUAUCAGCACCAGUGGCGCCCUAUUGUUGGGCUUUCCGGGGAGUUNACCGCUGUAAUUAUUUAACUUGAACAUCUCUAAUCCAUUUAAUAUUACGUUAGCAUACUUGCUAUCCGCAUUAGGAUGUAAAUCGAGCCACAGCUCCUGCUUCCUUCGGCUGCCAUCGGAUAACAAAUAAACAACAUAAUCUUGAUAAAUUGGAUAUCCUGUGCCACCACUCCUAACGAUGACGUCCAUUUCUUCUUCAGCUGUCUGAUUGUUAAGAAAUAUAGAAAAAACUCGUUCACCUGGACGGGUUACCUCCAAUUGCAACUCGCAGAAAUGAAGCCUAACAAGAUAAUAAAACCCAGAAUCCACAUGGAAGAGCCACGUCAAGUUGGUUCUCUUAUUUAUCUCCUCUUGUUUAGUCAUGGUGCGUGAAGUGGUGUAGACUGUACGUGGUGCAAUGUAAGGCGGUGUCGUCUGAGUGUAUUGUAUGAGGCUAUCCAGGUUAGGUGUCAACCCCAAAUUUCCUCCGUAUAUGUAAGAGUCAUCCUGACUCCAUGACCGAAACAUGCCACUGUCUGCUUCCGCCGGGAUAUGAUUGCCACCAACAUUUAAACGAUAAACAGUUUCAAGGGCUGUGUAGUUAUCCAUUUCAAAUUGCUGAACCGCGGAAACCAAUUUAAGGUCAAUUUGUCCGUAGAGAUGAUUUGGCAUGGAAACGACUUCAAUACCAUUAACGAAGGCCCAGGAGUUUGGGGAUGGAGAGAAGGUUAUAUUGAGUAUUUGGUUGUCCCACACGUUGAUGGAAAAUUCUUUAACAAGGGAAGAUACUCCGGACCCCAUAGGAGCAACUGUAAGAGAAGCGCUGAAGUUGCUUAGGAGGGUGUACACCCCUGAUGUGACGGAGAAGAAGAACUCGGAUUCAUUAUGGCCAGAGUACGCAGUUGGGUAGAAGUAGAAGCGGACAAACUUGGGUCCGGAUGACACAGGGAAGCUGUAUGUGAACGAGGAGUUAAAGAUACGAGCGGUCAUGUAUGGAACUUGCUCGACCGAGGGGUCUUGCCGGAAAGCGUUGGAUGAUGAGGAUGAGUUUUGAACAUCAGAAGUUCCAGAGAAUUUUGACCCUUGAUCACCUUGCCAAGUCCUGCCAUCAGGAGACAUUUUGCUGAUGGAUGAGCCGCAGUCGAGGAGAAUAUUAUCAGUGGGCCUAUAAGGCGGAGACUCAUCCCCGGCCAUGGAGAUGAGGAAUUGAAGAAAGAAGGAAGAAAGAUAGACAGCUAAGGUGAGCAUGGGAUUGAUUUGAUCCAAACUCAUUAAUUUGAUGAAACCGAAAAUAAAGGGAUCAGCUGGGUCUCAGCCGGGUGUGAUGACAUAAGGAGUGCUGAUGUUUCAGACGGUGCGUAGGAUUGGUACUGGCAGUCUGGCAGUAAAGAUGGAAGUAGGAAGUCGAAGGUGGAAGGAUCAGAGCAACACAAGCGAACGCCGAGACCGUUCAGCUGGAUCCGUAGUUGAGGCUGUGGUGGAAGUGGAGGACAUAGCCAAUCUGCAACUGGUGACUGUGGCGACUGGAAUUCCUCUACUUUCUUGGAUUUAUCGGGCCUUUUAUAAGAAACCAGCAAAAGCGCGUAGAGGUACAUUGGAAGGAAGUCAUUUUAAUUUAGUAGACUUUGUUAAGGAAAAUUCUACAGUACCGAAUGCGGUACUGUACCGAAACUUUUUUUUAUCCGUUAGAAGUCCAAGAUUAGAUCUUGACCAUCCAUUUUAAAUUUGAAAAAAGAAAAAUGAAAAAAAAAAAAGAUAUGACCGGUUAAGGGAGUAACCGGUUGUUAUUAAAUGAUUUUCAUUAAAUUUAAAUUUUGUUUAAUUAAAAUAUGAUGUUUGAUUCAAAAAGGGUGGAUUUAAAUGGAUAAUACAUAAUUUAUAAUUAAAUUUAAUGGAUAAUAGUUAUUUGAGUUUAUAUAAAAUAAAUAGUAUAUGAAUAGGAAUGAUUAGUUUUAAAUGGAUAAUGGAUAGGCGUCAGCCCCUUAGCCACUUGAUUCAGACCCGGAGAAAUAGGCCUCAUGGGUAGGUCUUGUACCCAUGAGAGCCUAAGCAGAAAGCAAGGAAAACCUGGAGGCUUGAUGGUUCAAACCCCAGGCGCUAAGUGUGGGGAUCCGGAUAUGUCUACCCGGGGAAGUUGAAUCGUCCUCCUCUCCCAUCCGGAACGGUGGCCCCGGAUAGGCACCGGAUGUGAGACAUCCGGGUGGAUGGAAUGGCGGCCCCGGACAGGCGUCGGAUGUGGGACAGGCGCCGGAUGUGAGACAUCCGGGUGGACGGAAAUGGCGGCCCCGGACAUGCGCCGGAUGUGAGGUAUCCGGAUAAGGGAAAUGUCGGCGGACAGAAUUCCGGAUAUGAAAUAUCCGGGUGGAAUGAGGGAGAAUUCCGUCCGGGUAGAAUGUGCGAUGUCACGCGUCGAAAAGGGGGACGUCUGUGUGUCCAAGAGAGAGGAAGUCACAUGGCAGUUUUUAGAGAGACCACCAUAUGGGUAGUGGGCGGUUUCUCAGCGGACUACGAUCUGGAUAGUGGGUGAUUGUGCAAGUGCUUUAAGGGGGAUUAUGGGCGGUUGCAUAACCACCAAGGGAAAAACGGUAGGGUGAGUAUUUUAAAAGGGCUCCUGCAGCCUUGAGAGAGAGAGGAGAGAUUAGGGAAAGUGCCUCUGAAUGCUUGGGAUGUAAGCAUUGCUCUCUGACUCAAGGAAACAAUUUUGUAUCUUGUAUAUUAAGAUUAAUACAAGUUGGGAAAGAUUUCCUAUAAUCUCGUUGUGUCCCUGUUUCCGUUGGUUUGUGUGGUUUAUGUGCGUUUUGAGAAGGCUGGGCAGGAAGGUUGGCUAAGGAAGGGUCCUUAGCACCGCGCACUAGGCGAAAAUUUUAGGGUGAUUUUCGAGGGUGUGACAAUAGGAAUGAAAUAAAUAACACAUAAAUAUUGAGAUAAAAAAUAGAAUUGGAUAAAAAUAAAAAUAAAAAUGAUAUAAAAUUUAUAAAACAUAUUUACUUAAUAAAAAUAAAAAUUUCAUCACAUAUCAUUCACAUUGUUUUAUUUUUAACAAAUUAUUAAAAAUUCAAAUUCACUCACUGAAAUUUAAAAACACCAAUUAUAUACCCUUAGGAUUGGUGGAAAUUAUGUAAAAAUAAAAAAUAAAAAAUUAAACACUAAAAAAUUGUGGAGGGUGUCAUAAAUGUGAGAAUGGUACGCAUUCUUCAUAUAUUUCAUACUUUUUUUAAAUUUAAGAUUUUUUUUAUUUAGAAAUACAAUAAUAUUGUUUAUACAUACUAAUUAAGACUUAUAAAUGAUAAACAAAAAAUUCUUAAAAAAUUAAAAUACUAAAAGAAUCGGAGAUGGUACGAAAAAUGUGUGGAAAAAUACGAAUAAUGUGAGGAAUCUUUACAUUAUUCAUACCAUUCCGACAUUCUAUGUACACUUGAUAUUUUACACUUUUUUCAAUUUUCAAUUUUUUUUUGAGGGUACAAAGAAUGUAAGAGUAUGAACAAUGUAUCAUAUCCUUCCCCACAUUCUUUAUAUCCUAGAUAUUUUACAUUUUUUUUUUCAAUUUUAAGAAUUUUUUUUUCCACUUGAAAAUGAUAUAAUAUUGUUUACCCAUAUUAAUAAGGCUUAUAAAUGAUAAAAAAAAAUAUUCUAAUUUUUCUUUUUAAAAAAUAAAACACUAAAAUUUUAGAGAUGAUACGAAGAAUGUGAGAGGAAGAGUAUGAAAAAUGUGAAAAAUCUUCACCUUCUUCAUACACUUCCCAUACUCUUUGUAACCUCUAAAAUUUUCGUUUCUUUUUUUUAUUUUAAGAAUUCUUUUUCUCCACUUCAAAUAGCUUUAAUAUUGUUUAUUUAUACUAGUUACAUUUUGCAAUUGAUGAAAAUUAUAAACAAAAAAAAUUUAAAAGUAAAAAAAUUCAAAAUUGGAAAGGGUAAGGAUUAUGAGGAAUGAUACGAAAAAUGUAAAGAAUCUUCAGUUCUUCUACCUUUCAAAAUUUUCAUUUUUUUUUUUUUAAUUUUAAGAAUUUUUUUCUCAUUCUAAUAUUGUUUAUUCAUACUACUUACACUUAUAAUUGAUGAAAAUUAUGAACAAAAAUAAAUUUAAAAGGCAAAAAUAUCAAAAUUGGAGAGAAUACAAAGAAUGUGGGAAAGAGUAUUAAGAAUAUAAGGAUUCCUCUUAUUCUUCUUAUCAUUCCCCACAUUCUUUUUACCCUACAAACUAUUCUAUCUUUUUUUAAUUGUAAGAAUUUUUUCUCCACUUCAAAUUUCAAUAAUAUACUUUGUUCCUACUAGUUACACUUACAAUGAUGAAAAUUAUGAACAAAAUAGUUUUAUAAGUACCAAGCUUCAAAAUUAGAGAGGGUCUCACAUUCUUGGUACCAUUUCCAUAUUUCUCGCACCCUUUAUAUAUAUAUUUUUAAUUUUAAGAUUUUUUUAUUUCAAAUAACAAUAAAAUACCUUUAUUGAGUUACAAUUAAUGAAAUAUUUGAAAAAAAAACAUAUUAAAGUUAAAUAAAAAAAUGGAAAACACUCGUACAUUCUUUACAUUUUUCUAUCCUCCUCACAUUCUCUGCACUCUAAAAAUUUUAUAUGUUUGUCUCAUUUUAUUUAUUUUUAAAUACUUUUAAUAUUUCGUCCCAACCUCUCCAUAAAAAAAUUAAAAUUAUAAUAAAUAAAAAAAUUAUUAAUACAAUUUUUAAUUAGUAAUUGAUUGAUCACUAUAAUAAUUUUUAACAAUAAAUACUUAUUUUAAUUUAUUUAUAAAUGAUUUUUUCACAACGUCCUAAUGUUAUAACUUUAUAUCAUAAAAUAAGUGGAAACUUUUAUUUUAGAAAAUUUUAAAUAUUUUACAACUUUUAUAAAAUAAUUUGUUGAAUAAUAUAAUUGGUUGUUGUAAAGAUAAUUUAAAUUUUGGGUGUAUGAGAUUGCUUGCUUUUAAAAUACAUGGUUAACCGGUUGGUAACUUGUAGUAUUGGUGUUUUUCAAUUUUUUAUUAAUGUAAACUUUACAUGUGUCAUAUUUUGAUUGGUCAAAAAAGGGGAGGUAUGACAGACCCUAAAUAAUGUUUUUGUUAAAAAUACUUUAAAGAUAGUUAAUAUUUAAAUAUAAAAAUAUCUAGGUAACAUUUUUUUUUAUUAUUAUUAUAUUGAAUACAACUUUUUGUAAAAAAAAAAAAAAAAAAAACUUGUAAUCAAAUUGAAAAUUUGUUAAUGUUAGGAACAAGUACUAAAAUUCUUCUUAUAAUAAAUUUGAUUUAGGUGGUAUUUGUUUUUUUUACUUAAUUCUAAAUAAAACCUUAAUGCUUAAUAGUGUUAAAUAUUAGGUUGUUUGUUUUUGUAGUAUUUUAUUUUUAUUAAGUAUUAAAAAGUAAAGAAAAACCAUAUAUGUUAUUUUUUCUAUUUAAAAAAAGUUACAUAUUUUAGUUUUUUCUAUUUAGUAAAAAGUUUAUAAUAAGUCAUGAAAAAGUAGGAAAACAAACAUCCUAAAUUCUAAAAACAAAUUGCUUUUAGCAAAAAGCCAAAAAAACAAACACCACCUUAGUCUUAACUCGGAUUAGACCUUGGCAUGUCUUGGCUUGGGCUUAGACUUUGAUGUGUCAGCUUGGAGUUUAAUAUGUUGAGACCUUGGUGUGUAGUGGGCUAGGCCUCGAUUUUUGCAUAUCUUCAAUUUGGACUUGAACCUUAGAGUGCCUUGAGUUGGACUUGGACCUUAGUUGGAUCACAUUAACUGAGGGUAUAAAUGUUUGAUCUCGAAUUGAAAACGUCUCGAUUUUAAUCUUUGAAACUUCAAACUUGAUCUUCAAAGUUUCGAACUUGAUAUUCAAAUCUUUCAAAUCUUCAAAUCUUUCAAAUCUUCAACCUUGCCCUUCAAAUCUUUAAAGGCUUUAAAAAACUUUUUGAGUCUUUGAGGGGAGCUUUCCAUAAUUCUUUUCAAGUGUGAAACUCGUGUUUAGUACAAUUUUGUAGAUUAAAGAGACCCUUUAUUUAUAGGGUAUAAGAGAGACAUAUUAAAAUCCCCAUAAACAAUACUAUUAAAACCAAAAGAAAUUAUUAUUUUAAUAGAGUUACUGAUUUGUUAAUAAAUGAAUAUUUAUUAAUUUAGAGAGAAUAUUAUAUUUUUACUAUACUACCUAUACAUGAAAAAAAUAUAGUGUAUGAAUUACAAAAAAUUAAGGAUCAAGUUGAAUUUAGUUUAAAUACAAAGAAAGGAUAGACGAUUUUAGAUGCAUAUUUUGAUAAAGAGUUGGUAUUAUGAAUUUUUAUUUACUAUUUUUCAUGUACUUCAUCAAUUAUUAAUUUAUAUUUCCUUGAUUCUUGAAAUAUUUCUAAAAAAUUUAUUAUUUUAUGCAUUUAAAAAGGUUAUUAAUUCAGUAUAUUGAUCCAACUCCAACUCGAAACCAAAAGAUUUUAUUAUUUAAACAUUGUUAUUAAUUUAAUGAAAAUUUAUUUAUCAUGAUUUUACUAUAUUUGAAUAGUUUUUCUUAUUCCUUAUAAAUGUUAUUCCUUAAUCAAAGUAGAUUUGGAGAUAUUUUUAAACAUAAUUUGGAUAGUUUUGACCCUUAAAAUAUGAUAUUUAACUAAAAAUACAAAAUAUAUAUGAAACUUUGGAAAAUACAUUUGGAUACCUUCUACUUUAUUAAUGAUGGACAAUUACUUUUUCACUUAUUAGAUUCACCAUUUUAUUUAUUUAUUUUGGUAAUUAUAUUUUAAUUACCAAAUUUCUUAUUUCUUUGUUUAAUUUAAAAUCAACUUGUUUUCCUUUGUGUGGGUCAUAGAUAUGCAUCACAAUUUGAUUUGAUAGAAUUAUAAGUGCUAUUACUUUUUUUUAUAUGCAUUUUGUAUUACAUAUCUUUUUUAGACAGGGUAAUCACUAAGUAGUAAAUUUUUUUUACCAUUUUACAAUUCCUCCAAAAUUUCUUUACAUAUUUGAAUGUGUAAAAGUGGGUAAAUUUUGAAUAUAUUUGAUUGGAUGUAAAUACAUUUAACCACAUUAGUUUCAUAGAUGAUUUUCUUUCAAGAUUCUUUGGAUUCUUGUAAAAAGAAUACUUUGCUAGUUUACAAGCCUUUGGUUGGCUCAACCACUUGUUGGUCGUUUUGCACCCUGGAUGAUUUGUUUCACUUUCCUUGGUGGAGCUCAAGAUCUACUUGAAAAUUAUUCUAUCCUAAGUCUAACAAUAUUUUGCUUCACCCUUGGUGAUUCGUUUCCCUUUCCUUGGUGGAGCUCAAGAUCUACUUGAAAAUUAUUCUGCCCUAAGUCUAUCAGUAUUUCAAGAUCUCUAUCAUCCUUGGUGUUGCAAUCUCUACUUCAUAUGAGUAAAGCUCUCUCAAUUGUGGACAAUUUGACUAGCGAUUCUUAAGAGCAGCUCUUGAUGCUCAAUUUGUUGAUGAGAUGUUAUCCAAGGAUGAUAUGACCAAACAUAAAUUGUGAGUCUCUUUAGUCACGUUGGUAAGUAAUGAAGAAAGACUUGGAACAUUCAAAGAACAAGUUGAACUUCUUAGUAAUAGUUACGAGGAGAUUGAAUCCCUAAUUUGCCAAAGUAAAUUGGAACUUUUAGAGUAAUGUACCCGUAUUUUAGCCUUACUUGAUAAGAUUAAUAUUUCUCAAGAAUAUUCCUAGUAUUUUUAAAUAACGAGGAUAUCAUAUCCUUGAAGCACUUUUAGAAGCUUCUAGAGGAAGCUUGUAGUGAAUUUCAAUGUUUCACCUGAAAGCCUUAAGUUGGUAGCUUCAAUUUAAGUAGCAUGUAAUUGGACAUUUAGCUUCUAUAAAGCAUUGGUAUGUUUAUUGUUCCAAUUACAUUACUGAAUUUCCUUCAAUUCCUCGAGACAUUCUUUCUUUAUUCUUAUGACUAAAGCAAAGACACUUCAUAUAUAUGUAUAUUUAUCCUGAACUGGCUCUAGGUAGUUAUACCAAAUCACAAGGGAAACAUACUCUAGUGUUUCUAUGAAGGUGGUACAGGAAUUGUUAAUGUGACCUCUACCUCCUCAUAAAUGAUUAAGAGUUGGGGGAAGCAUGGCCUCCUCAAGCAAUUCACCUAAUCUCUCCAGCAUAGAAAACCACAUGCUUAGGAACUAACCAAGGUUGCUAGAUAACACAACCAACUCCACAAUCCAGAACACCCAUCCCCUUCCCCAACCAAACCCCAUUAAUUAAAGAAAUAAAUAAAAGGGUAGCUCUGCAAAAAGUAUCUUCCAAUAUUUGCUUAUCAACUUUAAAUUCUGUAAAGAAACAUAUUGUAUAAACACAAAGGAUGUGAACUGGAUGAGCAAAAGGUGAACUGUAUUCUAUACAAAGUAACUAACAAGCAAAAGCUGAUAAUGGUAGGUGCCUGGGAGAUAGGAUUUUCUUCAAAACUAGGCACUAAGACACUCAAAGCAUGAUCGACUGUCCAUGCUUUAACACUCCUGAAUGGAAGUUAACAUAUGCAUGUACCCUGCAACCUAAUAAGUGUCCUGCUGAAUGGAAGCUAGUUCAGCAUCACCUAACUGCUUAGGCACACAUAAAACCACAAACUAUAUUGAGAAAACAAUUGUGCCACAGAAACUUGACAAACCUUCCUCCCCCACCUCUAAAUAACUUCUCACACUAAAAAAUAACUGGGAAAAAAAAAAGAUGCAACUAAGGUAAAAUAACUAAACAUCUUUUGUAAUUCCUUGUUCACUAGUAAUUCUCCAUCAAUUGGAACCAUUUUGCAGACAAUUUUACCAGCCCUGAAAGUUUCACUGUAAGUACCUUCACCAAUUUUGACAAUGCUUUGUGGAUCACUGCAUUCAAGAGAGAUUCAUUUUCCGAGAUGUUAAUGAUGCAAGGGUCCAUAUAUAGAUGAAAUCAUCAGUGCAUGAAAACAAAGAUUAAAAUGAAAAAUCAAAGCAAGAUAAAACAAUAUGGCAACUACAGGAAUGAUAAUUUGUACCCCUGAAAAUCCUCGAGUAGCGAGUUGUCCAAAAGCCAAAAGGCCUGGAACAAGAAUAACUAUACAUGUCAUGUUACCAACAAAUAAAAAUGUUAGGAAAUCAAAGCAGACAGAAAUAACUUUUAAUGACCAGGAUUUCCACCACAUAAUUUUCAAACAUGAAUCGAUACACAGGGAAGAAAUCCAAGUGAUGAAAAAGAAUGGAUCCUUUUCCAUGCUUAAGAAAGUUAAUAUUUCACUAAUAUAAUAGAAGGAAUGGCCAUAAACCUGAAUAUUGGGGCCAAUUGUGAUAUAUGACAGAAAGAUAAAGAUGAACAAUUAGUGAUACUGAUAUCUAAACAAUUAGUUCCCAUCUAUUAGCAGGAACAGAGAAGAUAAGACACAAGACAAAUAAAGUGGUGCAAUUAAAAUUAAUAACUAGCAAUUCUUAACACUUAUCACAAAUCAGCUAGUGACAUUCUCUUAAUAGACCAGAAUUUUCCAUAAAUGGAUCGAAACAAUACUUUAGCAACCAUUGAGUUAGGGCUUUAUGAAGCAAUCUCCAAUCAGGACUUGUUCUAAAUGCAAAACAUUAGUAAAAGCAACCAAAUAAGAUAGAAAUAGGAAAUCAGAUUGUUAAUACUGAUUAUGUAGGUAUUAUUGAUUGUGUAGUUUCUAGGAAGUAUAUUGGCCAAACUUAAUCUUACCAAGAAACCUAAAAUUCAUGCCACUUCUGCUAAUUGCAAAUAUGCAACAAUAUACAGAGAAGUUACUCUGAUUCAGUAUACCCUGUAUAGAAAAUUAAAUCGAAAGUUUAGGACAUAAGUUGAAGCAACAUACCAAGAUCUGUUUAGAUGAGUGCCUCCCUAUCAUAAUUGGGUCUAGCCAGAACAAUCCCUGAUGGUGAAAUGAUGGCAAUGCCUCCAGCAUAGACAACAGAAUCUGGCGUAAGAUCAUCUACACCCGAAAACUCAUACUCAGGACGAGGUAUUUCGUAAAUCAAGACAAGGCAUUGAAGAGGAUUCUUAUACCCUAAAAGAGGUAAACCAAAAGAACAAAACCAUGACUUCUUAUUCUUAAGAGGACCGCAUCCAAAAAACAAAAGAAUAUCCAGCGAAGUGGAUACUUAAGGAACAUUCAAACAAUAUACAUCAAAGUUCCUAGGGCUCUUUCUUUGGAGAUUAAAAAUUUGGGGGAAAAGACUGAGUUCCUAGGGCUCUUUGUCACUGAUCUCUGACAUAGAUGAGUUGAUUCGGUUCCUAGGGUUCUUUUCUUCACUCGUUUCUGACCUGGAUGAGUCAACCCAAUUCCUAGAGCUCUUCCUCAAGGACAUGGAAUUCUUAUCUGAGUGAGGCAACGAGUUCGAUGAGUGAGAUGGUCGUUGAUGUAAGCCUCGUCAGUGAUGAGGACGUUGGUGAUGGCAGUAAUCUAGUUGGGGAAACAAUUCUUUCAAACACUGCAAAAAUCAUCACAAUCUCAGAUAAGAGUUGCGGAGCACUAGGUACAAAAUAAAAAUAAAAAUCAAAAAUCAAAACAAAAGAACAAUCACAAGAGAAACCUUAGAGAAAUAAGUACGAAGAAAAAUCAUGGAUAAAAUUACAGAAGAGUUUUAUGGCUUUCAGAGCUGAAAUCUUGGAGAAAGUUCAAAAACGAUCAAGGAGGGCAUGGAAGAUGUGUACAAUAACACGUAUGUGGUAGCGGCCCAAAACUUGGUCCAGUUAGAGGAGAAUAUAUAGUUUUAAAAAAUAAUUCUUAAAGUAUCUUAGUUGAGAAAAUAAUUCCAAAUCUAUAGGAAAAUAUAUAUACAUUUUUUUAAAUCGUCUUUUUAAAAGGCUAUUUAUAUCAUUUUAAAAAAAUUAUACCAAAAAAAUCGUCUUUCCAAGAUACAAUUACUAAAAUUCCCUUUUAAAAAACAAUGUAUAGGCUUUCUCAAAAUAUAUAUAUGAGAAAUCGAAGAGUGAAAAAUCGCUUUCUCACAAAAAAAAAAAAAGAAAAUCCACUUUUCCAUUCCCUAUAUCCUUAUACAAUAAUAUAAUUUAUAUAAUCAAUUUUAUUUACUAAAUUUAAUAUAUAAAAAUAAUUAUAAUUAUUGAGAUAUUUAUCAAUAAUAAUAUUUAUAAAAAUAGAAAUUAUGUUUAACAUUCUAUAUUUAAAAAAUUUAUAUUAAAUUAGAUGUGAAUUUAAAAAAUAUUUUGUUCUUAAUCUUCAAUUUUUUCUUUAAAUUAAUUCAAUUAAUUAUAACUAAUAAAAUUAAUUUAAUUUGAUAUUGUUUUUUAUUUAUAAGAUAAAUAAUAUUUAUCUAUUAUUUUUUGUUUCUUUCACUUUGGAAUUUAAAAAAAAAAAUUAUUAUCAAUUUUAUGUAAAAAUUGAGUAUAUUAAAAACAAGUUUGUUAUUAAUUUAUUAAAUAAUUAUUUACAAAAUAAAUAAUUUUGUUUUGUUUUAAUUUUUAAAUUAAUUUUAUUAUAUAAAUUUUAAAAUUAAAAAUAUUAAUCUUUAAUUUAAAAUUUCACCUUAAAAGGAAUAAUUUCCCAUAUUUUUAGGAGAACCUUACUUACCACAAGACCUCCCACUACACACGCAUCAUUUCCUCUAGUUUAACAAUGCACUACACCCAUACAAGAAUCUUACCUACUAUACUUCAUCACUUCACACACUACUGCAGUACAAUUCCAUUGCAACACUUAACUAAUUUGAUAACUGUUUCAAGUGUGUCAUUUCUUCUUAAAUAUUUAAACACUCCAUCAAUUUGACCGCUUCAAGUAUUGUAACUUUUUUUUGAAACAUUCAAAUGUUAUAUAUAUAUUAAACACACCCCAUAUCCUAUACACUACACUACACUCAUCCUACCUCUUGUCAUCUUCACUUACAAUAUAAAUCUACUACAAUCUUUUUCAUCCUCAUUUUUUCCUUCUUUCCCAUUUGAAACCCAAUUUUUUUUUUUUUUUUUACUUUCCAUAGCUUCUAUCCAUAUCCCUCAUUUCUCUCUGUGCAACUUCUCCGCAUACCCCACUUCUUCGCAUAUAUCAUUUUUUCUUCAGAAGCUCAUGCUGCUCAUCUUGAAAGGUAAUAUUUUUGCCCUUAUUUAUUUAUUUAUUUAUUUCAAGUUAUUUUGUAAUAUAUGGUUUUUAUUAUUAUAUAAGUUUUUUAAUUUAUUUGGAUUAUGUAACAUUUGUUUGAAUAACAUUUAUUGGAAAUUAUUAUUUUAAAUAGAUUAAAUCAUUCAAAAAAAAAGUUAUAUUAUUUUAUUAAUAUUUUUACCUUUGUUUCAUUUUUAUUUUGUAAUGCAUGAUAGAUAUUAAUUGUUAUAUAUAUAUAUAUAUUUUGGAUUUAUGCUAUUUUUAAAAAAUAUUAUUUGUUGUAAAUUACCAUUAUAUAAAGGUGAACAGAUUAAAAUCAUUUAAAAAAUAAAGUGAUAUUAGUUUAUUUAAUUAAUUUGAAAUAAUAGUAAUAUUUUUUUUUUGUGUUCAUCAAUCAAAUAAUAUGUUUUAUAAAAUAUUAAAAUUAAAAAUAAAAUAAAAAUAUUAAUAAAAUGAGAAUGGAAAAUAAUAAUAAUAGAAUAAUUAUAUAUUUAUAUAUUUGCAUAAAAUAUGAUUUAAAAAAUAUUAAAAUCUAAAAAACAGAAAUACAACAUUAUCUGAAAUUAUGAAUUUAUCCUAUAUAUUUUUAAAAUUAAUGUUAGUCUUAAAUCAUUGAAAAAAUUGUUGUAAAACAUUGAGAUGUAAAAAUGAAAAUAUAAAUAAAAUUAAAGUGUUAUUUGAUUUAUUUAAAUGUAUAUAAUAUAACAAAAAAUAGUAACAGUGUAUAAUAUAAAAUAGUAAUUGUGUAUUUAAAUGUAUAUAACAUGUAAAUUUACAUUUAAAAUGUUAUAUUAUAUACAUUUAAAUAUCCAAUUUAAAAACAAAAGAAAUAUAUAGUUAUAAAAUGGUAUAAUAUAUAAUAAAAUAAAAUAAAUGAAUUUAGUUAUGGUUGUUAGUAUUAAAUUAUUUUUUUGCAUAUAAUAUUAUUUCAAAAAUAUUAAAAUCUAAUCAAUAUAAAUAAAACAUUGUUAUGAAUUUAUCUUAUAUAUUUAAAAAAAAUUAAUAUUAGUCUUAAAUUGUUAAAAAAAUUCUUGUAACAUAUUGAGAACUCAAAAUAAAAAUAUAAAUAAAAGUAGAAAUAAAACUAAAAUGUUAUUUAAUUUAUUUGACUGUAUAUAAUAUAACAAUAAAAAUAGUAGUGGUGUAUUAUUAUGUUGAAAAAACAAAAGAAAGAUGACUUGGAAAAUAUUAGAAUAUAUAAUAAAAUAAAAUAAAAUGAAUUUAUUAAUGGGUGUUAGUAUUACAUUAUCCAAAAUUAUGAAUUUAUCUUAUAUAUUUAAAAAAAAAUUAAUAUUAGUCUUAAAUUGUUGAAAAAAUUCUUAUAACAUAUUGAGAGCUCAAAAUAAAAAUAAAAAUAUAAGUAUAAAUAAAACUAAAAUGUUAUUUAAUUUAUUUGAAUGUAUGUAAUAUAACAAUAAAAAUAGUAGUCGUGUAUUAUUAUUUUGGAAAAAUAUGACUUUUAAAAAAUAGAUUUAGUAAUGGACAAUGCACCAAAAUAUUAGUAAAAUAGAUUUGCAAAAUACAUCUUUUUUAUAUGGUAUAUAAAUCAUAAUCAUAAAGUUUAUUGAUGAUCAUACUUCUUUGUUGAUCUUUUUAAUAGGUUUGAUAAUGGACGAUUACACGAUAGUGUUGUGUUAUACUAGUGGUGACAUUAUUGAUUGUGAAUUUGGGGUAUGUUAUAAUCAUUUUCUUGAGAAAGAUGUUUCAAUUAAUAGUAUGAUAACAUUUGACGAGUUAGAAACAAAAUUGUGUCAUGCUAAUAUUAAUCGUACUUACACCAAGUUAAAUAUGGUGUUCUGAUAUCUAGUUCCCUUUCCAAAUGGAAAUGGUAUUGUUAAUUAUGUCCCUUUAUCGAUUUGAGAUGAUGGUGAUGUGAGUAUAAUGUUUAAUGUUGUCACACAAUCUCCUCCUCCAAAUAUCAUUGAAAUGUAUUGUCAAAUUUCUUCAAUUGAUCAUUACUCCAUGCUAAGUAUCUUUACUACCUCAAUGCAUAUUGAAGGUGUAGGUCUAAGUCAACAAAUGGUAGAAGAGAACACCUCUUCUUCUAUAUAUAUGCAAAGUUGUGAUAAUGACAUGAAACCUAUAGUUAGGAUAGAUUUGGCAAGGGUGUCUGAUUCAGUUAUAAUGAUAGUUGAAAAUUAUGUUGAUAUUUUAUCUAGCAAUGAUGAUGACAAUGUGCAAUUAUUUGAUGAAGAUGAUGGUAAUGAGGAUAUUAUGGACGGAUAAUGAAUAUAAUGAAAAUACAAAAAAUGAUGCAUCAUUGCUAGGUGGUGGUGAACAUGAUGUCCAUUCCCAAUUAUUUAAAGAAUUGAAUUGGGAUAUAAUCAACUCCAUGACUUGUAAGGAUUUGACAACACACAUUGGAUUAUGGAAUGAAUCAGAUGAAUGGUUUAAGGGUUUGCAGUUUGAGAGUAAGGUAGACUUACAAUAUGCUGUUAAACAUUAUUUCAUAUGUAGGAAUCAAUAUUUGAUUGUUAUUGAAUUUAAGUCAAAUAUGUGGGUUGUAAAGUACAAAAAGUGGUAUGAGGGUUGUAAUUAGAGGCUUCGUGCAUGUCGUUAUAAAUCUCAUGGUUUGUUUAAGAUAACAAAGUACAUAGGUCCUCACACUUGCGUUUACCCUAAACUAUCACAAAACUACUCACAAUUAGACUCCACAUUGAUUGCAUGAGAGGUUUAAAAUGUAGUUCAAAAUGAUAACACAAUUUCAAUUGUUGCAUUACAUCAAAUAGUAAAAGAUAAAUUUGGUUAUAAUGUUCAUUACAAGAGAAUUUGAGAAGCAAAAAAGAAAACAAUCAUAAAGAUAUUUAGUAAUUGGGAUGAAUCUUACCAAGUUUUACCUAGGUGGAUGAAUAUUGUUAAACUAACUAACCCUGGGACUAAGGUUGUUUGCAAGACAUCGGUACUAGCAGGUUGCAACGGAAAUGUAUCUUUUAUGUGUGUGUUUUGGGCUUUUGGGGCAUGUGUUGAAAGAUUUAAGCAAUGUAGACCAGUAAUACAAAUAGAUGAUACUUUUUUAUAUGGAAAAUACAUAGGGAAACUUUUGAUUGCAAUAUCAAUCGAUGCUGAUGGUCAUGUCUUCCCUCUUACAUUUGAAAUAGUUGAAGGAGAAUCAACGAAUAGUUGGUCUUGGUUUUUUUAUACAUUAAGGAGUCAUGUAAAAAGAAGGCAUAUGUCUCAUUUCUGAUCGUCAUGCAGGAAUACAAGCCGCCAUUAGGGAUCUUAGUGUUGGAUGGAACAUGCCUUAUGCACACCAUCAAUAUUGUCUUAGACAUGUGACAAACAACUUCAAUGAUAAAUAUAAAAAUAAGAUAUUAAAAGACUUAGUGUAUAGAGUUGGGUCUCAACAUCAACCACAAAAGUAUAAGUCAUGUAUGACUGAGUUAAAACAAUUAGAUGAGAAAUGUUUAUAAUGGUUUAAUAGGUUGAACAAAAAGAAAUGGACUUUGGCACAUGAUGGAGGACAUCGGUAUGAGUGGAUGACUACAAAUAUUGCUGAAUGCAUAAAUGGAGUGCUUAAGGGGGCUAGAUUGUUGUCUAUCACGGUUUUUGUUUGAUUAAAUUUCUAUUGUUGUGUUUCUUAUUGCGACUCAUCAAACAAAGAUACAAACUCGAAUUGCAAAUGGAGAUUUGUACACUUCCUAUGUCAUUAACAAAAUAGCAAAAUAUGAGUUAAGGGCUAAUAGACACAUUGUCACAAUCUUUCACUGUUCAAAUGAGAUAUUUGAAGUGACAAUUGCUCCCCAUGGAUUUCAUAUGGAUAAAUGAAACAAUAUACAAAUUGUGAAGUUGAAAGAAGGAACAUGUACUUGUGAUAAAUGACAAUCUUUUGGUAUCUCAUGUUCACACAUGUUAGUUGCAUGUGCAUGUGCAAUGAUUGAUAGUUGGCGAUUUGUUGAAAAACAUUAUAGGAUAGAUGUAUAUGGUUGAUCUUAUGCACAACAAUUCAAUCUGAUUCUCCAUGAAUCCUAUUGGCCAUAACCUAAUUUUCCAAUUAUCCACCCUAAUCCAACUCUAUUAUGUGAUAAAGGAAGACCAAAAUCUUCAAGUAUUAGGAAUGAAAUGGAUUGGAGAGAAUCAAUUGUCAAAGUUUAAUAUGGGCUUUAUAAACAAGAGAGUCACAAUCGUAAAAAUGUUCCAAUAGAGGGGAGUUUUCUAACACAACCGCUCAAUGAUAUUGUAAGUUCAAGUUGAAAAUCUUACUAUUUAUAUGAAAGUUUUUUGUAACAUUAAAUAUGAACAUUGAGUUAUUUCCACAUAAUGUCAUUACAAUGUCAUGUAAUAAACUAAUGAAAUUAUUUAAAUGAUACAAGUAAUACAUUCUCAUGGAUUCAAAACCUUUAGAUCGUUCUAUUCUGUAUAACUAGGAAGUACACCAAUUUUCGCUUAUAUGGGUAGGAAAAGAUCCUAGAGAGUUCCAUUGUCGACGUUGUGAGACCAGUUUCUAUCAUAAUAGUGUUUUCGAUGCGCACAUUAUUCCAUAUUUGCAACAAUAUGGAUUUACAAUUUUGCCCGAUUAGGUUUCAUUUCAUUAGAUUGGCACCUUAGUACAACAUUUAUAGAGAGAUGACGCCUUGAGACCCACACUUUCCAUGUACCUCAGUGAGAGUGUAUCAUCACACUUCAGGAUGUUAGCAUUAUUUUAGGCUUAUUGAUUGAUGGUGUUGCAGUUAGUGGUAGCGUAUGAUUGGAUUGGAGAGAGGUGUGUGCUACAGUGUUAGGAGUGGUGCCUGAUAUAUCUGGACAAAGACUUCAUUUGACUUAGUUGACAAAACAUUUUCAUUCAUUGUCACCUGAUGCUGAUGUGGAGUCCGUGUGGUGUUAUGCUAUGACAUUCAUCUUAGAUUUGAUUGAAUGUUCUUUUUUUUUGCGGAUAAAUCGAACAAUAAGGUACAUUUAAUGUUUUUACCACUAUUUGAGGAUUUUGGAGUUAUUUGUACUUAUAGUUGGGGUAGUGUUUGCCUAGCUUUACUAUAUCGAGAAAUGUGUCAAGCAUCUCGUAUUGAUGCACAUGAUGUAUGAGGUCUUCUCAUUUUGUUACAAUUAUGGGUAUGAGAUAGAUUUCCCCUUUAUAGCAUCUCUCCGCUUACAUUCAACCCUACAUGAUGGAGUACUACCACAACCACCUUUGGGCAUGCAGUAUGUAUUUUAUCUUAGUUAUAGCAUAUGUAGACACAUACACACACACACACACAUACACACACACACAUAUAUAUAUAUAAACAAUUAUACAAACUUCUAAUAUAUAUAUAUAUUGUAGUUAGAUAGAUGAGUUUUGUACUACUUCAAUGCCUAUGCAUGGUUACCCUAGUAUAGGUAUCUACUUAAUUGACUUAUGCUAGAGCAAGUAAGAGAUUCAUUAUUUUGAAUAUUUUUUUAAACAAUUUGUAAUCAAAAUAUUAUUAAAUAAUGUGAGUCAUAUUUCAAAUUUAAUUGUAGAUUAUAUGAGAGUCAUAUACUGAUGAUGUCAUCUCUAGACUCCUAGAUUACUAUACUAUUGCCUCUAACUUGUGGUUAACUAUCUCACCUCUUAUCUGUUUCCACAUAAUGGAGUGACAUAGACCUGAUCAUGUUUUGAGGCAGUUUGGGCUAUUAUAGGAUAUUCCUGAGCAGUAUGAUACAGAGAUAAGAUUACAUAAAUAUGAUUUGAGGGGUCGACAUGAUUUGGAUUGGAUGAUUAUUCAUCACCAUUAUAUUCAAAGGUAAGAGGCUAGGUAUGAUCAUCUUGCUAAAGCUGAGGCAACAUUUACUUCUUUUGGAUAUAAUUACCUAUAUAUGGUUGUAGAUCCCAAAAUUUGUUCAAAAUUUAUUUUACUUUGUUUUUUAGCCUAAUUUUACCCUUAAAUUUAAAUCUUGAUUACAUAUAAUAUUUUUGGUCCACUUACCAUUUAAUUUUUAGUUUUUAUUAUUUUGUAUAUUGUUUUAUUAUUAUUAUUAUUAUUAUUAUUAUUAUUAUUUUAUCUCAUUUCUUCUCUCUCUACCCACUUACCCCCACUUACUUCAUCAUUCUCUUUCCUCCCAUACCCCUCUAUUUCUACGACCAUACCCCCCUCUCAUCUUCUUCCAUUUUGUUCCCAUUUGAUUUUAUUUCAUUUUUUCUUCUUCCACCUAACUUCCAACACUCACACUUCACUGCCACACGACUUUUUUUUUUCUCUCUCGUUUUCUUUCUCACAUUUUCUCGUUAUCUUCAUUUUCUUUUUUAUUUUCUUUUUGUUUUUCAAAAAGCCAUCAAACCUCACCACUGUUGGAAGGACCACCGACGAGUAGUCGCUAGUGAGCCAUUGUCGACUGGCGAACCCCCCUUCCAUUCUCACACUUUCUCACUUUACUCACUUUCCCUUUUUAUUACUCAUUUUUAUUUUUUUUUCAUUUUUUUUUCUCUUUCUUUCUUUCUACCUUCAACUCUACUGCCAAAUAGUUGUCGCUGACUAGUAAUUCUGGUCACUCAUAGGUUUUUAAAAAAAAUGUAUAAGUCUAUUUAUGCAUUUAAUUAAUUUAAUUUAAUUUAAUUUUUUCUUGAUUUGAUUUCAAUGGUAAUUGUUGUUUGUGAGAUUUUGAUUGUUGAAUUAAUAUGAAAUUUGGACUUUGUUAAUUAAUAUGGAAUUAGGGUUAAUUUGUUGUUGGUGAAUUAAUAUGAAAAUUUGGCUAAUUUAUCGUUGGUGAAUUAAUUUGGAAUUUGCUAAUUUGGAUUAGAUUAAUUGAUAAUUUAUAUGGUUGUACUCAUUUGAAUGAUUUAAUUUGGGCAUGAGAUAAUAUUGUGGUAUAUGUUUGUUACAUUUGAGCUUUACACAUUAAAUUGGGUUGAUUUUGGUUUGCAUAUUAAAUUAUGCUUCAAUUAUUGGAUAUUCAAUUUUGGCCUUAUGAAAUUUAUUUUAAUUUAUCAUGUUUUGGGUUUAUUAGGUUCUGCUUGUAUUUUGGUUAUUAAUUUGAAAAUUUUGUACUGGGGCUUACGGCACGUGAGAUAUUUCUAUUAGGUUAUAUUUGCUAAUUUGAGCUCAUUUUUAAUUGAUGAAAUUUAUUGGAUUAAUUUGAAGUUUGAAUUUAGGCUUGAAUAUUUGUUUUGGACUUUGUACAUUUCUGAAUAUUUACUUUUGGACUAUUUUUGUUUUUGUAUGUGUUCAUUCCACAAUUCUAUUGACUGAGUAUGGAUUUAUGACACGUGGAGCAUUGGAUUUCAUGGAAGAAAAUGAGACUUGGAAAGUUGUAGGAAAAUAUUAAGCUUUUAUAAGCUUGUUUGAGUAUACGUUUUAUUUCUCACUACUAUUUGGUUUUAUUUUUAUUGAUUUUUAUAAAUAUUUGUUUAUAUAUAUUUACUUAUUAUGUACAGGAAUGAACAUCAAACAAACAAAAUUUUUUGUUUAAAUAAGAGGAACAAUUUAGUAAACACGUUUUAAUAAAACAAUAUUUUAGAAAAUGUUCUUUUUAAUAAAAGUAAGUUUUCUUAAUAAAAAUUCAGAAAAGUGUUUUUAGGAAAAUUUAGAAAAUUAUUUUAAUAAAAUUUUAAAAAAAUUGUUUUUAAUAAUAAUUAUCUGAAAAUUGUUUUGUAAAUAAAGUUGUCCAAAAAAAAUGUUUUUUAAAUAAGUUCUUUUUCCUUAAGAUUAAAAGUAAUUUUUAGAAAUAGAGGAUUUAAAUAAUUUUUUUUAUAAUGAGAAUAGUAUGAGAGUUAUUUUUGCAAUUUAAAGUUGUAGAAAUCAUUUUAUUAAUAAAAUCAUAUUGAAUUUUACUAUUUUUGCAAAUAAAGCCAUAAAAGUAAUUUUUUUAAUUAAAAAUUCUUUUACAAAUGAAGUUAUAAAAAUCUUAUUUAUUUAUUUAUUUUAAAAUAAUUUGUAUAAAUCAUUUUUCUUUAAUGAAAAAAAUUGAAAUCCUUUUGUAAAUAAAGUUAUAAAAAUUCUUUUUUUUUUUUUUGUUUUUCAAAAAACUAAAUAAAAAAAUAUUUUUAUUGUAAACAAAGUCAAUUUGAUUUUUUUUAAAUAAAUUCUUUUAACAAUAAUAAGUGUAAAUAACUUUUUUGAAAAUUGAAUACAAAUGAUAUUGAAUCAAAUCACUUGAAGAAAAUAAAUUGACUUUUUUUUUUAUAAAUAAAUAAAUUGAAAUCAUUAAUUUAAUAUUGUUUUUUUAAUAAAAUCCUUUGAAAUUUCUUGAAAACUAUUUUUUUUAUUACAUAUUUUUUUUAUUUAGUUCAAUAAAUCAUUUUGCAUAAUUCUCUUGUCAUUUAUUUAAUGCAUUCUUGUAAUUAGAUUUUAUUCAUCAUUUUUGUGUAUAUUAAUUUGUUCACUUAAUUUUGGUAUCCAUGAUUAAUUAAUUAAUUAUCACAAUUACCUCAAUUCAUUUAGUAGAGACCGUAUGUGUAUGGCUUAGGUGCUACGAUUCAUCAUUGUACCUUCCCAAUGGGUAGCCUAAUCCUCAAAUCUAGACUCGAUUUUUGCAGACAUGUUUUUUCCAAAUAAGGAGUCAUAUAUGAUUUUCUUUCUUAUUUUGUUUUCCUUUUAAAAAAUAAAAGAAAAAUAAGUGGCGACUGCAAGUCUUUUCUAAAAAUCAAAUUUUUACCAAAUAAAAAAAGGAGUCUCAUCAUCAAGUGAUGACGCACGUGAAAAAUGUGGGUCCACAAUAGUGUAGUAUCAUUCUAUCACUCGUCUUUUUGUUAUUCCACAUGGAUCUUCAUAGGAGAUAGUAGUAAUUAUAAUGUCUUUUUAUUUAUUAUUCCACUUUCUUCUAAUUUGAAAAACAUCGAAUUUUUUAUUCUUAAUUCUUGCAAAAUCGCAGUUUGCAAUAGAUACAUUUGUAGGCUAGUCCAAAUAAUCCGAAUAUAGGUCAUCGCGAUGAAAUUCAUCAAUUAUAUGCAACCAUUUUAGAGGCUAUACACAAGGCUGAUAGGUUGCUUUUUCCUCCUAAUGUUGAUAUAAAGAGACAAUCAUCGGAAGAGGAGGUAGGGAUGAGAGAUGGAGGGGUACGAAUUAGAAGUGGUGAGGUAUGAACUAGAGGUGGUGGGGUAUGGACCAAAGGUGGUGGGGUUCGGUCUAGAGGUGGAGGUGUACGAACACAUACAAGGCAUAUUUAUGAUGAUCCACACUUCCUUAUCGAUGAUGCAUCGCUAGAUUUUCCAUCAUCUCCUCUACAACAUACUGCCUUCACUUUUCUACACCACUAGACCAACCACUACCUCCUUCAUCAGUUCCAUCCAUUGAUGAUGGGGUGAUAUAGGAAGAUGUUGGAACAUCAUUCAUCCAAGAGCUAUUGCAUUCUCAUAUCGACGAACCUUAUUUUCACAUACUUAUGUCAUCUAGUAUCGAUGUGUCGUUUACUUCACUUACAACACCACUCAUUGCUUUGUCACCACAAUCAUCAGGGCAUUCAUUUAGAGAUGAUGUGAUGAGGCAAAUGCAAUACUUUCCCACACCACUUGUUGAAAAAUAGGGAGAAUACUAGGUUCAAGAUCAAGGACGUGGACGAGGAUGAGGAAAUGGAGCAACAUUGGAUGGUCCCCUAGAUCAAUCAGAGUUGGAAAGAUGUCACCAACGCCCGCAAUGAAGAAGGAAGCCUCCUUCAUGUGACACACAUUGAUGACUUUUAUAUAUUUUAUUUAACAUAAAUUGAUGAUAUAUAUUGCUCUUUUGUUGCUUGUUGAUUUAUUUAUAUUAAUGAUGCAUGCUAACUUUUAUUGGUUGUUGGUUUAAAUUAAAGAUUAAUAUUUUUAAUUUUAAAAUUUAUAUAAUAAAAUUAAUUUAAAAAUUAAAACAAAACAAAAUUAUUUAUUUUGUAAAUAAUUAUUUAAUAAAUUAAUAACAAAUUUGUUUAUAUAAACUCAUUUUUCACAUAAAAUUGAUAAUAGUUUUUUUUUUUUAAAUUCCAAAGCGAAAGAAACAAAAAAUAAUAGAUAAAUAUUAUUUAUCUUAUAAAUAAAAAACAACAUCAAACUAAAUUGAUUUUAUUAGUUUUAAUUAAUUGAAUUAAUUUAAAGAAAAAUUGAAGAUUAAGAACAAUUAAAAUUAUUUUUUUAAAUCAAUAUCUAAUUUAUUUUAAAAUUUUAAAAUAUAAUAUAUAUUUUUAUAAAUAUUAUUGUUGAUAAAUAUCUCAAUAAUUAUAAUUGUUUUUAUAUAUUAAAUUUAAUAAAUAAAAUUAAUUAAUUUUAUAAUAUAUAUUUAUAAUAAUAUUAUUAUUGUAUAAGUAUAUUAUUUGUAGGGAAUGGAAAAAUGGAUUUUUGAAGAACUUUUUUUUUUUUUGCCAAAGUUGUCUCUUCAAGAGACGAUUUCUCACAAACGAUUCCCCCUACUAUUUCAAAUUUCAAGAAAUCGUCUCUUAAAGAGACAAUUUUAGCUUAUACAUUUAAAAAAAAAAAUGAAUUUUAUAAAUCUUAUCUUGAAAAUACGAUUUUUUUGGUAUAAUUUUUUUAGAAGGACAUAAAUCCUAAGGGACGAUUUCUAUUUCCAAUUAUUCUUGUAGUAAUAUAUCAUUCCCCUAAGCUUUUGCUAAUGUGUAGCAAAUUAAAAAAUAAAAAAAUUCAAAAAUUAUGUUUGAUUCUCAAAAAGUAUCAAGGAAAAAAAUAUUUAAAAAAUUAUUUUAUCAGAUUUUGAUUUCAUGAAAAAAAAAUAUAUUAAUUAAAAAUUUAUAUAUUUUUAAAUUAUUUAAUCUUUAUAUAAAAGAUAAAAUAAAUAAAUAAAAUUUAAAAUAGUAUAUAAAAAUGAUUUAUAAUUUUAAAUUUAUUUAUUUAUUUUUUCUCAUUGUUUUCGUUUCCUCUAUUUUUUCUUCGUGUUUAGAUGUAUUAUGUGGAUCCUUCCCCCUAUCCAAUCAUUCUUCAUGUGUUGUGGGCUGCAAAUUAUCAUUUGGGUUCGUACAAUGAAGAAUUAUUAAGUAUUACUUUUAGAAAGCAACCACUCUUGGAUGAAGUAACCGCACAAGCCCACUACCAUCGGUUUUCGAUAGGCAGGGAAUACAGAAUGAAAAGCAACCACAAUUUCCUCCAUUAAUUUGUUGAUAUAAAGUUGUUGACUGAUUUUUUGAUCUGCACUCUCACUAGCGGAAUACCCACGUAACGGGCCCACACUCACCUGUACAUGUAUCCUAGAAAAUACGCAUUAGUGGUCUAAAUUGUCGCACUGCAUCAUUAAUUAAUCCUUAUUCAGUGUUAGAGAAAAACAUGCUCAGAAAAAGUAUCUGCAUUCAUAAAUUAUAUGGGAAAAAAAACAUGAAAAUCGGAAGAGCCAACGUAAAAGCUAAAAUCAUGCCCUUAACCGUGUAUUUUCAGCUUAUCAUCCCUUCAAUUCUGAUAUUUUGAUGUUCGAGCCUUGACUCCAAGUUGGUGUUUUGCUGGCUGAGAUUCUAGGCGUUCUCAGAAGUCAUAUGGUCUUGAGAUGACGCAUUUCGAUUUUUCUUACACAAAAAAGAAUUCACAGGAUUUCAUUGGGCUAGCUGAAAAUGACAGGAAAAAACCAAAAAAACCCUCUUACCACUUGCCAUCACACUCAGAAAUAUUAUGAUCGAGUCCGCAUUGCUUUAUUGGUUCGAAUUUCCAAGGGAUAAAUCAUCUGCAAAUGACACAGAAAAAGCCGCUGGAGCUCCAAUCUCUGAUGAAACUACCUCUCUCCAGAUCUUCUAGGAAUCCAAUUAAAUUGCUCUUUCAUUCCACAGACCUGAAAAGAGAAAACAGCCUUGUCUUUACAUUCCUAAAAUAACUACUCUCUCCAAAUUAAACCUCAAAGCAUAUACUGCUUUCAGAUAUGUCAUCAUCAUCUCUGCAUAUAGAAAGUAAGAUCUACUCGGAUACGCUUCAGUUAAGAAACACAGAAAACAUCUGCUUCAGUUCAGCUUUUUAUAUUACUAUUUUGCAGAGAAAUUACAGGAAAAUCCAAGGAGUCUCCAAACAUGAUGAUUUAGUAUGGAAUCCCCUGACCUCAUGAUAACUUCGAGAUAGUUAUCACUCGAUAUUAUUCUGAUGAAACCCAAUAGCUUUGCUUCUAUGGCUCACCGUAUUACAAAGGGAAACGAGUCCAAAGACUUUAUAUUGCAAAAUAGCACAAUAUACAUAUUAGAAGGUACAGCAAUCUCAACAAGUAUCAAAGUACAGAAAUACAAACAAACAGGGGGAAGAUGAUUAAUCAUCUCUGCUAUUCAACAACAAUUGAUCAUUGGGCGCCACGCUUGCAUCGAUUGUAAUAGGAGCAGGGCCGAUUGUAUCCAGGUUUUGGGGUGAGGCAGCUGCCGUAAAUUUUUGCAUUACAAACCGGAGGCUUCUGAAGAGCACCAUAAGAAAUAUGAGGCUUCUGCGCUAGAGAUCUUCCCUUCACUUCAAACCCAAUCAAGAACUCUUGUUCGCCUAUGCAGUCCGAGAUCGUGCCAUUGCACACAUGGUCUUUGCUGCUUUCAAGAGAUUCCCACUGUCUUUCCAUCUCUGCAGUUGAAACAAUAACUAGGACUGCAAAAGCCAAAUAAAUUCCCACUCCCUUCAACUGGAUUCUCAUUGUUUCCCCCCAGAUGAGUCCUGUAGACUUCUCACAACCUUGGAAGGAUGAGCACAGCGCUUUUUAUCUCUUCUUUUGCCCUAACCAUUUUCCAGUUGACCCAGCGUUUACCUUGGUGGGUCAGCUGGUAAACCACUUUAUUGCACCACGGAAUAAUUCCUCAGUGACACGUUAGUCACCAUUUUCUUUGAUGGUGCCAUCUUGCCGUGUUUAUAUUUAAAGAGAAAUAAGAAUUUCCUCCACAUCACAUCACCGCACUAUCUAAGAAGAUGUGGAGGUAAUGCUUGGUCCUCCUCGUUGUUGAAAGACUUUAACAAGUCAUUUAUGACAAUUUGGAGGGCUGACAUUAGCUCAGCAUCAACAAAUUUAUAGUUUAUUUUAUAUACAAAAUAUAGAUUGUUUAAAUUAAGUAUAUGUUCAAAGAAGCUAUCAAAAGGAAACUGAUGAAAUGACGACAAAUUAUUCAGAAAAAAUAUAAACAAAGAAAAAGAAAGACGAAAGUGCUGGGACUUGUCUUUAAUGUAGAUAUUUCAACAAGUGAAGGAUUUUUGAUGGAUACUUUCUACCGGUCGUGAAAUUUCAAUUGUCACUUGUGUUUCUUCCUCUCCUCUGCGAGAUUCCAUCUUUGAUUGAUUUUUUCCUUUUUGUCCCUUGAUAGUGAUUGGACCUAAAGAUGCCGUAAGGGAAGGGGAAAAAAGUAAAGAAGACAGACUGGACUUGUGGGUCCGCAUUAACUUUAUCAGUAUCACAUUGCUUAGGACGGAUAAGAUAUCCUUGGUCACACGUUAUAAAGAUAUAAUUUAUUGCAUUUUUAUUUCUAAACUUUCAAGAUAGGGAAAAGUAAAAGUUAAUUAAAUAUAUACAACAACUAAAUUUCAUUUAAAUUUCAUCAACAUCUCUUUUAUUUCUCAAAUUUUACCGAUUUUUCAUAGAUAUUUUCUGAUAUUUCGAGGUGGCUAUUUAGCUCAAAAAUGUCUUUAAUUUUCUAUGGGAACCCAAACAAAAGGUUUAACAUGAACUUUAGCUUACCACUAGGACAAGUUUACUCCUUAUUAAAUAUAUUACACCAAACAUCUAUAUAUAUAUAUUAAAAGUCAUUAUAUAAGCAAAAUAUUAAAAGGAUAUUUUAAAGAACAAAAUAAUUAUAAUUAUUUUAUAAUUAAAUGAAAAAUUUUCAUUUAAUUGACUACCAAAAAUAUAAAACUCAUCAUGAUAAUUUUUUUCAUAGUGUUUUUAAUAUCAUUGCUAGAUUAAUUAAUUAUUAAAAAAUUAUACAUAUAUCAUCAUUUAUUUUAUAUCAUUUAAUACAAUUGAAUUAAAUGGAUAAUAAUUUUAAUAUUAAAUAUAUUUUAAAAUUAGAUAUAUUUUAAUCAAAUAUCACAAUAUUAUUUUCAAAUAAUAUUUGAUGUAAUUUAAUAAUAAAUGUACACUUAUAAAAUUCAUAUUUUUUAUCGACACAUAUAAUAUUAUUAUCAAAUAUAAUAAAUUAUAUCAUACAUAUAUUGAUUUCUUCAACAAAAUAAUUUUAAAACGUUUAUUAUACUUCUAAUUUUAUUUCUAAAAGUUUUUUUUCUUAUAUUUUCAUAAAUUUUAAUCAAUUUUAGACCUUAUAAACCCCAAUUUGCUGUUUUAAACUUAAUGAAACUCUACGAGAGGAAAAAAAAAAUCACUCAUUUUUUUUAAAAUUAAUCAUGGCAAAAUUGUUGAAAUAGAAAGCUCGUGACAAGUCUUUUUUUGUAGUAAUAUCCUUGAAAGGGAUGAAUUGGUUGAUAGUCUCUUUUUAAAACAUUUUACCAAAUUUUAACAUAAUUAGUAUAUGUAUGUAAGCAAUGAAACUAAGCAACAUUAUUGUGGUUUAACAACCCAUCUAUGCCCACACUCUCUAACUACUCCAUAAGUAGUGAGAUAUUCAUAUUCUAGUAUUCUAAAGGUCUUCUAAAAUAAGGCUUUCCUUAUUCUUCUUUACACUUGUAUUUCUUAAGUUUUCAAUAAACCUUUUAUAACAAGUGUUUUUUCGUACUUUACCAACUCACUUUCCGCCAUGUACAAAAAUUUCUUUCAAGAAUACGUACAAUACCAAGCUUUGAAAUGAAAUACACGAAUAAUGAUAGCAAAAGUCAAGGUGCACUAAGUGGAUUUUGCAAGUUUUGGAGUAGAAGGACUCAAAAAUGAAUUAAAGACUCUUUUUCAUGACAAAAAUGAUAUACAAUAGUUACAAUACCCAUCAAUGGUUUCUAAGAACCUAAAAUAGGUCAUUCUUGUAAAAAAUUCCUCAUAUAUUUUUCCAUAUUUCUGUACAGAGACGAGUAUGGUUAUAUAUCAAUACAAAGAGAAAAAUUAGAAGCUAAAUUAGGCUAUACACAAAUUACGCCUAUUAUAAUAGUUGACCCUUAACAGAAGAGAUUCUAACAAAUCUGGCCUAUAAGUUUUCAAUCACUGACAGCUCACGCCAACACUCUCCCUCAAGUUGAUGCAUAUAUAUCUUUCAUGCGCAACUUGUCAAGUGAGCUGUAGAAGACUUUGCUGGAAAUAGCCUUUAUAAGAAUGUCUGCCAAUUGAUCCUCAGACUGACCAAAUGGAAAUCGAAUUACCUUUUCCUCGAGAUUCUGUUUGAUGAAAUUUCUAUCUACUUCCACCUGUUUAGUACGAUCAUAUUGGACUGGAUUGUGGGCAAUAUCAAUGGCUGCUUUGUUGUUACAAAACAGGUCCAUUUCGGAACUAGGAGCAAAACCAAUCUCAGUUAGCAACCUUUUAAGCCAAAUGAGUUCACAGAUGCCCUUGACCAUUCCUCUGAACUCAGCGUCAGCACUAGACAAUGCCACCACUUUUUGCUUCUUGCUUCUCCAUGUAACAAGAUUUCCUCCUAUGAAAGUAAAGUAGCCUGAUGUGGAUUUCCUGUCAGAAAUAUUUCCAGCCCAAUCUGCAUCUGUAUAACCCUCAAUGUUUAGAUGAUUAUUUUUUGAGAGCAUAAGCCCUUUUCCAGGAGAGGACUUUAGGUAGUGAAGAAUCUGAAUUACUGCAUCCAUAUGAUCUUCACUAGGACAAUACAUAAAUUGACUCACUAUGCUUACAACAUAGGCUAUAUCUGGGCGAGUAUGAGAUAAAUAAAUUAGCUUACCCACUAAUCUUUGAUAUCUCUCUUUAUUUGUUGGCAAAUGAUCUGAAUACUCUCCAAGUUUAUGAUUCUGAACAAUUGGGGUCUCAGCUGGUUUACAGUCUAGUAGUCCCACUUCAGACAAUAGAUCUAACACAUAUUUCCUUUGAGAAAGAAAUAUACCUUGCUUUGAUCUGGUUACCUCAAUUCCCAAAAAAUAUUUGAGUCCUCCAAGGUUCUUCAUUUCAAAUUCAGUUGCCAAUUGCCCUUGAAGUCUAGAGAUCUCUUCGAUGUCAUCUCCUGUAAUGAUCAUGUCAUCUACAUAUAUAAUUAGAGUUGUUGCCUUUCUUAGCCGGUGUUUCAAGAAUAGAGUAUGAUCUGAAUUGCUUUGGGUAAAACCAUACUUUCUCAUAGCCAAGCUAAACCGACCAAACCAUGCACGGGGUGAUUGUUUUAGUCCGUACAAUGCCUUUUGUAACUUACACACAACCUCAGUCUUUAAAGAUGUCAUGUAUCCUGGUGGAAUAUCCAUGUAAACUUCCUCCUUUAAAUCACCAUGAAGAAAUGCAUUCUUUACGUCAAACUGAUGUAACGGCCAAUUCAAAUUUGCUGCAAGAGAUAACAAUACUCUAACCAUUUUCAGCUUUGCCACAGGUGAGAAGGUUUCUUGGUAGUCUAUGCCAUAUUUUUGUGUAUGUCCCUUUGCCACAAGCCUUGCCUUGUACCAUUCAAUGGAUCCAUCAGCCUUGUGUUUAUUGGAGAAAACCCAUUUGCACCCCACGGUCUUCUUUCCUUUCGGUAAUGGAACAAGAGCCCAUGUUUUACUCUUCUCCAGAGCAUCCAUUUCUGCUUUUAUGGCUUGAGACCACUUUGGAUUUGAUAAGGCUUCUUGUACUGUGCUGGGAACAUGGUAUGAGGAUAGCCUAUGCACAAACUCCUUGAGUGGUUUUGGUAAUCCUAGAGUAGACACAUAAUUAGCAAUUGGGUAUCUUGAUCUUCUUUCCUCAAAAUCUGGAGAAUACCGAUGUGGAGGUUUGCCACGAUUGUGUCUGAAAGGUAAAGUAUAACCAACAGAAUUAUCCAAGUCAUUAAUAGGUGUGAUGGGAGAGCUUACCUCAGGAGUAUUCUCAGGAGAAGGGACUUCGGGUACUGAGGAGUGGGGUUCUUCAUUUUCAGCUUCAGAUGACUCGGAUGCAGCUUCCUGAAUGAUAUCAGGAUUAUAUCUCAUUUCUUCACUAAUCACUGCCUCAUUGCCAUCACUCAUCUGUACCGGGUUGUCUUCAAAGCCUUGCCAAGUCCACCAAUUCAGUUCUUCAUCUCGUAUCUCCCCCUGAAGAGAUGAAGUGGAUACUGAUGAAGAGAAGAAAGUUUCUGAUUCUAAGAAAGUAACAUCCAUAGUGACGUAGGUGCGCUUGGUGGUAGGGUGGUAACAACGAUAUCCCUUUUGGCGUGUAGCAUACCCCACAAAGAUACACCAAACAGCACACGAAUCAAGCUUAGUUCGUUGAUUUUUAUGGAGAUGGACGAAAGCGACACAACCAAAGAUUCGUGGUGGAAGUAGCACGACAGUAGGCAAUGAAACAUGUUCAGAAAGAACCUGCAAUGGUGUCUUGAAUUGCAGCACUUUUGAAGGCAUACAGUUUAAUAUAUACACUGCCGUGGCAAUAGCAUCAUCCCAAUAUCUACUCGGCACAUGUGCCCCAAGCAAGAAAGCACGGGUUGUUUCUAGGAUAAGCCGAUUCUUCAUUUCGGCAACCCCAUUUUGUUGGGGUGUUUAAGCACAUGACAUUUUGUGAAGGAGGCCAUGGGUCGCAAAGUAAUCCUGAAAUUUCUUAUUGACAUAUUCACCACCAUUGUCAGAGCGAAGGAUAUGAAUUUUAGCUGAAAAUUGAGUUUGAAUCAAUGUAUGAAAAAAUUGAAACACACUAAACACAUCAUCCUUUGUUUCAACAGAUAUAACCAAGUCAUACAAGUACAAUCAUUGAUAAAUGUCACAAACUAGCGAAUGCCAGAAGAGGUGGUAAUUGGAGAGGGUCCCCAAACAUCUGAAUGAAUUAAAGCAAAAUGAAUAUCAUUUUUAUUCAAACUUGUGGAAUAAGAAACACGGUGACUUUUGGCUAGAAUGCAAGUAUCACAUUUAAAGUUAGAGUAAGGUGAUUUGGAAAAUAAAUUUGGAAACAAGUAUUUCUUAUAGCUAAAUGACGGAUGCCCCAAGCGUCGAUGUCAUAGCCAAAUCUAUCUCUUCUUAAUGCUUGCGUGGUGCAUAUGAUGAGCCUGACCAGAGCUGAAGUCAUCCAUAUAAUAUAACCCCCCCUUCUUAGUACCACGCCCAAUGAUCUCCUUGGUGAGAAUAUCCUGAAGAAGACAAAAGGUAGGAUACAUUAGUGUAACACAAUUUAGUUCCUCAGUAACUUGUCCUACAGACAUCAAUUUAUUUGAGAGAGAUGGAACUAAUAAAGUAUUAGAUAAAGAAAAAGAUGGUGAUACGACAACAGUUCCAGCCCCUGUAACUGGAUAUGUAACCCCAUUAGCAUUCGCAAUAUCAGUUCGCCUUGGUUGGGUAACUUCAAUAAAAUGAUCUGAAUUGAAUGUCAUAUGAUCCGUGGCCCCAGAGUCAAUUAUCUAGCCAUUGUCACCAUUCUGGAUAGAACUUAGUAAAGCAUAACCACAAUUACCUUGAUCAUUGAGAUGAGUUUCAUCACUCGAAGACUCUAUUUGUGAGGUAAACGAUAACUGAGGUGCUGCAAUUACCAGGGCAGCCCGACCAAGCCCUUCAUUAGAGGCAACAUCACGAUUUUUCCGAGCCUUGUACUCAUUUCACCAGUCUGGGUACCCAUGUAACUUGAAACAGGUUUCACAGGUAUGUUUCAUGCUCCCACAAUGAGUACAACCUCCUCCUUUUGAUUGGGUCUUGGCUCUGGCGUUGGUAUUCAGUUUUCCAGCACCUGUAGAGCCAUUUUUGGAUAACUGCAGAGAGGGUGGUUGUUGUUGUCCUAUCUUGACUCAUUUUGAUGCCAUAACAGCUCCAGUCGUGUCUGUACCUCUGAGCAUCACGACCUGUCGAAUCUCCUCUCGUCGAACAUGAGCAUAGGCCUAUUCUAUGGUAGGAAAAGGACAUAUCUGUAGCACAUCACUUCGAAUCUUGUCCAGCCAAUCGUCCAAUCCAUCAAGAAAGAUAUAGACUCUAUCUUCUUGUAGGAUUGUAUUAUAUUUUUGUAUAUCAGUGGCACAAUUCAUCGGGUUAGGAUGCCGAAAAUCAAUUUCUCUCCACAAGCCUUGAAGAUCAUUGUAAUAUUUUUCAAUGGAUCCUCCGACUUGUCUCAUUUUAGUCACUCGUCUUUUUAGAUCAUAUACUUGUGAAGUAUUAGUUCCAUCAAAGUAAGUAGUAGCAACAGAAUCCCAUACCAUUUUUGCAGUUGGGAAGCGAAUGAAAUUACUGAUCAAGGUCGGGUCCAUAGAAUUGAUCAGCCACUCUUUGACAAUUGCAUUCUCAGUUCGCCAUUGUCUGAAAGUCAAAUCGGUAGGUUCAGGUUGUAGGAAAUCACCAUUGAUAUAUCCCAAUUUGUCUUUGCCCGAGAUAUACAUCUCAACAACUUGGGACCAGAGGGCAUAGUUGGUGCCAUCCAACUUAAUGCCGAUUUGUGCAGCGGAAGUAUCAUAGGUCGGUAGGUGGGUUUGAGUUUGAUUUUUGGUCAAGACUUCAGUCAUUCUUGCCGUCAAAUCUUCUAGGAUAGAAUCUGUGGAGCUGCCGCCAGUUUGUACCACAUCAUUUGGGUUCACCAUGGCUGCAAAUCAGUGUUUAGGGUUGGGUUUGGUUGUAGAGCAAGUCCUAGGAUUAUGCUCUGAUACCAUGUCAAAAAUUCCUCAUAUAUUUUUUUAUAUUUCUAUACAGAGACGAGUAUGGUUAUAUAUCAAUACAAAGAGAAAAAUUAGAAGCUAAAUUAGGUUAUACACAAAUUACGCCUAUUAUAAUAGUUGACCCUUAAUAGAAGAGAUUCUAACAAAUCUGGCCUACAAUUUUCAAUCACUGAUAGCUCACGCCAACAAUUCUGGCCAUCAAGUAUCAAUAACAUGUUAAUUGAUGAUUGAAUGGUCAACUAGAAGCAACUUAUUGAUCCAUUUUUGAUGAAAAUUGGAAGCUAAGAACUACAAUGAAUUGAGAUUUGAUAGAUCGAUUGAGGUCCAACAUUAACAACCCUUCAAUUGUGAGGUACUACUUGCCAAAUGCACAAGUUCACCCUUAAGUGGUUGACCUCUUUGGUCAAUCAUUGAUCAAUUAGUAUACAAGAAACAUAAAAAGGUCACUGCAUAAGUGAUCAAUAAUGGCUCUUGUUGAUUUAAAUUGAAAAGUUAAGAAUGAAAAUCCCUUUUUAAUGAUGAAAAAAACAUAUCAAUUAAAAUUGAAAACUUAAGAUUGAAAAACUCUUUCGAAUGAUGAAAACUACAUCAAAUAUAAGUUUUUAUCAUUGAAAUAAUCAAUAUUUCAUUUGCAUCUUUUGACGCAUGGUCUUUGUAGAGCCAAAUUUGGUUUGAAAGAAUUUUUCUGGGUCUGGGUCUAGAACUAGAAGUGGUAGUUAAUACCGCUACAAAUGGGCUCGCUGCUUGAGAAUUAGAGCAAGAAGCACUCUUAAGCGAGAUAAGCCGCCUUGUUUUCCACAAGAGAUCGAGGGAUAGGUUUUCCCAAGCCUCCUCAAGGAGGGCGAGUCUCAAUUCGAGAUUGAGAGAGAUCUCCUCUUUAGAUUCUUAGGAAAGUACAGAUUCACGCUUUGAAUGUAAAUCGUGAAAUGAAAAUGCAAUAUUAUUUUCUUAAAAAGUCUUUUAAACAGUUCAUUCUCUUUUAUUCAAAUAAACUUUGUUUUUAAAGACAUUUAUUCUUAUUGAUCACUACUUUGACUCAACCUUGUAUAAUCUUGAAAAAAACCUUUUUUUAAUUUUCUCUUUAGUUCCAUGACAUUAAAUUAUGUGCCUUCUUUUUUAUUGAUCCACACAACCUUUUGUCCUAUCGUACUUAAAAAGUUAUAAAUGUUGAAUUUGAGAUCUUUGUUUUGUUAUUAUUAAAAUUUAAAGCCCGUUUAGCAUUGCUUCUAGAAUAAGUGUUUUUAUUGGAAGUGUUUUAUCUUACAACACUUCUAUGAAAAACGCUUUUAUGAGAAUCUAGAAAGUGAUUCUAAUAGUGUUUUUGAUAAUAUAUCGCAUAAGUAUAAAAAUGCUUUUAAUGAUAAUAAAUUAUUGAAAAUGACAUUUAUUAAAAAAAUAUAUAUUAUAAUAACAAAAAGCUUUUAUUAUAAAAAAUAUAUAAGCAUUUAUAUUGUUAAAAAAACUCAAAAAAUUAUUUUUAUGAAAAAAAAAGUGAAAAAGAAAUAGGAGAGUGAGAAGGAAGCGAAGAGUGAAAAAGAAAUGGAGGAUAGCAAGAAAGAAUAUUUUAGGAAUAUAUGAAAAUUUUUGAAGUGUUUUUUUGAAGAAACACCUUCCAAGUGCUUUUGUAAAAAACACUUCAAGUGUUUUUCUAAGAGUCUAUUUGACAGUAAUUGUAGAAAGCGUUUUUAGCCCUUUUAACACUUGAAAAAUAAAAUUUUUCGAGUGUUAGAAAUACUAAAAAUGCUUCCUAUAAUCACUAUUGUGAAACCAAGGUUUGGUUAAUCUCAAUUUUGAUGAUAACAAAAUAAGGUUUGAAACUAAUGAUUAUAUUUCAAGUGUGAUUAGGUAAGAAGAUUUCCAAAGUGACAAUCACAAAGACAAAAUCAAGCCAAAGAGAAAUCAAUAAGAAGAAGAAGACCUCAAAGAGAAAUGUUUUUCUAGACCUAAGUUUUAUAGAAUUUCUUUAUAAGGUUGUUGGUGUACUAAGUCUUUCAUGCAUUACAUUAUUAACUUAUGCACCAAAAUCAUCCCAAAGUACUUUUGUUUUAAAUCUUUUAAAAUCAAAUGAUUUUAUGUUUUAACUAAAAUUUUGUGUCAAAUGUUUUCCAAACUUAUUUAAAAGGUUUUAAGUUAAAAAUGAUGGUUGUUGAGCCAAAAACAACUCAACUAGUUGAAUCGGAUGAGGAACCGAUUGACCAGUUCAGCUCAACCGAUCGAAGGGUGCAAAAAACUUUCUCUCUCUUCUAGAAUGUUUGUUCAACCUGUUGAGGUUGAAUCUUAACCAAUCGAGGUUGAACUCCAACUGGUCGAGGUCCGAUCCAGGUCUGGUCAAGAGGUGGUUAAGGUCCAACAAUAACCUGCCAAACAUUAAAUGUUAAUGGCUAGUCAAUCGAUCGACCCCUAUCUCGAUCGGUCGAACCUCCAAUGACUAGUUUGGUUAUUUUCUUCUAUAAAAAGGUUUUAAUCUUCAUUGUUUCAAAAGUUUAACAUUCCUAAACAUUUCUUGAAUAUAUUUGAGCCUUGAGAGAGUGUUUUUUAAGUGCACCAUUCUUCUAAAACUUGCAUAUCUUACGCAACUUUCAAUCAUAGUUUUUCUUGUACAAUUAAGCCUAAAGUUUUGUACUAGGAUUUUGUGAGAAUAUUUCCUAUCUUCAUUUAUAAAUCUUUGAGAAGAAAAGCCUAAGUGUGUGAUAUCACUUAGGGAUUCUCAAGUGUGGGGUAUCACUUGAGGGGUUAUUCAAGAGUGAGGUAUUUCUUGAAGAUUGUAAAAGGUGCUUAGAGCCAAAAGUCCAAAAGGGUGAAUUAGAACCAUAAUUCAAUUGUAUUGCUAAAGGCUUGGUUUGAAAGCCUUGAAUUAAUGGAACUUCAAACUUGGGAUUGAAGUUAGAGGAGAGUGGAUGUAGGCCGGGUUGCACCAAACUAUUAUAAAAAUCUUGUGUUUAUAUUAUCUCUUCCGUACUCUUUUACUUUAUAUGCAAGUUUUUAUAUUGUUUUAUUAUAUAUUUGCAUAUAAUUGUCUUUUGCAUUCAUAUAAUUUAAAUUUGUAAAAAUAGACCAUCAAACUAUUCACCUCCCCUCUAGGAUGAUUACUUUAGGUUAGAUUAACCUAAUUUUUCUAACAACUACCAAAUACACUCUAAAUUUUAAAAAGUGGUUUUCAAAAUAUUGUCAAACACCGAUUUUUUUUACCUUAAAAACACUUUUAAGUGUUUUUAGAACUAAAGACACUUUUAAAAAGCACUAUCAAAUGAGCUAUUAGGUCUAAUCAAACCUUGGAUUAAUAAAUGGAUUGUUAUCAUGAAAUAUCACUAAAACUCGCUAAUUUAUCGACAUUGUUUUCUUUUUUUUUUUUUUGGCGAUUUUUAAAAAAUUUCCCAUAAUAUCUUUUUUAAAGCUGGAAUUUAUCCAAUAAUUAUGUAUUAUAUUUUUUUAUUUUUUGUAUUUAUCAUUAAAAUUUUAAUUUUUUAAAGUUACAAAAAAGAAACCACUUUAUUUAUAAUUCUUUUACCAUAUUUAUAAAUUUAAUUAAGCUUAUUUUGAAAAUUUUAAAAGGGAUAAAAUUAAAAUUUAAGUUCCGUUUAUUAACAAUAAGGAAAAAAUUGUGAAGAAAUACUACUUACUCUUAAUCAUCUUUCACUUAGCUUAAUAAGCUUAUUAAUGAAUGAAAAAUGUGAUAUAAAUAUGAAGAAUGUGACUAUGGUUAAAAAAACAUGACUUAGAUAUGAAAUAUAUAUGACUAAAGCACUUGAGCAUGAAAAAUAUGUUAAUCUAAGUACAAAAAAUAUAAAUAAGGUAGAAAAAAAUAUGAUCAAUGAUACAAAGAAUAUGACUAAGAUGUUAAGGUAUAAAAAUGUAAAAAGGAUAUUAAAAUAUGAAAAAUAUAACUAAUUUAGGUACAAAAAAUAGAAUUAGGUAUAAAGAAAUAAUUAAUGUACAAAAUAUGACUAAGGAAUAAAUAUAAGUAGGGUAUGAAAAGUGCAACUAUAUACUAAAGUAUGAAAUUUGUAAUUUAAUUAUGAAAAGUCUAACCAAAAUAUAAAAUAUAUAAUCAAAGUAUAAAUGAACAAUUAAUAUCUAUAAACUAAAUAAAUAAUUUAUUAUCAUUUAACAUAAAACUUUUCUACACGUGUUAAUUUUGAUAAAUGUCAAUAAAAUAUAUUUAAUUAAUUUUAUCUUAGUCAAUUGUUUUUUUAUCAAGUUAUAAAGUUAUAUUUGUUUUUUUUAUAAAGUAAUUGAUCAAUUAAAAAAGAAUUAUGAAAAAUUUUAAAUUUCCCUGUUAUAUGUAAUUAAACUCAUUUAAACUUUUUUUUCCAUGUACAUUUAUUUUUAACCAACCUUUUAUUUAUUUAUUUAUUUUAUAUAUAUACAUAGUGCCUUCAAGACUUGAUUUCAAAAUAAAAUACAUAAAAAAAAAAGUCAUGAAAGCAAACUUUAGGAUGACAUGAUGAAAUCAUGUUUUCAACAUAUAACUUCAUAAUAACACACUAAAAUCUUAUGUUGAAAAAAUAAUUUCAUAAAAAUCAUAUUUUCAAGAAGCAACUUCAUAAUAACAUUAAAGUUAUGUUGUGAACAUAUAACUUGAUAAAGAUGUAUUCAAAUCAUGUUUUCAAGACAACUUCCGCAACAUAAUAUUAUAAUAAUUAUCUUAUCUAGAGUUAAUUUGACAUAUGAAAUGCAUGUCAUAAUUCUCUCAAUAAUUUUAAAGCCAGCAUAUUUUACAAAUAGUCUUUCCAAUUCACUCGUACAUUUGAAAAAAGAUCCUAAUAGAAAGAGCAAUACCAUCAAAUGCAACCCAUAUAUGGUGCAUAAACUUGAUCCAAGCACAGCAUGCAACACUGUGUAACGAAGAUCACAACUAAAUCAUCUUUCAGGUCUUAUCGCCCGCUAUGACUCCUAACCAGUGAGAACACACCAACGCCCACAUUAUCAGAAUGACUGCUCGUUGUGAACACACUGCUCCUUGAACCUGACAAUUGUCCACUGCUUUCAUCAACACUGACAGUGUUGGAGUAACGUAACAGAGCUUCUGCGCCCUUUUCCUCACUCAGAUGCCCACCAUCCAUUCCCACCUGCUCCGCGGUCUCCUGUAGCUGCAAUGCAAACUCGAGGCCCCAUACCACAUCGCUCAUUGAUGGCCGUUCGAUUCCACCACGAAGCAGGCAACUCACUGCAAUCUCCCCAAAUUUGUUCAGGCUCUCCGGAGCAAUCUCGCCCUUCAGAUGUGGAUCAACGAUCUGAUCAAGGGUACCUUCUUCGAAGCAACACGGGCCCCACACGGCGAGAGAUACACGAUCAUUGUCCUCCGACUUGAUCACCGGUGGCCUUGCGCACAGUACUUCAAACAGCACCACCCCAAAGGAAUACACGUCAGACUUCUCCGUCAACUGCUGCAGUCGGAAAUACUCCGGAUCCAAAUACCCCAAAGUUCCCUUCACGACCGUGCUAACGUGGUUCCGGGACAUGCCGGUGGGACCCACCUUGGACAAUCCGAAAUCGGAGACCUUGGCUACCCAUUUUUCAUCCAGUAGAAUAUUGGUGGUCUUCACGUCUCUGUGAAUGAUCAUGUGGGUCGCGCCUGUAUGAAGAUAAUGCAACCCCCGUGCUGCGCCAAGGCAAAUCUGGAGCCUCUGCUUCCAUUGCAAAGGAGGAUUUGUUCCGUAGAGAUGAUCGCAGAGAGUGCCGUUGGCCAUGUAAUCAUAAACGAGGAUCAUCUCGUGAUCUUCGCUGCAGAAGCCAAUAAGAGACACUAGAUGAAUGUGGCGAAGCAUGGAUAGCAUCUCUAUCUCCGUUUGAAACUCUCGGGCACCUUGUUUUGAUUGAGGGUUCAACCGUUUGAUUGCAACUGGGGCGGCUUUAUCGUCGAUGUAUCCUUUGUAGACGUUGCCGAAACCUCCUACUCCGAUGCGGAGGAUGAUAUCAAAAUUAUUGGUCGCCUUCUUUAACUCCGAAAGGGUGAAGCGGCGACAUAAAUCUGACGGUAAUGAAGAGGCUUUAGUCUUGGUGGAUGUUGUUGUGUUAGAUAGCGUGGUGCACGUUGACGUUUGGUAACUUUGGCCGAUCUCCUUCGCUGUCUUCCGUCUCCGGAGGACAAAAAAACCUAGCAUAGAGAGGAGAAAGACCCCACCAAGAACACUACCGGCAAUGGCAAUUGUCGAUCUUUUACUUUUCUGCCGAGACUCUGUUGGAUGAGAAGAUGGCUUGGUGGGAGCAGAGUUGGUAAUAGCUUUUGGCUCCGGGUUAGGUCCGGCAAGGUUGCCUGAGGCGCUGCUCAACUUGAAAAGUUCGAGCCCAUUUAGGAUGGCAUCAGAGUAAGCAGUUCUGGCGUCAGCGUUAGGGUGGAGAUCGAUAUACAGCUUGUGCAUACCCUGGCUCCCAUUCUGCAAAAUGACGACAUAGUCUCGGAACAAUGCACGACCAUUUCCACCACUCCAAGUAAUGACAUCUGCUUCAGUCUCAGCCGUUUGUUGAUUGAUAAAUAUAUGGAAUUCCCUAUCUUGCUUCUUUGUUAUGCGGGAUGAGACCUCACAGAAGUGAAGUCUAAUAAGAUAAUUGAAACCUAAAUAUGUUGGUAAUGUCCACGUUAGAUUGAUCUGGAUGUUGAGAGUUUUAGACGGACCCAUAGUUCUGGCUGUCUGAUAAACUAGCUCUGGAGCCGAAUAGUUAGGGAACUUGUCAGAGUACUGGAUUGGGUUGGAGGUGUUUACAGGAUCUGCGCCUCUGUAACCUAAGUAUUCAAUGUCUUCUGACCAAGUCCGGAACAUUCCAGUGUCGUUCAUGGGCGAAAUGUGCUGUCCUCCCAUGUUUAACCUGUAAACCGUCUCCAAGGCAAGGGCUUCAUCUAUGGGCAUACUUGAUGAUUGACCAAUGAUGGGGACCCAUAUAUCAUCACUACCACUGUAGUAGAGAUAGUCUGGCAUAGAGACAAUUUCAAUACCGUUGAUGAAGGCAUAACCAUCUGAAGUUUCUGAAGAUGGAAUGAAAGUUAUAUUUAACAGCUGAUCUUCUGCUAAGUUGAUGCAGAAUUCUUUGGAGAAGGCCUCUAAGCCCAGAGAUUGAGCAGUAAGGGAAGCACUGAAGUUGCUAAGGAAGGUGUACGUACUGACUGUGACAGAGAAGAAGGUUUUGGAGCCGUCGAAUUCUCCGUACAAAACUGGAUAGAAGUGCAAGCGAAUAAACUUGGGACCAGGAGGAACAGGAUCAAAUACGUAAGUGAACGGUGAUCGAAAUAUCCGAGCAGUCAUGUAGGGAGUUCUGUCAAUAGAGGGGGCUUGUUGACGUGCUUCAGAGAUAAACGAUGCAUUCUGGAGUUGUUUUGGUGCCGAUGUGAAAUUAGAUUGCUCGUCUCCCUGCCAUAGCCGGGAAUCCAAAGCCAUAGUUACACCUGGUGAGCCACAGUUGAGGGUAACGUUGUAGGAAGGUUCAUAACCAGAGAUGUGGACAGCGAGAAAACGAAGGAAGAAGAGAAAGAGGUAGAUUGGAGGAGGGAUAAAGAGUCUGCUGUUCAUGCUCUUAACAAGGCAAGAAACUAAUUGAACGUCGAUGAGAAAUACCAGGCGGAGAUGUUUCUCUUGCCCCUCUGAACAAUAGCACAGUUGAUCAUGAUUGACGCGUUUGAACAGCAAUGUAAAAAGAAAAAUGAUUUCUUUUUUUCCCUGAAAUCUUUUUGUCUGUUUUUGAAUAAAAUUCAAAUGAAUUUGCCUAGUCUUUCCCGUGAAUUGGGCUGCGUGGUGGAGACGUCAUUGAGCUUGUCCGAAGAAUCAACUUUUGCCACAAUAAUUUUGCAGAGCUGUGGGAUCAGGGAUUGCAACAUCAGAAACCGUGGCCUGAGCUGCAGUAGUAGUAAUCCUAAUCGUCCCCAAAUCUAAUGUUUCUCCAGCCGAGCUUUUCAACAAGAUUCAAUAACAAAGAGUUCUUUGAUCUUGAUCACAUGUCUCAGAAUCUUUAUAAGGGAUUGGUUUUAAUCUAUGAUUAUUUUUUAAUGAAGAAUGAUCACGCAAUAAAUUUUUAAAUAUGAAAACAGGGUUUAAUAUUACUUAUUGGUACGUGAAGAUAUGAACCUGGAUCAUGAUUUUAGCAACAUUCAUGAUCAUACGUAGGGCAUCAAAUUAAAGUAUCCACACAAAUCUCAUCUAUUUUUUCUAAGCUAUUACUCUUUAGUUUGUCCAUAUAUACUUAAUUUAUUUAAUAAUUUAAAUUUAAAUUAUUUACUUUAAUUUAUUAAAUUGGUUUACUAAAUGGCCACUUAAUAUAAAACUAUGUUUAAAAAAUGCUUCUAACAAAUUGCAAGUUGCUUGGAGCUUUAAGCUCGGAUGAAAAAGUUUAGAAGUGAGGGUCAAAAGAUGCUGGGACAUAAAAUCAAGACAAAAACUAGAUAAUGAAACUCCUAGUCACUAGCCUGGGCCCUGGGGUGAUGGUAUGUAGGGGGAUGUAGGGAUAGAGAAUCAAGACAAAACUAGAUAGUCAAGCUCCUCACUACCAGCAUUUGAUGUUUUCCUAAAUAACUUCUUUUUUUAAUUUAUAAACUACAUUUAUUAGUAAUUUUGAAAAAUGCAUCAUCAAACAUUUUUCAUACGAUUCCUCACGUGCAUAAUUAGAAGACAUUGCGGGCCCUUUGCUGGGAUUAUGAACAGGACCUUGCUUACAAUUUAGUACAAUAAUGCAAUGGCCGUUGUGGCUCCAAAAUUAAUCAUUCAUCAUUCAUGUGGUUGGCCAGCCACCAGUCUUUGUAUUUACUUUAUUAUCUUUAAUUUUGUUUCUUCAUGACAUACUUCCUCAAAUAUACCGAGAAUGAAAUGGAUUCAAUGUAAAUAUAUGCCCCCUAUGUUCUUAAUCACCUUCCUCGAUUUAUUCGUUGGAAAAAGCAGAUUUUUAGUCUACUUCGCUACAUUGAUGCAUACAUUACUGAUAUCAGAAAUUGGGAAAUUCGAAAAUAAAUCCUGUGGAAAAAACACACACAGCUUGAACUGGAAAUUGAUAAAAGAGACGGAAAGCAUGACACAGGAAUAAGAAACACUUAAGCAUACAUGGAGAAGGCUAUGGGAACUGUAUGCUUCACCCAGCCCUCGUACCGUUGCUUCUUCUUAACCAACAUUUGGUGUUGGCUUUUAACAUUCAUAUACCUGCUCGGCACCGGUCAUAAAUUUGACACGGAUCUUUUGGAUUACCGUUCCUGCGGGGCAGGCAAUCUGCAGCCUUUGUUUUGUCACAAAAGGGUUUAUCUGCCAUUAGAGCAAGGCUGAUGUCGAUUCGUUUGUUUAGAAGAAUUCUUCUGCUCUCAUGGGAAUCUAACUGGAAUUCCUCAUUUUGGUCGAGACAUUCUGCAACGGUGCCAGUGCAACCUAAGGUGGAGAUGUUGACGGACGACUCUAGUGGUUCAGCUUCACUUCGAGUUCUAAUACAGAGGAGUAUCACAAUGAACGCUGGAACUAUGAAAUGGUAGCUCCGGUGCUUCAUUUUUCUCCCCUCUCUAAGAGUGACUUCUUUUUUUAUAGAAAAUUGUAGACUGAAGAGCCACUGACUUAAAGGGUACGAGUGGAAGACCAAGACAGCCGUCCCUACCAAGGACAAUUAAAAUUGGGGCCCAUAUGAGAGGGUAAAACCACUGAUUUUGGGAGAGCUGGCAGGAUUGAUCAUUGAAAACCCUCACGGGAUGCUGAAUGAAUAAUGUCAAGUGGGAUAAUCCAAUCUUGACGUCGGUUUACUAGGUCCAUCAUGCCUAGCUAAGAUACCUACUGUGAUUAUCACAAUUGCAAUGUAGUGUGAAUCAACUUGCAUAAAAUGGUUAGUCACCUCAUAUUUUGCAACCCCAAAUACCAUAAUUCAAUGAACUUCUCAUUUUGGUGCCUCUGGAGUCUGGACCACCACAUAUGGCUGGUUUUAUAUUAUGAACAUUUUGCAUCAGAGGCAUCGGAUGAUAAUAAUAAGUUUGUCCUCUUUUGCCUUGUGCUGCAAUAGGACAUCUCUUGAUUACAUAUGUUUGGUGAGUGGCCAGGGAAAAAUUUAAUAAUGAACGAUUCAAUGCACAAGUUUCUUUCAUUUUCACUCACAUAUCAAUUGAUUUUUAAGAGAGUAGUUUUAUAAUAGAGAAUGAUCAGGCAAGUUUUUUUAAUAUGCACUACUCGUUAAUUUUUUGGUACGGGAAUAUGUGAACACAUCUCCAUGCUUGGAUCAUGAUUUUAACAUUGUGGUCAUACUUGGGUGUAUGAUAUGAUAGUACGCUCACAAAUCCGAUCAUGUGAUCAAUCUAUCUUUAGUUCGUUCAUGUAUAUCAAGCUUACUUUCUAUACAUUUGCUUAUUGUAACACCCUAACCUCAAGUUUAAGUAAAUGUAUAAUUUAAUUAUUUUAAAAAAAUAAAAUUUUGGGUUAUGUAAAUUCAAUGGAGCUUUAUAAUUUUAGGGCUUUACUUAUACGAAUUAUUUUGAACUUACAGAAAAUAAUAAUAAAUAAAAGAAGGUGGAAUAUAUAUCUUGAUAUUCUAAUCGGAGUCAGAUUAUAAAGUUUUAAAGUCGUUCUUCAAAUUAGCUUAUAUACCUUGAGGUAAACAAAUCUAAUCACCUCAAGUUUGAGUAAAUGUGUAAUUUAAUUAUUUAAGAAAAUAAAAUUUUUGAUUAUUUAAAUUCGAUCAAGCUUUAAUUUUAGGUUUUAGGCUUGAGUUGUAUGAAUUAAUUUUAUAGAAAUUAAUAAUAAAUAAAGGAGGGUGGUAAACAAACCUAACCACCUCACGUUUGAGUAAAUAUUUAAUUAAUUAUUUAAAAAUAAAUAAAAUUCUGAAUUAUUUAAAUUCGACCAAGCUUUAAUUUUAGGCUUUGGGUUUGAGUUAUAUGAAUUAAUUUUGAGCUUAAAUAAAAUUCUGGAUUAUUUAAAUUCGAUCGAGCUUUAAUUUUAGAUAUAUCUUGAUAUUCUAUAUAGGAGUUAGAUUUGAAGCCGUUCUUCAGAUCAGUUUAUAUACCAGAUAUAGGUGGUGUAUGCAUCGCAUGCAGGGAGUUUAUUCUAUAUUGCAAUGCUAUUGUGAUGGGCAAAAGCGUUUGAAGAGCCUAGGUUUGAACUUGCUUCAUGCGGUCUAGGGAGGAGAUUUUAGGGGGUUCUAAUUUUUAUGCCAUUUAAUAGCCAUAUUGGCAUGACCAACAAAGUAUGUACUUUAUGCUGCCAAUGACAUGCAUGAAGAAGAAUAAGAAUAGUACAUGAAAAGGAGUAUUGUAAUAAAAUAGUGAUAUAAUAACAAGCUAAUUGUUAAAUGAAUUAAGAGUAUACAUCACUAAUUUUGUAGACAAGCUAAUUUAGUGAAUUAAAUUAUCACUAAAUUGGUCUUCGCAAUUAUGAAUUUUCAAUUUAACAAAAUUUGAGUUCGACAAAUGAUGAGUUACACACACAUUUGAUAUGUAGUAUAUAUUCAAAAGGUGACACAUGAUAAAAUUUGAAAGGUUAGAAAAUUUAGCUUUACAAAUAAAAUCAAAAUUUCUAAUUAAAAUUAAAAGAGAAUAAAAAAAAUUCUUUGUUGAUAGAUUUCUAAAAGAAAUAAAUUUUCCAAUUGAAAUCAAAAGAGAAUUUUUUAAAAAAAUUCUCUUGUUGACAAUUUUCCUUAAUGAAAGAGACAAGUUGCUAAAAAUCAAGGAAUAAAAUUCUUUGAAUUAAGCAAACUAAAUAUUAGGGAUUCCAAAUUUAAUUCCUCAAUUUCACCUAUAAAUAAUAGUAAUUUCCUUCAAUGAGGAUGACUUUGGAUUUCACACGGGAAGAAAGGUUUCACAAAGAAGAAAAGACUUUACAAAAUCUCCUUACAAACACGUGUUUUUUGCUUUUCAAAAAAUCAUUUGGGAAUAAGUCAUCUUAGGUUCUCGAUUAACUUUCAAAACAAAAAAACAUCUUCAAUGUCAAUAUAUGUAAAAAAAAAACAAAAAAGUGUGACAUUUCCUAGGAUUUAAUUCCAUGCAUAAUACAUUUGAUCCUUCUUAAUAAGUUGUUUUUCCUAAUUAAGCUAUCAAACUUGUAGUGUUUGUUUUUUUUUAUUUAAUUCUAAAUAGACUUUAAUGCUUAAUAGUGUUAAGUAUUAGAGUGUUUGUAUUUUUAAUAUUUUAUUUAUAUUAAACAUUAAAAAGUAAAGAAAAACCAAAACAAUGCUUUUUCUAUUUAGAAAAAGUCAAAUAUUUUAGUUUUUUCCAGUCAUGAAAAAGUUUAUAAGAAGUUAUGAAAAAAUAGAAAAACAAACAACUUAAAGUUUGAAAGCUAGAAAAUUGCUUUUAGCAAAAAAUUGAAAAAACAAAUGCCCUCACUCUUCUCUAUUAUUUUACUUUUCAAGUAUAAAUGAUAUCAACGAGACAUUUAGAAUAGUGGUAUUUUAUUGAGAUCACAAACAAGUUAAAGGUAUUCCCAAGUUAUUUAUUUGAAAUAAAAUUCAUGUUUGUUAAAUAAAAUGAAAAAAAAAUUCGAUUGAUGAGAAAAUUAUGAAGCUAGGUGAGAUGUGUGUGAGAGUUAUUGUUUAUGUGUAUAAUAAUGAUAUAUUGUUUGAGACAUAAAGAAAUGAAAACACAAGACUACAUAAUUAAGUUGAAUAUUUGUUAAGGAGAAUAAUCGCAAUACAAAAAAUCUUAAGUAAUAUUGAGAAAAUAACUCAAAAUCAACAUGAGUAUACAACUACAAAGACUACAUUGUAGAUUGGAGUUAGAAUGAAUAAGAAUACUCUUAGUAACUCACAAGAGAAAACACAAAGCUAUAGAUGGUUUUGGGAGCGUGUUGAGUAAAUAUCAAACUAAAAAGUAAAAUUGUGAUAUUUAAAAACGGAGUAUUAAAUUGGGAUGGUAUAGGAAAUAAAUUUUUAUUAUAAUAUGGAAUUUAAUUAAAUUAGUUAAAAAAAAAAUACAAACAUGUGGUAGGGCAUUUUUAGGAAUUAAUUUUAAUUGAAUAGUUGUUAAAGAACGAAAUAAUAAUAAUAAUAAUUAUAAUAAUAAUAUUAAAAAAUAAAUAAAAAAGAGGACGGAUCAACAUCACUUAAGGAAAAAAAAAAGAAAGAAGGGGAGACAAAUGGAGGUGGAUGACAAAAAGAGAGAAAGGAAAGGUGAGAAAAGAAAAAACAUAAAUGAAAAGAGGCAAAGCAUACCAUGGGUCUUCAGAAGUCAUUUCACAUGAAAUUCUAGGUGAACAUUCUACUUUGUUAAAGUACUCGUUUUUAGGUAGUUUGUUAAGGAUUUGUUAGUUUUUCCUAUUAAUAAGGGAUGUGCUUUUAGGUUUAUCUAUUCUUUAGUUAUAAACCAAGUUUCUAGGACUGUUAGAUGUGGAUUACUUCCAGCUAUAUUUGAGUUAUCUUGUAAGGCUAUUUAUAAGCCAGUAAAAUUCUAAUUCAAUUUGAAGAUUUCUUAACAUUUGGUAUCAGAGCAAAAGGAGUAGAAACCAGCAAUCACCGGGCCUGAUCAAAACCAGCAGAAACCUGAGAAGUAGCAGUCUUCUAAGAGUGUAGCAGUAAGGAUGGCAACUGAGAGUAACUUUGUGCAACCAGCAAUUCCAAAACUUGAUGCACACUAUGAUCAUUGGUGUAUGCUUAUGGAGAAUUUUUUGCGCUCGAAGGAAUAUUGGAACCUGAUAGAACAAGGGAUCCUUACAGCAGAAGCAGAGGUAGAACUCACUAAAGGGCAAAAGAAGGUGAUUGAAGAUGCAAAACUGAAGGAUUUGAAGGUUAAAAAUUAUCUCUUCCAAGCCAUUGAUCGAUCAGUCCUAGAAACCAUUCUGAACAAAGAUACAUCAAAGAGCAUUUGGGACUCUUUGAAGCAGAAGUACCAGGGGACGGAACGAGUGCAGCGCGCACAACAACAAGCUCUUCGAAAGGAACUUGAGAUGCUCAACAUGAAGGUAGGAGAAUCUGUGAAUGAGUACUUUGCUCGAACCCUUACUAUAGCCAACAAAAUGAGGGUUCAUGGUGAGAAAAUGGAGGAUGUUGUGGUCAUUGAAAAGAUUCUAAGAUCUAUGACUCCUAAAUUCGACUAUGUUGUGUGCUCUAUCGAGGAGUCUAAUGAUCUAGACACCUUAUCCAUUGAUGUGAUACAAAGCAGUCUUUUGGUGCAUGAACAACGCAUGAAUGGCCAUCUUNNNNNNNNNNNNNNNNNNNNNNNNNNNNNNNNNNNNNNNNNNNNNNNNNNNNNNNNNNNNNNNNNNNNNNNNNNNNNNNNNNNNNNNNNNNNNNNNNNNNNNNNNNNNNNNNNNNNNNNNNNNNNNNNNNNNNNNNNNNNNNNNNNNNNNNNNNNNNNNNNNNNNNNNNNNNNNNNNNNNNNNNNNNNNNNNNNNNNNNNNNNNNNNNNNNNNNNNNNNNNNNNNNNNNNNNNNNNNNNNNNNNNNNNNNNNNNNNNNNNNNNNNNNNNNNNNNNNNNNNNNNNNNNNNNNNNNNNNNNNNNNNNNNNNNNNNNNNNNNNNNNNNNNNNNNNNNNNNNNNNNNNNNNNNNNNNNNNNNNNNNNNNNNNNNNNNNNNNNNNNNNNNNNNNNNNNNNNNNNNNNNNNNNNNNNNNNNNNNNNNNNNNNNNNNNNNNNNNNNNNNNNNNNNNNNNNNNNNNNNNNNNNNNNNNNNNNNNNNNNNNNNNNNNNNNNNNNNNNNNNNNNNNNNNNNNNNNNNNNNNNNNNNNNNNNNNNNNNNNNNNNNNNNNNNNNNNNNNNNNNNNNNNNNNNNNNNNNNNNNNNNNNNNNNNNNNNNNNNNNNNNNNNNNNNNNNNNNNNNNNNNNNNNNNNNNNNNNNNNNNNNNNNNNNNNNNNNNNNNNNNNNNNNNNNNNNNNNNNNNNNNNNNNNNNNNNNNNNNNNNNNNNNNNNNNNNNNNNNNNNNNNNNNNNNNNNNNNNNNNNNNNNNNNNNNNNNNNNNNNNNNNNNNNNNNNNNNNNNNNNNNNNNNNNNNNNNNNNNNNNNNNNNNNNNNNNNNNNNNNNNNNNNNNNNNNNNNNNNNNNNNNNNNNNNNNNNNNNNNNNNNNNNNNNNNNNNNNNNNNNNNNNNNNNNNNNNNNNNNNNNNNNNNNNNNNNNNNNNNNNNNNNNNNNNNNNNNNNNNNNNNNNNNNNNNNNNNNNNNNNNNNNNNNNNNNNNNNNNNNNNNNNNNNNNNNNNNNNNNNNNNNNNNNNNNNNNNNNNNNNNNNNNNNNNNNNNNNNNNNNNNNNNNNNNNNNNNNNNNNNNNNNNNNNNNNNNNNNNNNNNNNNNNNNNNNNNNNNNNNNNNNNNNNNNNNNNNNNNNNNNNNNNNNNNNNNNNNNNNNNNNNNNNNNNNNNNNNNNNNNNNNNNNNNNNNNNNNNNNNNNNNNNNNNNNNNNNNNNNNNNNNNNNNNNNNNNNNNNNNNNNNNNNNNNNNNNNNNNNNNNNNNNNNNNNNNNNNNNNNNNNNNNNNNNNNNNNNNNNNNNNNNNNNNNNNNNNNNNNNNNNNNNNNNNNNNNNNNNNNNNNNNNNNNNNNNNNNNNNNNNNNNNNNNNNNNNNNNNNNNNNNNNNNNNNNNNNNNNNNNNNNNNNNNNNNNNNNNNNNNNNNNNNNNNNNNNNNNNNNNNNNNNNNNNNNNNNNNNNNNNNNNNNNNNNNNNNNNNNNNNNNNNNNNNNNNNNNNNNNNNNNNNNNNNNNNNNNNNNNNNNNNNNNNNNNNNNNNNNNNNNNNNNNNNNNNNNNNNNNNNNNNNNNNNNNNNNNNNNNNNNNNNNNNNNNNNNNNNNNNNNNNNNNNNNNNNNNNNNNNNNNNNNNNNNNNNNNNNNNNNNNNNNNNNNNNNNNNNNNNNNNNNNNNNNNNNNNNNNNNNNNNNNNNNNNNNNNNNNNNNNNNNNNNNNNNNNNNNNNNNNNNNNNNNNNNNNNNNNNNNNNNNNNNNNNNNNNNNNNNNNNNNNNNNNNNNNNNNNNNNNNNNNNNNNNNNNNNNNNNNNNNNNNNNNNNNNNNNNNNNNNNNNNNNNNNNNNNNNNNNNNNNNNNNNNNNNNNNNNNNNNNNNNNNNNNNNNNNNNNNNNNNNNNNNNNNNNNNNNNNNNNNNNNNNNNNNNNNNNNNNNNNNNNNNNNNNNNNNNNNNNNNNNNNNNNNNNNNNNNNNNNNNNNNNNNNNNNNNNNNNNNNNNNNNNNNNNNNNNNNNNNNNNNNNNNNNNNNNNNNNNNNNNNNNNNNNNNNNNNNNNNNNNNNNNNNNNNNNNNNNNNNNNNNNNNNNNNNNNNNNNNNNNNNNNNNNNNNNNNNNNNNNNNNNNNNNNNNNNNNNNNNNNNNNNNNNNNNNNNNNNNNNNNNNNNNNNNNNNNNNNNNNNNNNNNNNNNNNNNNNNNNNNNNNNNNNNNNNNNNNNNNNNNNNNNNNNNNNNNNNNNNNNNNNNNNNNNNNNNNNNNNNNNNNNNNNNNNNNNNNNNNNNNNNNNNNNNNNNNNNNNNNNNNNNNNNNNNNNNNNNNNNNNNNNNNNNNNNNNNNNNNNNNNNNNNNNNNNNNNNNNNNNNNNNNNNNNNNNNNNNNNNNNNNNNNNNNNNNNNNNNNNNNNNNNNNNNNNNNNNNNNNNNNNNNNNNNNNNNNNNNNNNNNNNNNNNNNNNNNNNNNNNNNNNNNNNNNNNNNNNNNNNNNNNNNNNNNNNNNNNNNNNNNNNNNNNNNNNNNNNNNNNNNNNNNNNNNNNNNNNNNNNNNNNNNNNNNNNNNNNNNNNNNNNNNNNNNNNNNNNNNNNNNNNNNNNNNNNNNNNNNNNNNNNNNNNNNNNNNNNNNNNNNNNNNNNNNNNNNNNNNNNNNNNNNNNNNNNNNNNNNNNNNNNNNNNNNNNNNNNNNNNNNNNNNNNNNNNNNNNNNNNNNNNNNNNNNNNNNNNNNNNNNNNNNNNNNNNNNNNNNNNNNNNNNNNNNNNNNNNNNNNNNNNNNNNNNNNNNNNNNNNNNNNNNNNNNNNNNNNNNNNNNNNNNNNNNNNNNNNNNNNNNNNNNNNNNNNNNGGCUGAGAGAUUACGAAAGUGGAAAAGGUUUACCUGAGGAAGAAGACACUACAUACCAAGCUUUGUUUGUCGGCAAUGAUCCAGUCUCCUUUGGCGAUGCUGUGAAAAGUAUGAAAUGGAGGAAAACAAUGGAUGCAGAGAUAGAAGCCAUAGAGAGGAAUGAUACAUGGGAGUUGACAGAUUUACCUAUUGAAGCAAAGAAAGUUGGGGUAAAAUGGAUUUACAAGACAAAGUUUAAUGAGAAUGGAGAAGUGGAUAAGUACAAGGCUCGGUUGGUAGCAAAGGGUUAUACUCAAGAACAUGGGGUGGAUUAUACUGAGGUUUUUGCACCUGUAGCUUGAUUAGAUACAAUUCGAGUGGUGAUUUCUCCUGCAGCUCUAAAGGAGUGGACAAUCUACCAGUUAGAUGUAAAGUCAGCCUUCUUACAUGGUGAACUAAGCGAAGAAGUCUUUGUCGAACAAUCUCCUGGCUAUGAACAGAAGGGUAAUGAGCAGAAGGUGUACAAAUUGAAAAAGGCUUUGUAUGGACUUAAACAAGCUCCGCGAGCUUGGUAUAGUCGUAUAGAGUCCUAUUUUAUGAAGGAAGGAUUUAAAAAAUGCCACUAUGAGCAUACUUUAUUCAUCAAGACUGGAAAAUGAGGUAAGAUUUUGAUUGUGUGUCUCUAUGUGGAUGAUCUUAUUUUUACUGGGAAUGAUGAAAUUAUGUUUGCUGAGUUUAAGAAAUCCAUGAUGCUUGAAUUUGAUAUGACUGAUCUUGGAAAAAUGAGAUAUUUUCUUGGCAUUGAGGUGAUGCAAAGAUCAGAUGGCAUCUUUAUUAAUCAGAAGAAAUACACACAAGAGGUGUUGGAAAGGUUCAACAUGGACAAGUGCAAUCCAGUUCAUAAUCCUAUGGUUCCUGGAUUCAAGCUUACGAAAAAUGGAGAUGGAGUGAGGGUUGACGGUACGUUCUAUAAGAAGAUUGUAGGAAGUCUUAUGUAUUUGACUACCACUCGACCAGAUGUUAUGUUUGUGGUGAGUCUCAUCAGCAGAUUUAUGGACUAUCCUACUGAACUUCAUUUGUAAUCAGCAAAGAGGAUACUAAGGUACUUGAAAGGUACCAUUGAUUUUGGUGUGUUCUACAAGAAGGGUGGAAAUGAGGAAUUGAUUGCCUACACAGAUAGUGAUUAUGCUGGGGAUUUAGAUGAUAGGAAAAACACUUUAGGUUAUGUGUUUAUGUUGAGCUCAGGAGCAGUGUCUUGGUCCUCAAAGAAGCAACCUGUGGUCUCUUUGUCCACUACUGAAGCUGAGUUUAUUGCUGCAACUUCUUGUGCCUGUCAAGCAAUAUGGUUAAGAAGGAUAUUGGAAGGUCUCAACCAUGCUCAACAUGAUUCUACAACAGUUUAUUGUGAUAACAGUUCAACAAUCAAGCUUUCUAAGAAUCUAGUGAUGCAUGGUCGCUGCAAACACAUUGAUGUUCGUUUUCAUUUCCUUCGUGAGCUUACAAAAGAUGGAACUGUAGAGAUGGUUCAUUGUCAUACGCAGGAGCAAGUUGCAGAUAUAAUGACUAAACCUCUAAAGCUUGAUGCAUUCUUGAAAUUACGUGAUUUGUUGGGUGUUUGUUUGGAUCCUGGAGUAAACUGAUUGCUAAAGCAUUCAGUUUAAGGGAGGAUGUUAAAGUACUCGUUUUUAGGUAGUUUGUUAGGGAUUUGUUAGUUUUUCCUAUUAAUAAGGGAUGUGCUUUUAGGUUUAUCUAUUCUUUAGUUAUAAACCAAGUUUCUAGGAUUGUUAGAUGUGGAUUACUUCCAGCUCUAUUUGAGUUAUCUUGUAAGGCUAUUUAUAAGCCAGUAAAAUUCUAAUUCAAUUUGAAGAUUUCUUAACAUACUUUACAUGGGAAACAUCCCCUAUGAAGUUUGAAUUCAAAGUUAUUGGUAUUUGGUAGAGUGGUUUGUUCUCAAAAAAACUUUAGUUUAAUAUAUUUUAGCAUGAAAUUUUGUAGUGAUGAUAUUAUGAAGAUAUUUUGUAAGUGAUUUUAUAUAUAGGAUAAUGUUUUAGUUUUUUUUCUUUUUAGAAAUUAUUUGAUUUUUAAUGAGAAUUUUGUCGGAGAAAAAUUCGGUAAUCAUUUGCUAAUGACAAAGGUCAUGUGAAUCAAAGAGAAAUACUUAUGUGAAGUUAAAUAGUUGUAUGAAAUGAAAAUGAGAAUAAGAAAACACUAGAAAAAGCAAAAUUGAAAAGAAAAGAAAAUGAAAAAUGAAAGGAUCCAAAAAGGGAGGACUAAGAAAGAAGUGAGAUUUCUAGUAUAAAAUAUACAAAAUUUUAUUUAGGAAGACUCCAAAUGACGAAUAUACUUGGGCAUUGAUGCAUAUCCUUUAAUGAAAGUCAAAGACUGGUAGUGUAGUACUUGAUUAUGUAUAAACAUAUACAUUAUGUUUCCAUCUUGAAGAAAAAUUUAUAUCAUUUGAUUGAAUGACAUCAAUUAUAUAUUUGGUUUAAUCAAAUUUAUGAUUGAAUAGAUUAUUAGAAAAUAACAUGAUUUAUUAAUUUAUUUUGUAUAAGAAGAUUAAAAAUAUUUAAUAUGAUAUACAUGAUUGAAAUAAGAAAAACCAUAAUUUAGGUUGACUUAAUUUUGUAUGGUUAAAGUUUCAUUUAAUAUUGUAUAAUAUAAAUAAAAUAUUAUGUUUUGGCAUAUGAUUGUAUUGUAUUGACAUAAAUUUUUUAACUCUUUGGGUGCAAGAAACCCUAUUGAGUAACAUGGAAAUGUACAUCCUUUUUCCCUAAUAUUUUUAUAUAGAUAUAGUUUAUCAAAAACUACAAGAAGAUCAAAGAAUUUGGGUGCAAUGCACUUGGUUGAGCAACAUGGAAAUACUCAUUCCCUUUUUCUUAAGAUUUUUAGAUAUAGAUAUAAUUUAUAAAAAACCACAAUAAGAUCAAUGAGAGAUUUGGAAAGUCCGUAGAGGGGAAGGAACAAUUUAAAUAAUUGUUUUGAAUUUAUAUUCACUUUUAUGACAUGUACUAAUAUGAGUCAUAUGAUUAUCAUAAUUUGAACGAUAUUUUGUUAUUUUGUAAAGAAUUAGUGGAAAUAUUUUAUCAUAUGAAUUAUCAUAGAAAUUUUGAUUAAUCACAUAAGAUAGUGAGAUGAUUAGUAGAUUUAUUAUACUCCUAAGUAGGUAAUGGUGAGUCUACAAAAAUAAAAAAAAAAUUAUACAUGAAAUCCUAAUUUAAUAUAUUUAUUUUAAAUUACAUUUUAAUUUAUUUAAGAAAGUUAAGUUAUUCGUUUGACUAACCAAUAACUUGAAUAAGAGUAACACGUAAGAUUAAAUCUUUGACUUGGAAUCACGAGUCACCUAAAUUUCGAGUCAUCACAAAAAGAGAAAAAAACAUAUACCUAGAAUUAUGAGGUCAAAAUUUUAAACAUCCAUUUAAAAAAAUUGAAGUAUGAGUCUUGUAGUUUAGGAGAUUUUAUAAAAUUGAUUAGCCUUUUGGGUACUUAUAAACUUGCUGUAACCCUUUCCGAGCGUUUUCCCCUGCGAAUCCAAUUUGUUGUAGAUGUGCUGCGGGCUGAUAUAACCCCAACAAUAAUCUGUAAGGGCUUGUUUUGGGGUUCGCAAUACAACUCCUCUCCUGUCUGAUUGGGCUUGCCUCGCUUUAGCACAACAAAACUUUUAUGGGUUGGGUUUUGGGUUAUGCAUGACUCUCUCAUCUGACUUCUGACAUCAAUUUCUCUCAAUGCCCAUGACAGAUAGACAAUGGUAAUCUAAGGGUACAGUAAAAAGACAAAUUAGCAUAAUGUUGUGUACUGACCAUUCUUAUUUGUUGAAAGUGAUGUUUUUAUUUGGUUAUACGAACGGCUUUUGAAUUUAUUGGUUGUAUAUAUACACUUCAUUUUCAAAAUAUCGUUCUGAAUUUAUACUAAAAACGCCAUUUCACAACUACGUUUUUAUCAACUUAAUUUACACGCCACAAAAGAAACAGAAGUCCCAACAGAAAAAAGCAGGAGCCUAAGACCUCAGAAAACAUUCGCCGAUGUUCGCAGUAUAGUGGUACCUUCAUUUUGCGCUUGUUCAUGAUCGUGUGGCACCCUCUGGUAUUCAGAAGGAGAUGGUCUAGGUCGUUUGAUUCCAGCCUUGUCGCUUAAAAAUCUGAUGAGUACUUUGGGAGACAUACUUCUCUGCCAAAGGGCAGGGCAUGUGUAUGCCAGACUUUCUGCUCUUGAUGGUAUUGACAAGAGCUCAAUUUCUCUUGGACACAAGCAUACCGUCUCAUCAAGUUUUUCACUGUAAGCUCCACCAGGCUUGCUAUCAAAUUCCCCAUCAUCCGCGCUCUGCUGCAACUCCAGAGCUCGCACAAGGUUGUUCAAUACAUGGGCCAUUUUGGGGCGUUUAAGUCUUUGAUCCAGCACGCAUCUAUAAGCUAUACUGGCGAACACCUUCAAACUUUCUGGCGCAAUCUUUCCCAUCAAAUAAGGGUCAAUGAUCUGUUCGAGGGUUCCCUUCUUUACACAGUGCUUGGCCCACUGUACAAGACUUUGCUGCUCCUCUUCAAGCUCCAUAUCCACAGCCGGUCUCGCGCACAGCACUUCAAACAACACCACCCCAAAUGCAUAAACAUCAGAUUUUUCUGUCAGUUUCUGGCUCCAAAAGUAUUCUGGAUCUAAAUAUCCGAAGGUACCCUUGACAUCCGUAGUUAUGUGGCUUUUUGACAUAUUAGCCGCCCCCACCUUACACAACCCAAAAUCAGAAACCUUGGCCACCCACUUCUCAUCUAACAAAAUAUUUGUGGUCUUGAUGUCACGGUGAAUGAUUUUGUGCUCCGAGCCUUGAUGUAGGUGCUUCAGUCCCCGAGCAGCACCAAUGCAGAUCUCGAGCCUCUGCUUCCAUGUCAAUGGAGCCUUAUCUGUUUUAUAAAGAUGAUCACGGAGGCUUCCUUGGGCCAUAUAGUCGUAUACGAGGAUCAUCGCUUGGGGAUGGUUGCAAUAGCCUAUAAGAGAGACUAGAUGGAGAUGACGGAGCCUUGAUAGCAUAUCUAUCUCCGUCCAGAACUCAUGGGCUCCUUGCUCUGAUGUCGGUUCCAACCCUUUAAUAGCAACAGGAGUUUCUCCCCCAUUGAUGUAACCUUUGAAUACUCUACCAAAGCCACCCUCUCCAAUUACCAGAGCUUUAUUAAAAUUAUUGGUGGCAGCUCGAAUCUCGGCGAGUGAAAAUUGGCGACACUGUUCUUUCGGCACCGAAAGCACUUCUCUCUUUUUGCUCUUUCCCAGCCUCCGCCAACAGAGUACAAUGACAACUAUUAUAGAGAGUAGAGCUACACCACCUAGUGCACUCCAACCAAUGGCAAUGAAUCGACUUGAAUGCCAAAAAAUUGCUGGCUGUGGUGCUGGAAAGGGGACGGGUACAGGACUGGGUCUGGGAAGGCUCCCAUCAGAUUUCUUUAUUUUGAAGAUCUCCAACCCGUUUAGUAUUGCUUCGGAAUACCGAGUCUUUGAAUCAGAAUUAGGAAGCAAAGCUAUAACGAGGUGAGGAUUACCCUUCUGAAUAAACACAACAUAAUCUCUAUAGAUCGGAAUUCCAUUGCCGCCGCUCCAAGUGAUUACAUCAGCAUUAGCCUCCGCUGUCUCAUUGUUUAUAUAGAUGUGGAACUUCCUAUUGCCGCUCUUCUUUGUCUGACCCUGAAACGCGCAGAAAUGGAGCCUGACAAGGUACUUAAAUCCAGGAUCCACAGGGAGUUUCCAUGUUAGGUUGUACCUCAUGUUCACUUCUUUAUCCAUGCCCACCGACCGCGCCGUCCGGUAGACUUGGGCAGGUGCGAUAUAAUUGGGUAUCCUUGUGGAUCUGAUCCUCUGAGUAGUGUUAACCAGGACACCACCUGAUUCUAACAAGUAAUUGGUGUCUUCCAACCAGCUUCUGAACAUGCCAGAAUCAUUAUUUGGUGAAAUAUAGCUCCCGCCAACGUUUAAUCGGUGAACUGCCUCAAGAGCAGUGUUCUUCUUGAUAAGGAAAUCAUGCUGAUGGCCUGAGGAAGAGACGUCAAUAUCCCUGGAGCGAGGGUAAUAAAGAUUGGCUGGCAUAGACACAAUCUCAAUGCCAUUGAUAAACGCAAAAGCAUCUUUCCGGGCAUUUGAAGAGGGAAGAAAAGUAAUGUUGAUGGAUCUCUGAUUGUCAUUUAUGUUUACAGAGAACUCUUUAACCAAAACUUUUACCCCCAAAGCAUCAGCAGUGUGAGAAGGACUGAAGUUGCUAAGGAGAGUAUAAGGACCGGCUUUUACAGAGAAGAAGGCCUCAGACCUCUCGAAACCUGGGAACGAAGCUGGGUAAAAGUGCAAGCGUAUGAAUUUCUGGCCUGGCUUGACAUGAAACGUGUAGGUAAAUUGAGAGCGAAAGAACCGAACAGUCAUGUAGGGAACGGGAUCGAUGGAGAAGCCAUGGCUAUGAGGGGCUUUGGCAGAUACUGAUGUCUGGUUUAAAAGCCGUGAUGACGUGAAUUUUGAGCCAACAUCUCCCAUCCAUCCUCGGUCAUCCAGCGCUGUCGAGUUGCCGAAGCUGCCACAAUUCAGGAGGAUGAUGUCGGUGGGGUAGUACCGAGAUGGCGACAAAUCAGAGGUUGCUGCAAUUGCUAGAUGGCCAUGGAAGAAGGAGGAGUAAACAAAGGUGAGAAUGACCAGGUAUCUGCAUGAGUUCUUCUGCAUGGGAGCAAUCACGUGCUGUAAGAACAUCAAGAAGAUGGGAAAAAACUGCUUUGAAUGCAAUUGCUUCUGCAGAUUUCAUGUAAGGGCGCUUAGAAGUAGUGUAGGACUGUCCGGCAGCAGCGCGUGAGGGUGGCGUGUGGGGACCAGAGGCCACUAUUGGGUCUCAGGUAAUAGGUCCCACUUACUGCACUGAUUCAAAGAAAUUCACUCUCGUGCAAGUGGUUGGAAGUCAGUGACAUUCACCUUCGUCAAGCCGCGUCCACCUUUAAUGCUUCGUUACGAAGACUUUGUUGGAUGGCUGCUUUCAAGUUUUUACAAUCUUCAUCAUCCAAAAUAUGUUAUAAAAUUUACGUUAUUGGAGAAGAGAUAAUUAAUUUUAUCAAUAUAAAAAUAAUAAAUAAAUAAAAAUAAAUGAAUUAAAAUCUAAAAAUAUAUGAUCAAAAUAUAAAGAAAUAUGAGAAACUUGAUACAAAUUAAUGAGAUUUAAUCAUACGGUAUAAUUUCCAAUUUCCAAAUAAAAAGCAUGCUUUUAAAAUUUGAUUUUUGAAUCAACGGCAAUUAUUGUAUACAUAACAUGUCAGUGGAGCAGUCAGAGAAGCGAAAUAAAUUCCACCACGUGCACUCGUCAAAAUUUGGACGCGGACUAAAUAGGACUAAUAAAAUAGCAUAAUGCUAAUACCAACUUCCUCACUUCAGAAGUCAAUGAAAGGAAGCAGUGGACUGCAGAAAAACUUUACAUAGCUUUUAUCUUUUGGGACUGGUAUCUCAUUUUCCUCAAUUUAUAAAUCACAAUAUAUUUAAGCAAUUUCAUUCCAUUUAUAAGCAACUAUUUUUUUUUUUUUUUUUGUCUACGAUGGAGCGCUUCUCAUUAUUAAUUAACGACCAACUAUAAAUUAAACCAAAACUCUAAAUUACUUUCUCUCGUUCCCUUGCUGUUGAACCACGUACCACUAAUUUUACAUUAGCCUGACAUUUUAUUACUCAAAAUACGAGAAACCUCUUAUUUUCUUUGAAAAGAAUAAGGAAAAAGAGGAAUAAGAGAGUUGUUGAAGUUAGGUAGACAUUUUAAUUUAUUAUUACUAAAAAUUUGGACGUGUGAGAAGUAAUAGCAAAACAGAAACGUGGCUUAGACCAAACUUUUCCUGGGUUGAAGGAAUAAAGGAAAAGGAGCCCCAGUGCUUUAUCGUUUGCGUUGUCAUUUCGAUGGCUCAACCCUCGUGUCCGAAAAAUGGAAAAAAUGACACUGAUGUUUUCUGUAGCAUAUGAACCUUUACUUUAGUUUAAUUUACUUUUCUUUGGAGCAGAAUAAUUAAAGGCGAAGCGUCGUGGACACUCAUCUGUUUUAGAUGAGGAUAAAAUGGAUUCAAUUUGAUUAUUUGAGUAAAAAGAGCAUAUCUCGUGCGUCAUGCACGUUGUGAAUGAUCAUUGCGUGCCCUUUUCUCUGACCAGCUGAUUAAUCUUAGACAAAGCAGUCAUGCGUCUACAUUAAGCUGUUGCUAUCAAUGUCACUGCAACCGUGUAAUUAUAUAUAAGUUUAAUAGUUGGGAUGUACCACUUUGUAACACCCUAUACCCCAAAGGUAAGGGUAAUCUUGUGGAAUCUGCAAAUCCUAACAUAAAGUUUAAAUAUACCAAAAUGACUAAAUAAUGAAAACCAUAGGUUCUCAUUUAAGAGUGAGUUCAUAAAGCUAAAGCUAUCUUUUCAAGAUAAAAGUUUCAUAUUUCACAUAAUUAUGAAAUAUUAAUUCAGUUUAAAUUAACUUGAUAUUUUAUUUUAUUUUAUAAAUCUAUAUUCUCUGAAUGCAGUUUAAAAAAAUUUGUAACUCCCCAUUCAUGAUUUAAAAUUGUAACUUCUUUCUGUUUUUUUUUUCCUCUUUAAAAAGGAUUUUAGUCCUCUAAACUUUGCAUACCUGAAAUAAAACAAAAAAAAAAAAAAAAAAGAUGUGGAUAUCCUCAAUAUAUAACAAGGCUAAUUUGUCUAAGGACUAAGUAGUUCAAAUAGGCCAAAAGUAAGCUAAUUUAGUCAAUCUAUCAACAAUCACCCACACAACAGUACUACCAACCACAAAUUUAGGAAGACUAGAAACAAAAUCCAUUGUAAUAUGCUCUCACUUCCACUUAGGAAUGAGGAGUGGUUGUAACAUACUAGAUGGACGUUGAUGCUCAGCUUUAACCUGUUGACAAACCAAACAUUGGGCAACAAAUUGAGUGACAUCACGUUUCAAACUAGGCCACCUGCAAAGUUGUCUCAAAUCCUGAUACAUUUUGGUCUUACCAAGGUGGAUUACAAACUUGUAGGAGUGAGCUUCUUUCAAAAGUUCCUUCAUGAGAUUUCCAACUUGGGGCACAUACAAACGAGUUCUAAAUCUCAAUAUUUCAUCAUCCGAAAGUACAAAGUUAGACUUAGUUCCUCUUUUAACCUAUGAACCAUCUCUUUGUAAGGACUUGAUCCUCUCAAACAAAUUUGGUUGAACCUUAAGAUGAGCAAAUAAUACUCCAAACUAUGAAACUUCAAAUUGAAUUGACAAUUUAUUAAAUUCAAAUAACAUAUAUGGUAGUUUAACCCUUAAGGCUACUAAAGAUUCAGAAGGCUUCUUAUUUAAAGCAUUUGCUACUACAUUCGCCUUACCAAGAUGAUACAAAAUAGAGCAUUUAUAGUCCUUGAGGAGUUCAAGCUACUUUCUCUAUCUCAUAUUCAAUUCUUUUUGAGAAAGAAAAUAUUUCAGGCUUUUAUGAUUAGUAUAGAUCUCAGAUGUCUCACCAUAUAAAUAAUGUCUCCAUAUCUUUAGAGCAAAAAUCACUGCUACUAAUUCCAUAUCAUGAGUAGGAUAGUUUCGCUCAUAGGGUUUCAGUUGCCUAGAAGCAUAAGCUAUGACUUUCCCAUUCUGCAUAAGAACACAACCAAGCCCUUGAUGUGAAGCAUCACUAUAAUUAACCUAAUCCCCAUAACCUAAGGGAACUAUUAACGCUAGAGGAGUUACCAAUCUAUUCUUUAACUCUUGGAAACUUUUCUCAUAAUCAUUAGACCACACAAAUUUGACCCUCUUCUAUGUAAGCUUGGUUAAAAGUUGAGCAAUAUUAGAAAAUCCCUCUAUAAAACAUAUGUAAUAACCAACUAAACCUCAGUUAUCGAGUUAGGAAUGCUCCAAUUGAUAGUGGCCUCAACUUUACCAGAGUCUAUUGAUAUUCUCUCCUUAGAAAUUACAUGGCCAAGAAAAAAAACUCUAUCCAACCAAAAUUCACAUUUCUUAAGCUUAGCAAAUAGUUGAUUGCCCAUCAAAGUUUGCAAAACAAUUCUCAAAUGUUACUCAUGUUCUUCAUUACUUCCGGGGUACACUAAGAUAUCAUCAAUAAAAACAACCACAAAUCAAUCCAAAUAGGGUUUAAACACCCUAUUCAUCAAAUCCAUAAAAUUUGUUGGGGCAUUAGUUAAUCCACAAGGCAUCACUAAGAACUCAUAAUGCCCAUAACGAGUUUGAAAAGCAAUCUUGGGUAUCCCUUUUCACCUUGUACUGAUGAUAACCAGAACAAAGGUCAAUCUUUGAGAACAUAAAAGCAACUUGCAUUUGAUCAAAUAGAUCAUCACUUCAAGGUAGUGGGUAUUUAUUUUUUAUAGUCACCUUGUUAAGUUCCCUAUUGCCAAUACAAAGGCUCAUCAACCCAUCAUUCUUUUUAACUAAUAACACUGGAGCACCCCAAGGUGACACACUAGGCCUAACAAUGCCCUUUUCCAAUAUUUCCUCAAGUUGUUCCUUCAACUCCUUAAGUUCCAUGGGUGACAUACGAUAAGAUGUCUUAGAUAUAGGAGUUUUCCUAAGUAUUAACUCAAUGGUGAAAUCUACCUCUCUUUGGUGGAACUCUGGGCAAAUCCUUAGGAAAGACAUCUAAAAGGUCUCUUACAACUAGAAUGUCUUUUAGGCUUAAAUCAUAAACUAAUUGGAAGAGUUCACAAAGAGAAGACCCCAAAAAACUGAACUUAGGUUGACUUGGAGUCUAAAAGGUCACCUUCUUAUUAAAACAAUCUAAUAUGGCAUGGUAGGUAGAAAACUGAUCCCUCCCUAAAAUCAAAUCGAAAUCAUAGAGAUUAAGCAAUAUCAUAUCCAUUGGUAGUUCUCUAUCCCCAAUCAAAAUAGGGCAAUCCUUGAGAACUUGUGUGGCUAAGAAAGACCUCCCAACAGGUUUAGCAAUACAUAGAUCAAACUCCAAACACCAAUGGGUAAUCUCAACAGAUCAACAAAUGAUAUAGAAAUAAAGGAUGAGUAGAACUAGGGUCAACAAGAAUUCUAGCUGGCUGAGAGUGAAAUUGGAGAAUACUUGUGAUAACAUCUGAUGAAACCUGAGCAUCUUGGCAUGUAAGAGAAAACACUCUUCCUUGAACUUUUAACUUAGAUCUUUUCUCAUUUCUCUCUAUUUAUGAGUCUUCUUCACUAGACAAUUAUGAAUUAGAUGGCCUUGUUGGCCACAAACAAAACAAGCACCAGUCUCCCUAUAGCAUAUCAUAACACCAUGUUUUUUUGCCACAUUUGGUGCAAUGUGCAUCUAACUUGUGAUCUUUCUUUUGUGUUGGUCCUUUACCUUUGAAACUUGACUGGCAUAAUUUUUUAUGCCUUUGACCACCUUGAUCAACAUUAUUAGAUUUACCUUUUUUUUGUUGUUGAUUCCUAAACUUCCAAAUUUAUUUACUACCUCUCUCAGCUAUGAGAGCCCUAUCCACCACCUUUGAGUACACCUCUAGUUUCAAGAUUGAUAUUUUAUCCCAUAUAAAUGGAUUUAGACCAUCUAGGAAACAAAUCACCUUAUGCAUUUCAGUAGCAAUAAGAUCAGGAGUGAAUUGAGAGAGCUUAGUAAACUUAGCUUCAUACUCUGCCACUGACUUGUCACUUUAUACUAACUGUCAAGACUCAAGCUCCUUUGGCAUCGUAUACUCUCAAGAAAGUACUUUUUAUAGGAUGCUUCCUUAAGUUGGUCCCAUACAAUUGGUUCUUGGCCCCCUAUGAGUCUUUUCUCCAUUCUCCACCAAUGUUCUACCUCACCCACUAGCAUUAAAGUGGCAAAGGUCACCUUUUGAGAUUCUGAGCAGCUUAGAACAUCAAAAUGCUUCUCAAUAUCCAAAAUCUAUGCCUCGGCCUUUGAAGGAUUUGGCUCUUUUGUGAAGGAAGGAGGACCCAUCUUCUUGAAUUGAAGAUAAAAUUUUGGGAUUCAUCCUUCGAUUAGAUGAAAAUCUUACUUUUAUCCUUAAUUAGUAUUGUUGUGUCAUUCACCAACUUAACCUCUAAAUUAAGUCUCAUCUAAGUUGGAAAGCUUUUUUUUUCCUACUACCUAUAUGAUUACAACAACUUAUAUCUAAAAAUCAUGUAUUUUUAUGUCAAUAAAAAAGUUUUUAAAUUUUCACCUUUAUUUUGUAUAGCAUCAGUUUGAAAAUUCCUUCCAUUCGAUCUUUUAGCCCUACAUGUUAUGUUAUAAUGACCAUGUUUUUUGCAAUUAUAAUAUUGAAUGUGAGAUUUAUUAUUAUUUUUUGAGUUGAAGUAUUAUCUCUUUCUUUUUAGCCUAAUAUGGAAUUUCCUUAUCCUCCAUUAUGAGAAUUUCGACUUUUCCUAUUCAAUUUAAAAUUAUUUGGAACUUAGCUUUUUAUUUUUUAAGAUGUAGUUGGCUUUAUAAUGCUUUUUUCACCUCAACUUGGAACCUUUUAUUCAAGCGUUGUUCAUGGAUUUGCAAGAAACCCAUCAAUUCAUCCAACAUCAUAGUAUCAAGAUCUUUCAAUUCUUGAAUUAUUGCUAUUGCCUUGUACUCAAAUCACAUGGUUAGGGUUCAAAAUUUUCCCCAUAACUUGGAUAUUUGAAAUAAUUUCACCAUUAAAUUUUAUCUUAUUGACAAGAGCUAAUGACAAUGAAAAAAAAUUAGAAACUUUUUAUGUUUUCUCCAUUUGAAAAAGCUUGAUGUCUUCUCAAAGUUAAUAGUCAAACUUGCUUCACCUUUUUUUCCCCUUUUGUAGGCGGGUGUUCAUCCAGAUAUCCUAUGCAUCAGCUGAUAGAUGUGAAUAUAAGCCUUUAAAUCUUUAUUUUUAUAAUUCCUCAAAAUGUCUAUAUGUACUUGUGUGAAAUGUGUUUGAUCUCUUGGUACCAUAAAUCCAUAAUCUACUACUCCCCCUAAUAUCUUAAUACUAGAAUAAUAAUUGCAUUUGGAUUCUUUAAAAUUCAAAAUUAUUAUUCCUACCGAACUUUGGAACUUGAAGUUGGAUUAUAUUAUUGUUAGUUGCUUCUUCUUUAAUUGUCAAGAUUUGAUGCCAAAUAAGAACAAAAAAUAAAAAUAAAAAAUAAAAAAAAUAACAUAAGAAUAAUUUCUCCACAUAACAAAAGAUGAAAAACUAUAAAGAACAAAACAUAUGAUUAUAGAACAAAAAAUUUACCAACAUACUUUAUAUUAUUAUAUUAUGUAACAAUUAUAAAAACCUAAUUCUAUCAUAAAACAAACCCGCAAUAAAACUAAAAUUCCAAAUCUCAAAGAGAAUAGAACUCAAAUAUUAGGAAACAUAAUUCUAACAAACUAAGAAGCAUAGUCUUGGUUUUAUUAGACUUAUACAUUACAUGUACCACAUUCAUGUUCAGAUUUGAGACUACAUCUUACACGUGGGUGACUUCUUUCGUCUCGGCUUUCGAAAACUGGUGACAGACUUCCCACGGAAGCAGUGAGGCUUUUGUCUCAGUAAACUUCAAUUUGUAGCCAUGGUCCUUGGACUCCCUUUGUAGCCGGAACAUGGUGUAAAGUCGCAGUGACAGCAAUACUAACCCGACCGUGACAAUCACACCCACAGCAAUGAACGUUGUUUUCUUAUUUGAUGAUCCUUUUAUGGUCAGUUGAGAUGGCUCAGUCAGAAAUAUGGUUUUGGGAGGUUCGGGGUUGGGUCCUGCGAGACUGCCGGUAGUGCUGUUUAACUUAAAUAUUUCGAUCCCAUUUAAGACUGCAUCAACGUAAACACUGAAGCCAGCUCGACUGUGUAGAUCAAUAGAGAGAUUAUACUUACCUUGUGUUCCUUCAAAUCCAAUCAUUGCAAGAUAGUCUCUGUAUGCCGGUAUACUAUUACCGCCACUCCAGAUAAUGGCAUCGGCAGCUUCAUCAACCAUCUCACCAUCUAUAUAAAUAAUGAACUGCCUAUCGCUCACCUGGGUUAUGGCCCGAUUUGUUUCGCACAAGUGGAGCCUGACCAGAUACCUGAACCCCAAAUCAACAGGUAAUACCCAUGUCAGAUUGUUCCUCAUAUUCCACGUCUUGUUAGGACCCAUUGAUCGGGACGUUUGGUAGACUUCUGCAGGUGCAAUAUAUGCAGGGGUUUCUUUUGUGUAUUUGAUUGUACUAUUUGCCUUGUCAGGGAUUACUCCUCCACCCAUGAAAAACUGAUUAUCAUCAGACCAGAAUCGGAACAUGCCGGAAUCUCCUGUUGGGGAGAUGGAGUGCCCUCCAACGUCUAACCGGUACAUGGUCUCAAGCGCAGUGAUGUUUUCAAUUUCAUAAAAAUAUGUUUGGCCAAUAAACGGGAUCCCAUCAGCACCUGCUGGCGUGUAGUAGAGGUUGUGGGGCAUUGAGACGAUUUCAAUUCCAUUGACAAAGGCAUAGGAAUCAUUUGAAGAACUUGGAGAUGGACUGAAUGUUAAAUUCAGUAACUGAUUCUCCUCCACGUUGAUGCAAAAUUCUCUAACAAAAUAUUCCAAGCCCAAAGAAUCAGCAACAAGAUCAGCGCGAAAGUUGCUGAGAAGAGUGAAAGGCCCUGAUUUGACGGAAAACAAGGCCUUAGACCUGUCGAAACCUGGGUACCAACUUGGGUAGAAGUACAAUCGGACAAAUUUUAGGCCGGCACUGACGAGGAACGUGUAGGUGAAUUGGGAAGAGGACAUGCGAGCGGUUAAGUAAGGGAUGCCCUCAACCGGACCUUGGCGAAUGGCCCUAGCAGCUAUGGUAGUGUCAAGAGGCUGCAAAGUGGCCAAAAUUGAGCCAAUAUCCCCUGUCCAUGCCCGGCCAUCUGAUGCAGUUGAGUUUCCAGAUGAGCCACAAUCAAGAGCUAUGUUAUCUGUGGGGUUGUAAGUCGCUGCAUAAUUACUGGCGGUGACGGUCGAGAAGCAUUGCAAAAGAAGGAAGUAGAAAGGGCUGAGAAUCGAGAUGCAAAAUAGGCUUUUGUGUUGGCGACGGUACUUCAUGAUCCAAGCAAGAGACUGGUCGCAACAGUUGGGUGAAAAGCUUGACUAUGGAUGAAAAAUCUGCAGCGCUCUUCUCAGAUCAAGUAGAUGGUGCAAGGUAGCUGUGCACUGAACGCGUGAAGACACAGUAGCUGCGAGUGGAAGACUUGUUCAACUGAGGAAAGCAAAUGGUUAAGAGUCAAAAGUUGGAGAGGGUGCCUGCUUUUGGAAUUUGGCAUGAUUCGAUUGUUACUCGGUGCGAAGAAGCUUUACUGCUUCGCGAUCCAUGUGCACUGCAUUGUUGGCAAAGCACACAUCUGAGAAGUGACGUGACCAUUUUAUUGAUUGAAGAAGAAUCUUCUACUAUUAUUCUUAAACAAAUACUCGUUAAGGUUUAGUACAAAAUCAGCUUAAUUAUCAUUAAUUUCAAAUUUGGGGAUUAAAAAUUUAUAUUUAAGAGAAUAAAAUUUAUUUAUUUAAGAUAAUUAUUAAACAUAUUUACCUAAAAUCCCUCUAAAAAUAAAUUUUACAAAUAUUAAUUAAAGAAAUUUAAAAUAAUGAUGGUGAGAUGUUUUUACACCAAACUUUUGAGGGUAUGAACUAAACUAACCCUUAAAAAAUAGUAAAAUUUAGAAUGUAUUUGUAUAUCCUCUUUUUUUUUUCCCUAAUUUUAAAAAAUAAUAGUAACACUUAUAAAGAUACAAAAACUCUUAUAAUAAAAAAGUACUAAUUUUAAAAAUUGUUUUAAAAAAAUUUUGGUAUCAAAAAUUUUUUAAUACCUUAAAAUUUAAUAUUUGUGAUUUUUAAAGGUAUAAGAUAAGUUGUAUACUUUGCUCCACUCUUAUAUAAAAAAAUUUUAUUUUAAAAAUAAAAAGUAGACGGUAUAUUCAAACAUACACCUGUCAAAAUAAUUAUUAUAUUAAUUUUUGUCCGCGGUGGUAAGUUCUCAUGUAGCAAUUUUUUAUUUUAAAAAUAAAAAGUAGAGAGUAUUUUCAACCAUACACCUGUCUAAAUAAUUAUUAUAUUAAUUUUUGUCGGCGGUGUUGAGUUCUCAUGUAGCUCCACCUUCAUCAUAUGACUGUACAACUCGAGAGUGUCCUUAUCUUGCCAAACAACACUGACAAUGCAACCAGUCCCAUCCCUAAAUGAUGAAUAAGUCUCAAAGUAAAGAACAUGAGAGUGCCUAAUCAAACCAAAACCUUGUUUCCUUAGUAUGUUAGUUGUAGACAUAAAAAAUUUAGUGAAUUAAAUUAUUUGUAAAUUACUCUUUAAAAUUAUGAUUUGUUAUCUUAGGCUUAAUAAAUGAUGAGCUCUACAUAUUGAACAUGCGGUAUGCAAUUAAAAAGGUGACGUACAUAUGAUGAAAAUUGGAAAACUAUAAAAUUAAGUCUUGUAAAAUAAAAUAAAAUAAAAUAAUUGAAGUUAAAAGAGAAUUAGAAAUAAAUGCUUUUUUGUUGGCAAAUUUCAUAAAUAAAAGAAGCAAAUCUUUUGAUUGAAAUUAAAAAAAGAAAAAUAAUUUCACAUGAGGAAAGAUACUUCACAAAAAGAGAGAAAAAGAAAAAUAAACUUUACAAAAUAUCCCUACAAGUCUAAGAAAUCGUAGAAGUCUUGUAUAUGCGUUCCUCACCAUUCAACGAAUUCAUUCAGGAACAAAAUACUAUAGGUCCUUUAUUAAUCUUCAAAUUCAAAAAAACACUUUCAUCAUCAUCCUUCAUAUUGUGAUCAAAUAAUUGAAUAAGAGGAAAAUUAUUCUUUUGUAAAGAAUAUUACCACAAAAAUUAUAUUCCACAAUUAUUUUAAUAUAAAGUUCUAUUUGCAUAUUAUUUUUUCUAUAGUUUUACUUAUUUUAUAGGACUUUCCGAAAUUUGUGUAUACAAUUAAAAUUAUUUUAUUAAUAUUGAGUUUGGUUUUGAAGACUUGCCUUUACAUCUAUCAAUUGAUUGAACCACCAACUUUGAGAAGAUUACCAAUGCAACGAUGACUGAAGGAGCAUAAGACAUCAUAAUGAAUGCCUACAAAGGGGUAGAAAAGGUGAAAAAGGUUCUAUUACAAACUUUAACGAGGUAAUAUGAGUUUCUUCAUAUUGAGAAGAUAGAAAGAGUCCAAAAUUUUUUUUUGGCGGAUAUGAACUUUUGUCAAUUAAAGGAAAUCUAAUAAUAAAAAUGUUUUAGAUCUCUUAGUCAUCGAGAAAAUCUUUGAGCAUAAGGCAACAAUUAGUCCUAGAUUGAGGUGAAAAAAAUAUUACAAAGCCAACUAAAUGUUAAAAAGAGAAACUGUGUGUGUGUGUGAUUGAGGUGAAAAAAAAUUACAAAGCCAAUUAAAAAGAGAAAGUGUGUGUGUUUGUGUGUCAAUUAAAUGAAAUCUAAUAGUAAAAAUGUUUUAGAUCUCUAAGUCAUCGAGAAAAUCUUUUAGUAUAAGGCAAGGCAACAAUUGGUCCUAGGUGAAAAAUAUGUUACAAAGUCAACUAAAUGUUAAAAAGAGAAGGUGUGUGUGUGUGAGAGAGAGAGAGAAAGAAGUUCUAAAAUAAUUUAAACCAGGUAAGAAAGGUUAGAAUUGGUGGAAUGAAGGAUAAAAAAAAUUCAAAUUAGACCAAAAGGAAGAAAGGUAAUACUUCAACUUAAAAGACAUAAUAAAUCUCACAUCAAAUAUUAUAAUUGCAAAAAAUAGUCAUUACACGUCAAAAGGUAGGGCUAGAAGAUUGAAUGGAAGUAAUUUUUAGGCUAAUACCAUAGAAGAUAAAGGUGAAAAUUUAGAUAACUAACUAUUAGCAUACAAUGUUGUAGAAGAACAAAACAAAAGACAUGGUGUUUGGAUGUUGGUUGCUGUAGUAAUCUUAUGUGUAGUAGGAAAAAUAUAUAUUUUUUAGUUAGAUGGAACUUUUAAUUUAGAUGUAAAAAGUUUGGGAAUGACAAAAUAAUACUAGUUAAUGGUAGAGGUAAGAUUUCCAUCAAAUUGAAGGAUGGAUCAUAAAUUUUUUCUCUAAUGUAUUAUAUGUUUCAAGUUUCCACCAAAAUCUAUUAAGUAUGAGCCAAUUUUUAGAAAAAGGAUAUGAUAUAUAGAUUUAUAAGGGGUUUGUACCAUUAAUGAUGAUUAGAAAGGACUAAUAAUAAAGGUGAAAAUAACACAAAAUCAUUCAUUUCCAUUGAAUAUUAAUUGUGGCAAUUUACCUUACUUUAGUUUUAUAAUUGAUGAUAAAAAUUGAUUAUGACACAAAUUUUGGAGACUUCAAUUUUGGAAGUUUAAAUUGCUGCUAUGGUUUUUUGGUUGCCUUUUAUUAAUCCUCAAAAUGAAGUUUAUGAAAUAUGUGUUUUGGGAAAGAAGCAUAUAGACCUUUUCCCUAUAGGAAAAUCAUGAAGAGUUCGGAAGCCUCUUGAGUUGAUUCAUUUAUAUCUAUAUUCAAUGAAGGUUCCCUUAGAAUCUCAAAUAUUUUAUUAACUUUAUCGAUAAUUUUAGUCAAAUGAUUUACUUUAAAAAAAAAAUUUAAAAGCAAGUAUAUAUGACAAUUGAAAUUUUUUUAAAGCUUAUAUGGAAAAACAAAGUAGGUUACUAGUAGUGCUACUCAAGCGGUAAGGUUAUAUCGAAUGCUUUUUGACUUAAAACAUACUCAAGAAGUUCCUACAAAAACUUUUUAUGAUAAUAAAUCAACAAUCACAUUGACAAACAAAUUAAUUUUUCAUGGAAGAAACAAACACGUUGACAUCAAGUUUCACUAUAUUUGUGAUUGGUGAAAAAAAAAUUAUGGUUGAGUUUUAUUCUUUCGAAAAUCAAAUUGCAAUCAUUUUUAUGAAGCCAAUCAAGGUGAGAACAUUGCUGAAGGUGAAGAAGAUGGUGGGUAUUAUAAUGAAAUAUGAAGAACUUAGUUUAAAGGAAGCAAUGAAGGAAUCUAAGUUAAGCAAAAACUAUAUUUCCUUAGUAUAUUAACAUUUGAGUUUGGUUUUUCUUAGUAUUUAGAAUCUUAGUUCUAUUAAUAAUUUAGUUUGUAUUAGAAUUAGGUUUUAUAAUUGUUUUUCUCUCUCUCUAUGUAUAUAUAUAUUUUCAAAAAUGAUAAUGAUAAUUUUUUUUGUAUAAUUAUUUGUUUUCGUUUUCAUAGGAUUUUUCCUUUUAUAUGGAAAAAUUGUUCUUGUAUCGGAAAAGAUUUUUUUGGUCGCUCAUAGAACCUUGUAUCUCCUUGAAAAAUUCCUUUGGAUAGAGCUUGUACAAGAUGACUAUGCCCCAUAUAUGUGAUCAUCUUGAUAAAUGUGGCUAUGCCCCACUACUUAGCAUGUACUAGCUUUGAGUCACUUAAAAUAUUCCAUAAGAAGUGGAUCUAUUUUAAUGUGAUGUCCUAUAUUGGAUGGAGGGAAAAAUUUAUGACACUAUAUAUGUAUAGAUUUGUAUUAACCAUUUAUAUACAUUUGAAAGCCAUGAGGACUCCUUAAGCAUAAAAUAGACAAUGUUUCUAUGAUUGAGAGUUGAUUGUUUACACUUAAAUACAUCAAUGAAGUGGUUGUACUCAUGUAGGAAACAUAUCCUUUGCAAUGCACAAUAUAAAACUAUCUAAUCAAUGAAAACUAACCAUCUACGCCUAACCCCAUUGUGUAACCUUAUAUCCCAAUCAAUCACUAUGCUCUAGGGGAUGAAUAUACAAUCUCCAAACUCAAGCAAAUCCCAAUUGAAAAAUCGGAAAAUAUCGCCAAUAUUUCGAAGAAAUAUCGGAUAUCGGUCGUCACCGAAACGAUAAUCGCCAAAGAUUAUCGAUCCACGAAAAUAUCACCAAAAAAUCGGCAAAUUGCCGAUAUAUAGGCGAAAUAUCAGUGAAACACCAAUAAAUCGGAGAAAAAUCGCGAGUGGAUCAGACACGCGGAGCAACCGGAGGUAUUUUAACCGAUUUUUCGAAAAAUUUCCCGAUAUUUCCUACCAGUCCAGCCCGCGCAGUUGUGUUUUUCAGCUUGGCUCAAAAAUCAUGGAUUUAGGGUUCGUGAAAUUUAAAUCCAAUGGCACAACAGCAAAGAGACCCCUAAAACAGAUCUAGAAAACACAGGAAGCAAAAGAAAAGCAAUUUUUUUUUGUUUUCUUUGGGGGUUUUGAAUGGAUUUUCUCGGAAAUCAAACGAGGAUGAAUUUUCCUGGAAAUCGAAUGGGGGAUGGAUUUUCUUGGGAAUCAAACAGGGGUUGCAAAAAAAAAAAAAUAAUAACAUGAUUAGAUUAGUACCUGCGAGGAUUGAGAUUUGAGAGUAGCAGAGGAAAAUAGGGCUUUUUUUUAGGGUUUCUCUCGUUGGAGGACAACUUCAGAAAAGGGUUCCUGAUGCCCCGUGCCCGAGUAAGGGUCUCCAACGGGCGGGCCGGGCCGGGCCGGGCCGUAAAUAGGAGGCCCGCGGCCCAGGCCGGGCCGGGCCGUAAAUAGGAGGCCCGCGGCCCAGCCCGGGCCGGGCCUAUGGGCCCGUUGACUGGUCAACGGGCCGGGCCGGGCUGGGCCGAGCUCAAAUGCUAGGCCCGCGGCCCGGCCUAUGAACCAGCUGGCUAGCGGGCUGGCGGGCCGGGCCGCGGGCUUUUUUAAAUAAGCCAAAAUGGCUUUUAAAUAAAGGAAGGAAGAGGGGGGGAUUCGAAUCCCUCCCCUCAAGCUUAAAUUCAAUGUUUUCAGAACCGGACCGGUGAUCGAACCGGAAAAGUUACCGGUUCACGGUUCACUGGUCGGACCGGCGGUCGAACCGCUAUCGAACCGGUGACGUCAUAAAUAUAUAAUUUAUAUUUUAUUAAAAUUAAAUAUAAUUAUAAAAAUUUUAAAAUAUAUAUGAAUAAAUUAAACAUCAAUAAUAUUAUUUUAUAUCUUUGAUAUUAUCAAAUUAAAUCAUAUUAAUAUUUUAAAUUUUAUUAAAUGAAAUAUGUGUAAUAUUUAAAUAUGAAUAUAUAAAAAAAUGAAAAUUUAAACUAAUUUCAUAAUUUUUAAAAAUAUUAUAUUAUUUUUAUUUAAUAUUAUAAAAAAAUUUAAAAUCUAAUAUGUGUUGUUUUGUUUGGCAUAGUAGGAAAUAAAAUCCAUGUAGCCGAGUGGUGUUCUAUGUGGACUUAGUAUAGGGGUGGUCCAAGGUUCAAACCUUCUUGGAGUUUUGUUAUGUUUUUUUUCUUUGAUUUUUAGCAAUCCCACAUCGGCAAGAAAGGGGAACAAGGAGUCAAAUGACUCCUAUAAAAGCCAUCCUCAGCAAAGGCUUAAGAUAGGCUUGUGGGCUCAAAACUUGGGCUCAAAACUCAGCCCACAUAAAGUGGAAUGGGUAUGUGGGUUGUGGGCUGUGUCAUAAGACAAGCCCAACAUCCUUUAGUAAAAUUCAUUUUAAAUUCUAUGGUAAUAUUUUCAUUUUCUAAUUUUUUUUUUAAAGAAAAAUUAAAAUCUUUUGAAUUGGUCGGUUUUUUUGGAACCGGCCGGUUCGUCCGGUUCACCGGUUGAACCGCCGGUUCAAACGGUUUAACUCCGGUUUGAUCUCAAUCCGGUCUAAAUGACCGGAUCGGACCGGAAUGGUGACCGGUCGACGGUUGGACCGGUCCGACCGGCCGGUUCGGUCCGGUUUUUAAAACAUUGCUUAAAUUUCAAGGCUCUAACCAAUUGAGCUACAUUUCUUUUGUGCUUAUUAAAUGAGUUAGUUAUAUAUAUAUAAAAAUAUAGUAUAUUAUUUUUUUUAAAAAAAUUAAAGGCGGGCCUAAGGGCGGGCCUACGGGCCGGGCUUGGGCCCGGCGGGCUUGGGCCGGGCCGGGCCUAAAGCGGGCCGUGGGCCGCGGGCUUUUUGGAGACCCCUAUGCCCGAGAGAGAAGUGGGUGCCUUUUUUAUUUUUUUAUUUUUAGAUUUAGUGGAGAUAAAAAAAAAAAAAAAAAUCAUGAGAACAAUUUUCCACUAUCUAUAUAAAUAAUUAUUAAUUAUCAACCUUUAUUUUGAUUAUUAAAUAAAUUAAUAUUAAUAGAAAAAAUUGUUAUCACAUAUUUUUAAUAAAAUUUUAAAAAUUAAAUCUCAAAUAAGAUAUUUUAUAUAAAUUAAUUUAAUUUUUUAUUUGAAAUAUAAUAAAAUAUACUUUAAUAAAAGUAUUUUAAAAUUUUUAAAAUAAAUAUUGUCUUCAACAAGAUGAACUCCCUUCAUCUAAUAAUAUAAUGAAAUCACAUUGAUAUCUUCCUUAGUAUAAGGACUAUUGCAAUCUCAUAUGUAUUAUAUUUAUAUAUAAAUUGUUUUUAUUUAAUAAAAUUAAAUAUUUCUUAACUCAAUUUUAACUUUAUACACUUUCAAAAUUCAUAUAUAUUAUUUUUAAAAUUCAAAUAUCGAAUUUACCAAUAUAUCUCUGUUUACGAUAUUUUUCUUCUUAAUUAUAUAUAUAUCAAUUACACUUAUAAAAUAACUUUAAAAUGUGUAUUAUUACUUAUUUUAUCAUUUUUUGAAGUUUUUUCAAGCAUUCCUAUUAAUUUUAAAUAAUUUUCACUCCACCAAUAUUUAUGAAAAAAUAUCCACCGAUAUUUCUCUGAUAUUUCCGAUAUAUCCGUAAAAUUGAAGUACCGAUAUAUCUGUAAAAACCGAUAUUUCAAUCCUUGCUUAGGAGUCGAAAGCGAGAUGUAGGCUAAGGAUAAAGGGAAAAAAUUGAGUGGACACUAGGCUAAAAAUGCAAUGACACACUCCAUGCCUCUAGUGUACAUAAUGAAUCAGAUGAAUAAAUGAGAAGAACGAACGAAGAAUAUAGACAUACCAUGAUAUCAUUGAACAAUCGAAUGACCGAAGACAGAACAUUGAGGCAGUGGAUAAAUAAGAAUGUGACUAUCCUGAAAGGUGAGUGAUAAAUGAAGAGGUAGCAAUACAGACAUAUGUGCAUGGUGGACAGAACCUGUCACAUAGCUUACCUACGUACCCAAGAUGAGAUCAGGUCCAACAUAGUUGGAAACACUACAAAAACAGAGAGUCUACGCAUGAGCUGGGCUAUGCACAUAGGGUCAAACGCACACUAGUCUAUGCGUACUCCCCUGUGUUUGUUCCAAAAUCAUUCCUUCUGAAUUCCAAGUCUCAUUUACAGCUUACAACAUCUCUACUACAGGUAUGCGUGCAUGCUCCAAAGCAGUAAACUCAGAAAACUGAUCAUAAUAAGGUUUUAAGCGCUUCUCCAAAAAUUUAAUCAAUGUCACCUGUUAUAGGGGAGCUGCAUCUCCUCUGCCCUUUUCCCAAACUUUCACUCUCAGACCUGCAUAUUCCUUUUUAUGAGUUAUAUAUCCUAAAUCUCAUACAUGGUUCCAGCACCCAUAAUGCAAGAAAAUUUCAGUUAUUAACUGAUCAAGCUUUACUCAUCACAUUUUCCAAAUUCAACUCCAACAUCAAGUUAUGCAUUAACCUUCUCUAAGCAAGCUAUAAAUUUAAUCUAACUAUUUCUAAAGAAAGAUGUAUAUCUUUAGAAUUUUUAAAAUAAAUUUUUAUGUUUGAAAAUAAAGGUAGUUAAAAAUUUUCAUUGAUUUUAAAGAAUUAGCCUAAAAUUUUAAAAUAAAAAUUAUUCUUUCUUUAGAAAAAAAAAUACUAUUAUCAAAGAUUUUAAAUUUAUCUAUUAAGAAAAGCCAUUUUUUUUUAAAGUGCCAUUGAGAAACCAUGACAACCAUGAUCGCUAGAGGUAACGGUGCUUGGAAAAAAAUAAAAGCAAAUUAGGAAAAGGAGUCUAACCAUUUGUACGGUAGUGUACCUACGCCAGUUUGUCAAAAAUAUAAAGAAAACCCAUCAAAAUUUAUUUGGGAAAGCAUGAAUGCCAAAACUAUAAAGUUUAUGUAAUAAAGUAAAGCUUACGUGAAGGAGAUGAGAGAAAAAAAAGGUGGGGGAAAAGGCAAAUAAUGAUAGCUUGAGUGCUUAUAAAAUUAAUGCAUUCUUCAUUCAGGUCCGGUCAUUCUUUAUUUUUGUUUUCCAUGUAUAUUUUUUUAAUGACCCACUAACUGCACAAGUGCGUGAUUGCUUUUCUGACUUAUCCUUCCCAUUUUUUUUUUCCACUUUGUGUUUUUUAAAAAUGAUUGAUGUUUUAAAAAUUAACUUUUAAAUCUAUUUUUGAGUUUGAGAAAUUCUUCGACAUAGGAUUAUGACCAAGGUCUAGGCAAAACAAAAAAGAAAAAAAAAAGGUUUGAGGAACAUUUAUGAUAGGUCAUUAUUAUUUGGAAGUAAAUUAUUAUUUCAUGUUGUUAGUUGUAGUCAAUGUUUUCCAAAUUGAAUGAAUUAUCAUUAAAUUAAAUUGGAAAAGUUAUUUCAUCAUGAAUCAUUGGUUCAAUAUAAUUUGAUGAGGAGUUACUAAUUAGAUUGAUAGUUCAAGAGUCCAAACUACUAUGGUCCAAUCAUGAUUUUAGAAAUAUGAAUGGUACGUUGUUAUAUAGUCCAAUUAGUUCCCAACACAAGAACACGCGCGCGAGUCUCUCACCUAGACCAAGUGGGAUGAUUUUUGAAGAGGGCACAAUCCAAUUAAAGCAGCUAAGGGUCGGAUACAGAUUCUUCCAUCCAGAAAGACGACAUGGCUGUGGGCUCUGCAUGUUAUUCUCUUUAAGAGUAUUGUCCUCUUACAUUCUUUUCCAAAGUUAAAGCACUGCAAUUGUCUUGUUUUCGUUUCCCGCUUUUGAUCUGUUUUUUUCCUUUUUCUAAAGCAGCACCAACAAAGAAAGGACCAAGAUACAAAUAAUAUAUAUAUAUAUAUAUAUAUAUAUCAAUUUCAAAGGGAGUGGGAUAAGGUAUAACAAACAAAACACUUUCAUAACUAAUCGCUUUUGCUUUUUUUUUUUUUUAAUAUUUUUUACACUCAUGGUAUAAAAUGGAAUAUAAAUGUUCACAUCUUAGUAUACCAUUAUUAAUAAUAUUAAUUGGUGUUUUAAAUUAGGUUGAAAGAAUUUUAAUGAUUUGAACAAGUUCAAGCUAUUAAAUGUCAAGAUGAAUUAACUUUAUGGAUGAAAGGAUAAUCUUGUAGACCAUAGUGAAAUGAAUUUUAUUUUUGCUUCAUAUACUCAUGAGUGUUUCAAGGUUUACUUAUGGUUAUUAGGACAUAUUAGUCUAUUAAAAUUUCAAACUUUUAGUGGUUAUUAAGGUAAGAGUUUCUUUUAUUCCAAAAAACCAAAAAAAAAAAAAAACAAAAAAAAGAAAAGAAAAUGAUUUAGUUUUGAUAAGUUCACAUUGAUCUAAAUAAAAGAAAAAAACAAGACUGCUUUAACAAUGACAAUAAAAUUGAUCAUUAAUGAUGAUUCCUCUCAAAUGGAAAUUAUAAAACAAAAAAAAAAAGAUCAAAAUUGAAUUUAAAAAAACUAAUUUUAUGAGAAAAUGCUUAAAUUAAUUUGCUAAUUGUUAUCUUUGUAUGCCAUGUCUUCUAUUUACUACGAUAACACAUGAAAUUUUUUAGAAAUAAUGAUUUAAUUUGCAAUUGUAAAUAAUAAUAAUAAUAGUAGUAAAAAUAAUAAUUUGAGAAAUAUUAGAAAUUGUUAUUUAUUUAGGUUCCUAUGUUAAUUAGGAUUCUUGGUCUAAUAGGAAUUGAAGUCCUAGUGCAAAUAUGAUUAGUUUAUUAUAAAUAUACUUGUUAUUAUGUUGAAAAGUAGAAUGCAAUAAAUUUUUAAUUUUAAUAAAAGUAUUAUCAAUUCUCAAUUGUGUUGUUUCUAACAAAUGGUAUCAGAGUUAGAAGAUUGGGAAAGGUGAAAUGCCAAAUCAAAGCUAGAAUACCAAGGAAUGUGCAAAAUCAUAAAGAAGUUGCAAUCUUAGUGAUGAAAUUAUGGUUGUAAAUAAUAACUCAAUUCAUCCUCAACUCCCAAAAUUCAUAGGUAAGAAUUUUGAUAAUUGGUGUAUUCAAAUGCGUAUCUUAUUUAGAUCUCAAGAUUUAUGAAAUCUAGUAAAUAUUGAUUGCAACAAAGUGACUGAUUCAAAAGAAUCUGAGGCACUAUCAAGGGAGCAAAAAGAUUCAUUGAAAGAUUUUCGAAAGAAAGAUAAAAAAACACUAUUUUGCAAUAUUCCAAGUAGUGGAUGAAUCCAUAUUUGAGAAAAUCUUAGAGGUAGAAACAACAAAAGAGUCGUGGGUUACUUUACAGAAAUUAUACAAAGGUGAUAAAUGUGUCAAGUGAAUGAAGUUGCAAACAUUAAGAGGAGAAUUUGAGUCUCUUCGCAUGAAUGACUCUAAAUCUAUCUCAGAUUGCUUUGAUUGGAUACAAAUCAUUGUUAACCAGAUGCGGUUUAAUGGCAAAAAGCUUGAUGAUCAACGAAUAGUAGAGAAAAUUAUGUGAUCUUUAAGUACAAAAUUCAACUAUGUUGUUGUAACAAUUGAAGAAGAAAAUGAUAUUUUCACUCUCACAAUUGAAGGGUUGAUGAGUUCAUUCUAUUUGCAUGAAUAACAAAUAAAUUAAAGAAUCAACUCUACAAAUUUGGAGCAAGCCUUGUAGAGUAAAGCAUCUAUCGGAGGUCAUGGUGCCCAAUAAGGUGGUAGAGGCCGUGGCCAUGACAAAGGUAGAGAAAGACGCAACAACUUCAAUAAUAAAGAUGGAGAUGGUAACACAAAUUCUUCUUAAGGAAGGGGCAACACUUCUAAACCUAAAGACAAGUCACACAUACAAUGUUUUAGAUACAAAAAGUAUGGACAUUAUAAAUCAAAAUGUUAAAUGAAAUUGUAGAAUGAACAAGUUGAACAUGCAAACACUGUCGAGGUAAAACAGAAUUUGGUAUAGAUCGCUAAGAUGUUUGAUAUCUUGAUAUAUGAUGCAAUAAUCACAUGUGCGGUAAGAAAGAAUUGUUUUCAUAAUUAGAUUUUUGGAAACAAAUUCAAAGUUUCGAUCAUAGACAAAGGUAAUGCUAAAAUAUGUUCUAAAGAUGGUACUAAUGUUACUAUAGCGGAUGUAUUUUUUGUUUUGGAUCUUGUUUAGAAUUUGUUAAGCAUAAGACAAUUAACAGAAAAAUAUCAUUAAUAUCUCUAAUGGAGUUUGCACCCUUAGUGAUAAAAAUAAGAAGAUGAUUGUAAAGGUGCAGAUGACAAAAAAUAUGUUGUUUUCUAUGUUUCUUUAAGCAGAAACUUUAUUUAGCUUAAAGACAACAAUAAAAGAUAACAAUUGGCUUUGACAUCUUCAAUUUGAUUAUCUCAAUUUUCGUGGGGUUGAAGUUGUUAGUGCAAAAGAACAUGGUAAUAAGAUUUCCUAUGAUUGAUAUUCCAAACUGUGCAAGUGAAGGAUGUCUCCUAGGAAAACAACAUAGGAAUUCUUUUCCAGUUAGAAGAUCCAAAAAAGCUAAACAACCUUUAGAGUUAGUACAUACAGAUAUAUGUGAUCCUGGCUAGGUAAGAUCUCUUGGUCACAACAAAUAUAUUUUGAUAUUUAUAAAUGAUUUUACAAGAAAGACUUGGAUUUAUUUGUUAAAAGAAAAUUUUUAGGCUUUUAACAAAUUUAAAGAAUUCAAAGUUCUUAUUGAAAGACAAAGUGGUUGCAAUAUUAAGAUAUUGAGAUAUGAUAGAGAAAGAGAGUCACCUCCAAUGAAUUUUAUAAUUAUUGCAAAAGUCAAGGUAUUCAACGAUAAUUGAAAAAUAAUUAUACACUUUAGCAAAAUGGUAUAGCUAAAAGGAAGAAUAAAACCAUUGUUUAAAUGACAAAAAGCAUGUUGAAGGCCAAGUCUCUUCCAAAAACUUUUUAGGUAGAAAUUAUUACAUGUGCAGUGUUCUUAUUAAAUUGGUGUCUUACUAAAGCAGUAUCUAGAAGAACACCUAAGGAAUCUUGGAGUGACCAUAAGUCGGAAGUUUUUUUUUUACAAAUUGUUGGGUGUAUUGCAUAUUCCCAUAUACCAAAAGAGCAAAGAAAAAAAUUUGAUGAUAAAAACAAGAAGUGUAUUUUCAUUGGUUAUAGUGAUGUAACUAAAGGUUACAAACUAUAUAAUCCAGAAACAAGGAAGUUGAUUAUGAGUAGAGAUGUUCAAUUCCUAGAGAAUGAGAUUUGGACAUGGACUCAAACAUAAAGUGAGGGAAAAGAAGUUAUCCUUGAAGAAGACUUUGUGGAAGACAAUGAGAAUCAAAAGGAUUCUACAACAAAUAUUUCUACUUCAAAGACACUUUCUCCUAUUUGAAGUUCUCCUAUGCAAACAGAAAUAGGGUAGGAGUCUAAAUCACAAUGUUGUCCAAAACGUUCGCAUAUUAUGCCUGCACAUCUAAAAGAUUAUGAAGUCAUGAAAGAUACCAAAAUCACUAAUGAAGGUUUAGUUAACUUUUGUCUAUUUGCAGGUUAUGAUCCGAUUUCGUAUAAAGAAGUAACAAGUGAUAAGAAGUGGAUUCAAGCAAUGAAUGAAGAAAUUCAAUCCAUAGAGAAUAACAAUACAUGAGAGCUAACUAUUCUACCAAUUGGAAAGAAGCCUAUAGGUGUUAAAUGUGUUUACAAGACAAAAUUUAAACUUGAUGGUAAAGUUGAUCGAUUUAACGCAAGAUUGGUUGCAAAAGGUUAUAAAUAGAAGCUAGGUAUUGAUUAUUUUAAAGUUUUUGUACUAGUUGCUAGAUUACAUAUCAUUUGCAUGAUAAUUGCACUUGCAACACAAAAAAUGUGGAAAAUUCACCAAAUGGAUGUGAAGUUAGCUUUUUUUAAUGGUGUACUUGAAGAAAAGCUUUUUAUUUAUUUAUUUUUUAACAACCACCAGGGUAUAUUAAGGAAAGACGAGAAAUAGGUUUAUUGUUAGAGCAACAACCAGAUAUAGUUUGUUUUAUUUGUAUCUAUCUUAUUGUUGUAACUAUCAUCCUUUAAUCAUGUAAGUAGUUAGCUGAUUUUAUGCUAUUUCAAACUCUGUAAUUCAGCUAUAUAAAGUUGCUCUUGUAUUCAUUAUUAACACAACAAUAUAAUACAAACAUUCAUUCUCAUAUUAUCUUUACAUGGUAUCAGAGCCUUCAUUCUAAUUUUCUGAUCAAUCAUGACUUUUUCUCAAAUGAUCCCUUCAAAUUCAAUCUCUUCUUCUGCUCAUCAUACCUUCUCUGUCAAGCUUACUCCAAGAAAUUAUCUUGCUUGGAAAACUCAAUUUAAUCAUCUUUUUAAUUACCAAAAUCUGACUGGGUUUAUUGAUGGUUCAACUGUUGCUCCAUUGAAAACAAUUAAAGAUUUUUCUACUUCUCCUGUUGAGAUUCCAAAUCCAUAAUAUGAAACAUGGUAUAAAAAGGAUCAGAUGCUUCAUUCCUGGAUCCUUUCUUCUCUUUCAAAAGAGAUAUUUCCUUAUGUUAUUAGGUUAUCUUCAUCUUAUGAAGUAUGACAGGCUCUCUCAAGCUUUUGGUUUAGUUUCUCAAAACCAAUAGCUGCAAUUGCACAUUGAACUCCAAGAAUUGAAGAAAAACGAUCUCUCUAUCUCAGCAUAUUUGCAACGUGCUAAAGCUCUAGCUGAUGAACUAAAUGCGGCAGGUCAUCCUCUUGCCCCAACAGAAUUUAAUGCAAUAAUUUAUCGCAAUAUUGGCAGUGACUAUCAUGCCAUUAUCACUGCCUUAAAUCUUCAUUCUGAACCAGUGUCAUUUCAUGAACUCCAUGGUCAAUCCUUAUUGCUCAUGAAAUUUUACUUAAGAGCUCUACUGAUCUUCCUCAAGCAAACAUGGUGACUUGUUAGUCUAAUUCUGCUCCAUUGCUUCCCACUCCAUCUCAGAAUAAUAAUCACAAGAAAUCUUCGAAUUGGAAUGGAAAUCUACCCCGUGGUCCUUGCCAAAUUUUUGGUUAUAGAAACCAUACUGCUGAUCGUUGUCGUCGUCGAUAUUCUCGUUACAACUCUCACAACCAAAAUGCAAUUCCUCAUGCUAAUUACUCUUCGGUUGGUAAUUCUCAAAGUAAUUGUGCAAGUUCUCAAGUUCCUAUUGCCAACUACACUCAUGGAGGUUCCACUAUGCCAUGGUAUCCUGACACAACAGCAAACUAUCACAUCACCCCUGAUUUAGCCAAUCUCAGCAUUGCCCAUGACUAUAACGGACAUGACUAGCUCCAUGUUGGUAAUGGACAAGGUUUGCAAAUAACUCAUACUGGUAUCACAUCACUUCCUUCAUCUUCUAGUUCUCUUUCUUUAAAAAAUGUUCUCUGUGUUCCUCAAAUUGUCAAAAACUUACUUUCAAUUCAAAAAUUUGCCACUGAUAAUUCCUACUUCUUUGAAUUUUAGCCCUCUUAUUUUCUUGUCAAGGAUCAGGUGUCCAAGAAAAUCCUCCUGUAGGACCUAAGUGAAGAUGGAGUGUACACUUUUCGCCCUAAUGUUAAGCAAGCAUUUACAACUGAAGCACCAACCAUGGACGAAUAACAUGCUGCUUUGGGACAUCCUCAACGGUGUAUCGUGUCUAGUUUAAUCAAGCAAUUUCAUUUACCUUGUUCCAGUAAUUCUAGUUCUCUUUGUUUUUCUUGCAUUUUGGGUAGACAUGCUAGACUAUCUUUAGGAUUAGUUCAACAUAAAAGUACUGUUCCUUUUCAACUUAUUUACUCUGAUGUUUGAGGCCUUGCUCCUUUGUUGUCUAGUCUUGGCCAUCGCUGUACUCUUAUUUUCAUUGAUGAUUAUUCCCGUUACACAUGGGUUUAUUUGAUUAAAAAUAAAAGUGAUGUUUAUUCUGUCUUUCUUCAAUUUGAGCAAUUCAUUCAUCGUCAAUUUAAUUAGAAAAUUUUGGCAUUCCAUUCGGACUAGGGAGGGGAAUACCGAAAACUAAACACCUAUUUUAAACAAGUUGGCAUUGUUCACAGACUUGCACGUCCUCAUACUCAUGAACAAAACGGUGUCGCAGAACGGAAAAUUCACCAUCUUGUUGAUACUAGUCUUGCACUUCUUGCUCAUGCUAAUUUACCACUACGGUAUUGGAAUUAUGCAUUUUAAAUGAGCUGUUCUUCUAUUAAUAAUUUGCCCACUCUAGUUCUUAAUAAUUCUUCCCCCUACUUUGUUUUAUUUCACAAACAUCCUGAUUAUUCUACUCAAAAGCCUUUUGGGUACACUAUUUUUAGCACUCCUUGUGUCUAUCUUGGUCCAAGUCCCUCUCACUCAGGUAGUCGUUGUCUUAAUUUAUCAAAUGAUAGGGUCUAUAUUGCUAGGCAUGUUGUUUUUAAUCCUAGCCUUUUUUUGUAUUGUUCUCAUAUUGCAGCAUCUCAAGCUCCAAAGGACUCUUCAAAUUUCUCGUGGCUUCACAUUAAAAGUGUAUCUCCAUCAUCCACGGGUUAUGUUGGAAAUUCAGGUCAAACCUCUACUCGCUCUAAUAUUCCUUUAUUUUCUACCACUGAUCAAUCUUCAAAUAAUUCCUUAUUGUUAGCUCAGUCCCCAUCUUUGACCACACCACCCUUCUUUCACUCUCCUAUCCCACAACAAUCACCCUCAUCAGAUUCAACCACUGAUCCUCCACUAUCUCUUAUUGUUGAUCUCACCCAUUAUCCAGCUCAACUGAAUGCUGUGUCUUCUACCUCAACCUCUCCUCCUCGAAUUCACCCCAUGCAACUUUGUUCUUCCACCAUGCAAAAACAACAUGCUUGUCUUUCCACCAAAGCUAAAAAUUACCUUAUCCCAUAACCACAAACCUUCACUCAAGCCAAACCAUAUGCUGAAUGGCGUGAUGCAAUGCAAAGUGAAAUUAAUGCCUUGCUUCAGAAUCACACAUGGGUUCUUGUUCCUCGACCUCCAGCUGCCAUAUCAUUAGCAGUAAAUGGGUUUAUCGAAUUAAAAAGAAAACUAAUGGGGAGAUAGAUCAGUUUAAGGCUCAGCUCGUUGCGAAGGGUUACUCGCAGCAGCUUGGUAUUGACUACACUGAGACCUUUAGUCCUGUGGUUAAAGCUACUACAAUUCGGACUAUUUUAUCAAUUGCUACUUCUUCACAUUGGCCAGUCCGUCAACUUGAUAUCUUAAAUGCAUUUUUACGUGGUUUUAUUGAUUCAGAUAUUUAUAUGGAGCAACCCAUUGGCUUUCAUGACUCUUCACAUCCAGACUAUGUGUGUAAGUUGUCUAAGUCAUUGUAUGGUCUGAAAUAGGCCCCUCGGGCCCGGUUUCACAGACUCACUUCCUUUCUACAGGACCUUGGUUUUCAAGCUUCAAAGGCUGAUUCUUCUUUGUUUAUACUUCAUCAAGGUGCUCUUAAAUUCUAUGUUCUAAUUUAUGUGGAUGAUAUCCUCCUUAUUUGCUCUGAUUCUACAAAACCGGAUUGAUUUUUAAGUAAGAUCAAAUCAACUUUUCCAAUUCGAGACCUUGGAUCCCUUCAUUUCUUCUUGGGUAUUGAGGCACAAUUUUUAACUAAUGGUCUUCUCAUCACCCAAUGAAAGUGCAUUACUGAUCUACUGGCUAAUUCUAACAUGUCUGAGUGCCAGCCUUGUCAUACACCUAUAUCGACCAGCCCUCCACUUUCCAAACUCUCUGGUGAUCCUUUAUCAAAUGCAGAGCAAUAUUGCCAAAUGGUUGGAUCCUUGCAGUACAUUACUCUGACCAAACCCUUAUAUCUCAUUCUCGGUCAAUAAAUUAUCUUAAUUUAUGCAUCAACCCACUCAAGAGCAUUGGAGAGCAGUUAAGAGGUUAUUGCGUUAUCUUAAGGCUAUUGUUGGUUUUGGUUUGUUCUUCUCCAAGCAUUCCACUCUUGAUUUGUAAUGCUUCAUUGACAGUGAUUGGGGUGGUUGCCCCGAUGAUCGUCGAUCAACAAAUGGUUAUGCAGUCUAUCUAGGCAAAAAUCUUAUUUCAUGGACUUCGAAGAAACAACUAACCAUUGCCUGGUCUUCCACCGAGAGUGAAUAUUGUGCUCUUGCUAACUCUACUGUUGAAAUUAUGUGGCUUCGAUCACUUCUCUCUGAACUUGGCUUCUCUUCCUCAAAUCCAGCUACAUUGUGGUGCGAUAAUGUGGGAGCUAUUUAUCUAUGUUCGAAUCUUGUCUUUCAUGCUCGAACAAAACAUAUCGAACUUGACUAUCAUUUCAUUCAAGAACAAGUCCAACAACACAACAUUCAGGUUCAUUUUAUUUCUUCAGAUGACCAGAUUGCUAAUAUUCUUACCAAACCACUUGGUCAACAUCUAUUUGUUAAGCACCGAGACAAGCUUCAACUUUGUUCUUCUCCGCCUUCAGCUUGACGAGUGGUGUUAGAGAAACAACCAGAUAUAGUUUGUUUUAUUUGUAUCUAUCUUAUUGUUCUAACUAUCAUUCUUUAAUCAUGUAAGUAGUUAGCUGAUUUUAUGCUAUUUCAAACUCUGUAAUUCAACUAUAUAAAGUUGCUCUUGUAUUCAUUAUUAACACAACAAUAUAAUACAAACAUUCAUUCUCAUAUUAUCUUUACAUUUAUAAACUCAAUAAGGCAUUAUAUAAAUUAAAGCAGGCACCACCAGGCGUACAUGCAAAUUAAUACUUAUCUAUUACGACAUAGAUUUCAAAAAAGUCAUUUUGAGCAUACACUUUAUAUCAAAUCAAAUUCUAAUGGUGAUAUAAUUAUUGUAUAUCUCUAUAAGGAUGGUUUAAUUUUUACAGGAAACUGCCAACAUAUGUUUGAAGAUUUUAGGGAAACAAUGAAACAACAAAUUGAGAUGAUAGAUUUGAGAUUAAUGUCCUAUUUUCUUGGAAUUAAAGUCCAACAAAGAGAUGAUGAUAUCUUUAUCUCAUAAAAAAAAUAUACUUUAGACAUUUUAAAGCCAUUUAAGAUGGAAUCAUCAUUAGCAAUCCGUACUUCUAUUAUAGAACGACUAUAGAUGAAGAAGAAAGACACUAGAGAAUUAGUAAAUCUUACAUAUUUCAAUGACAUACUAGGAAUUUUUGUUAUUUAACUUCUACUAGACCAAAUAUUGUUUAUAGAGUAAGAAUUAUUAGUUGAUUUAUGAAAAAACCAUAUCAGUCACACUUCCAAACGACAAAGCGAAUUUUGAGGUAUGUAAGUGAUACUCGUGGUCAUGAAAUUUUCUACUCUUACUCAAACAACUUUAAUUUAGUGGGCUACACAAAUAGUGACUAGGGAGGUGAUGUAGAGACUAGAAAAAGUACUAUUGGGUAUGUUUUUUUAUCUUGGAAUAGGGACAGUCUCAUGGUCAUCAAAUAAGCAACAAGUUGUAGCAUUAUCAACUAUAGAAGUUGAAUACAUGGCAAUUACUUUCGCAACAUGUCAAGUAGUUUGACUUCACAAGAUGCUUAGUGUAUUAAAGUAUGAACAAAAGGGUCUUACAAAGAUUUUAUGUGAUAAUAAGUCUACUAUUGCAUUGACAAAGAAUCCGAUGUUUCAUGAUAGAAGUAAACACAUAAGCAUCAAAUUUCAUUAUAUUAGAGAACUUGUGAAAAAGCAAGAGAUCAAACUUGAGUAUUGUAGAUCAGAAGAUCAAGUUGUAGAUAUUUUCACAAAGCCACUAAAGAUAGAUGUGUUCAAGAAGUUGAAGAUGAUGCUUGGUGUGAUUGACUUUACAAUUCGAAUUAAGGAAAACCGAUAAAAUUAUAAUCCGACUUAAAGUCAAAUUAAAAUAAUUUUAGAAAAUUGAGAAAUAUUAAGAAUUGUUAUUUAUUUAGGUUCCCUAUGUUAAUUAGGACUCUUGGUCUAAUUGGAAUUGGAGUCCUAGUACAAGUAUGAUUAGUUUAUUAUAAAUAGGCUUGUUAUUAUGUUGAAAAGUAGGAUGCAAUAAAUUUUUUAUUUUAACAAAUUAUUAUCAAUUCCCAAUCUUGUGGUUUCCAACAAAUAUGGAUAUGCAUAAAUAAUAUUUUUACAAUAAAAGAGCUACUUUAACCUAAAUCCUUAUUCUUCUUGAAAAUAUUAAAUCGAAAUAAAAAUACUAGAUUUCAAAUAUACUUAAAAUUAAGAUAAUAAACGAGGCCUUUCUAUUAGAUUUCAAAGCGAGAUAAACCCUAAAAAAAAUAAAUCAACAUAACAAGUUGAUCAUUGAAAUACCUUAUUUGAUUUUUUGGCGUAUUUUGGAGAAAAGCGAUAUCUCUACUCAAUAGUACAACCAUUUGGUAAACCAAAAGAUGUUGGGUCUAGACCAAUGACAACAAGCAUUUAUGGGGUCAAAGAAGUUGACAUCCUUGCUUGCAAAGGCAUUAUCAUUUGUGGCUACAAAAUAGAAGUUUUAGGCUCUACCUCAUUCUCUACGAUGGGGGUAUCAGAGUUCGUAUCUCUUAAGAUGGGGUUAUUAGGGUUCAUCUCUCGAGGUUCACCAUCUUAAUGGAUAGAGAGAAAGAAGUGUCAGGGUUUUAAGGGCAAAAAAUUGACAAAUAUAUAACUGAAAUAUAUAUCAAUGACACCAAGAUUUGGACACAUAGUAUUGAGCACACAAUCUUGCAUAUCUAGUUUUGGACAUUAUAGGAAUAGGCAUAUGGUGUUUGGUACAAUCCACUUAUGUUAUGUUUUUAAAUGGUAAAUUAUUCUAUAUUUUUUGGUAAAUUAAACCAAACCACCUUACACUGGUUGGUGACCUUAUAUCCAUAUCAACCAUUAAGAAAUGGAAAAAAAAAAAAAAAGACUUUAUGGACUUUGCCUUAUCUUUUUAUACUCCUAAUAUUUAUAAAAAUAAAAAAAUAAGCAUCUAAAAUUACCUUGUUACCCUUAUCUAAAAUUGACAAAUAUAUAACUAAAAUUUGUAUCAAGGACACUAGGUUUUGGGCAUAUAGUAUUGAACACAUAGUCUUGCAUAUCUAUUUUUGGGCAUAGAAAGAUUAGGCAUAUAAUAUUUGGUACAAACCCACUUUGUUAUAUUUUAAAACUUCAAUAUUAUAUGAUUAGUUAUAAAUUAACUUUUUAAAAGAUUUAUAAAAUAUAUGGAAAAAUUAAAUAAUUUAAUCAUAAUGGUCUUAAUUUUAAAUUUUGAAUAUAAAAAGUAUGCAAAUAAAUAAUUAUAUAUGGGUUGAGCCAUAAGUCUUUUUAUCAUGAUAUGUUAAUUAUAUGGUCAAGUUAAAAAGGGUUGUGUGUAUUGAAGCUAGCCUUCAACUACGACAUGACUUUUAAUAAACAAGUUAAGUAGGUAGGGAUGCAUAUAACACAAACAUUAUUUACCUUAAUCAAAACUCAUUAAUUUUGUGUCAUUUCAAAUAUGUUUGUAGGUUAAACAAAAAAUUAUGACUUAUUUAUAGGUUUUGUGAAUUUCUCUUCUAAUCCUUUGUCUUUGUUUUAGGCAUGAGAAUGCUUAUCACAUCCACAAUAAGUAUUAAAAAAAAAAAAGGUGGGCCUCCUAGUCUAACCCUUUAAAUGUCUUCACCCACCCUUUAGCACAACCAUAGGUUAAGACAACAAAAGCUCAUUGAGAAUGAGUGUCCCAAUUAAAUCUAAAUCUCCAUCUACAAUGAAAAUUUUCUCAUGUAAAACUUGGUUCAAGAAUCCUUAAAUCAACUUGGUUAUAAAUUUUCUGAAUUCAAUUUCUUAUGAUCCGAAUCUUUCAUUGAUUAAUUAUUUAGCAAUUAAGAUUAUUAAAAUACUUUUUUCUCAAAUAACAUGGUAUCAGAACAUCAAUCCUAAAACCCUAGUCUCAAUAUGCAUUUCCUAAAAGGAUGCAGGAGCAAUCAAAUAGAUAUCAAUUUUUGUCUAUUGAUAUUGAAAUUCAAAAAAGAUAAGAGGGAAGAGUUCUAGAUUGUUCAAUUUUUCUUGAGCAUGGAAAGGGAUCCAUUCUUUUUCAUCACUUGGAUUUCUUCCCUGUGUAUCGAUUCAUGUUUGAAAAUUAUGUGGUGGAAAUCCUGGUCAUUAAAAGUUAUUUCUGUCUACUUUGAUUUCCUAACAUUUUUAUUUGUUGGUAACAUGCAUGACAUGUAUAGUUAUUCUUGUUCCAGGCCUUUUGGCUUUUGGACAACUCGCUACUUGAGGAUUUUCAGGGGUACAAAUUAUCAUUCCUGUAGUUGCCAUAUUGUUUUAUCUUGCUUUGAUUUUUCAUUUUAAUCUUUGUUUUCAUGCACUGAUGAUUUCAGCUAUAUAUGGACCCUUGCAUCGUUAACAUCUCGGAAAAUGAAUCUCUCUUGAAUGCAGUGAUCCACAAAGCAUUGUCAAAAUUGGUGAAGGUACUUACAGUGAAACUUUCAGGGCUGGUAAAAUUGUCUGCAAAAUGGUUCCAAUUGAUGGAGAAUUACUAGUGAACAAGGAAGUACAAAAGAUGUUUAGUUAUUUUACCUUAGUUGCAUCUUUUUUUUUUCCCAGUUAUUUUUUAGUGUGAGAAGUUAUUUAGAGGUGGGGGGGAGGAAGGUUUGUCAAGUUUCUGUGGCACAAUUGUUUUCUCAAUAUAGUUUGUGGUUUUAUGUGUGCCUAAGCAGUUAGGUGAUGCUGAACUAGCUUCCAUUCAGCAGGACACUUAUUAGGUUGCAGGGUACAUGCAUAUGUUAACUUCCAUUCAGGAGUGUUAAAGCAUGGACAGUCGAUCAUGCUUUGAGUGUCUUAGUGCCUAGUUUUGAAGAAAAUCCUAUCUCCCAGGCACCCACCAUUAUCAGCUUUGGCUUGUUAGUUACUUUGUAUAGACUACAGUUCACCUUUUGCUCAUCCAGUUCACAUCCUUUGUGUUUAUACAAUAUGUUUCUUUACAGAAUUUAAAGUUGAUAAGCAAAUAUUGGAAGAUACUUUUUGCAGAGCUACCCUUUUAUUUAUUUCUUUAAUUAAUGGGGUUUGGUUGGGGAAGGGGAUGGGUGUUCUGGAUUGUGGAGUUGGUUGUGUUAUCUAGCAACCUUGUUUAGUUCCUAAGCAUGUGGUUUUCUAUGCUGGAGAGAUUAGGUGAAUUGCUUGAGGAGGCCAUGCUUCCCCCAACUCUUAAUCAUUUAUGAGGAGGUAGAGGUCACAUUAACAAUUCCUGUACCACCUUCAUAGAAACACUAGAGUAUGUUUCCCUUGUGAUUUGGUAUAACUACCUAGAGCCAGUUCAGGAUAAAUAUAUAUAUAUAUGAAGUGUCUUUGCUUUAGUCAUAAGAAUAAAGAAAGAAUGUCUCGAGGAAUUGAAGGAAAUUUAGUAAUGUAAUUGGAAUAAUAAACAUACCAAUGCUUUAUAGAAGCUAAAUGUCCAAUUACAUGCUACAUAAAUUAAAGCUACCGACUUAAGGCUUUCAGGUGAAACAUUGAAAUUCACUACAAGCUUCAAGGAUAUGAUAUCCUCAUUAUUUAAAAAUACUAGGAAUAUUCUUGAGAAAUAUUAAUCUUAUCAAGUAAGGCUAAAAUACGGGUACAUUACUCUAAAAGUUCCAAUUUACUUUGGCAAAUUAGGGAUUCAAUCUCUUCGUAACUAUUACUAAGAAGUUCAACUUGUUCUUUGAAUGUUCCAAGUCUUUCUUCAUUACUUACCAACGUGACUAAAGAGACUCACAAUUUAUGUUUGGUCAUAUCAUCCUUGGAUAACAUCUCAUCAACAAAUUGAGCAUCAAGAGCUGCUCUUAAGAAUCGCUAGUCAAAUUGUCCACAAUUGAGAGAGCUUUACUCAUAUAUGAAGUAGAGAUUGCAACACCAAGGAUGAUAGAGAUCUUGAAAUACUGAUAGACUUAGGGCAGAAUAAUUUUCAAGUAGAUCUUGAGCUCCACCAAGGAAAGGGAAACGAAUCACCAAGGGUGAAACAAAAUAUUGUUAGACUUAGGAUAGAAUAAUUUUCAAGUAGAUCUUGAGCUCCACCAAGGAAAGUGAAACAAAUCAUCCAAGGUGCAAAACGACCAACAAGUGGUUGAGCCAACCAAAGUCUUGUAAACUAGCAAAGUAUUCUUUUUACAAGAAUCCAAAGAAUCUUGAAAGAAAAUCAUCUUUGAAACUAAUGUGGUUAAAUGUAUUUACAUCCAAUCAAAUAUAUUCAAAAUUUACUCACUUUUACACAUUCAAAUAUGUAAAGAAAUUUUGGAGGAAUUGUAAAAUGGUAAAAAAAAUUUACUACUUAGUGAUUACCCUGUCUAAAAAAGAUAUGUAAUAAAAAAUGCAUAUAAAAAAAAAGUAAUAGCACUUAUAAUUCUAUCAAAUCAAAUUGUGAUGCAUAUCUAUGACCCACACAAAGGAAAACAAGUUGAUUUUAAAUUAAACAAAGAAAUAAGAAAUUUGGUAAUUAAAAUAUAAUUACCAAAAUAAAUAAAUAAAUGGUGAAUCUAAUAAGUGAAAAAGUAAUUGUCCAUCAUUAAUAAAUUAGAAGGUAUCCAAAUGUAUUUUCCAAAGUUUCAUAUAUAUUUUGUAUUUUUAGUUAAAUAUCAUAUUUUAAGGGUCAAAACUAUCCAAAUUAUGUUUAAAAAUAUCUCCAAAUCUACUUUGAUUAAGGAAUAACAUUUAUAAGGAAUAAGAAAAACUAUUCAAAUAUAGUAAAAUCAUGAUAAAUAAAUUUUCAUUAAAUUAAUAACAAUGUUUAAAUAAUAAAAUUUUUUGGUUUCAAGUUGGAUCAAUAUACUAAAUUAAUAACCUUUUUAAAUGCAUAAAAUAAUAAUUUUUUUAGAAAUAUUUCAAGAAUCAAGGAAAUAUAAAUUAAUAAUUGAUGAAGUACAUGAAAAAUAGUAAAUAAAAAUUCAUAAUACCAACUCUUUAUCAAAAUAUGCAUCUAAAACCGUCUAUCCUUUCUUUGUAUUUAAACUAAAUUCAACUUAAUCCUUAAUUUUUUGUAAUUCAUACACUAUAUUUUUUUCAUGUAUAGGUAGUAUAGUAAAAAUAUAAUAUUCUCUCUAAAUUAAUAAAUAUUCAUUUAUUAACAAAUCAAUAACUCUAUUAAAAUAAUAAUUUCUUUUGGUUUUAAUAGUAUUGUUUAUGGGGAUUUUAAUAUGUCUCUCUUAUACCCUAUAAAUAAAGGGUCUCUUUAAUCUACAAAAUUGAACUAAAUACGAGUUUCACACUUGAAAAGAAUUAUGGAAAGCUCCCCUCAAAGACUCAAAAAGUUUUUUAAAGCCUUUAAAGAUUUGAAGGGCAAGGUUCAAGAUUCUAGAUUUGAAGAUUUGAAAAUUUUGAAUAUCAAGUUCGAAACUUUGAAGAUCAAGUUUGAAGUUUCAAAGAUUAAAAUCGAGACGUUUUCAAUUCGAGAUCAAACAUUUAUACCUUGAGUUAAUGUGAUCCAACUAAGGUCCAAGUCCAACCCAAGGCACUCUAAGGUUCAAAUCCAAAUUGAAGAUACGCAAAAAUCUAGGCCUAGCCCACUACACACCAAGGUCUCAACAUAUUAAACUCCAAGCUGACACAUCAAAGUCUAAGCCCAAGCCAAGACAUGCCAAGGUCUAAUCCGAGUUAAGACUAAGGUGGUGUUUGUUUUUUUGGCUUUUUGUUAAAAGUAAUUUGUUUUCAGAAUUUAAGAUAUUUGUUUUUCUAUUUUUUCAUGACUUAUUAUAAACUUUUUACUAAAUAGAAAAAGCUAAAAUAUGUAGCUUUUUCUAAAUAGAAAAAAUAACAUAUAUGAUUUUUCUUUACUUUUUAAUACUUAAUAAAAAUAAAAUACCAUAAAAAUAAACAAUCUAAUAUUGAACACUAUUAAGCAUUAAGGUUCUAUUUAGAAUUAAGUAAAAAAAACAAACAUCAUCUCAAUCAAAUUUAUUAUAAAAAGAAUUUUAGUACUUGUUCCUAAAAUUAACAAAUUUUCAAUUUGACUACAAGUUUUUUUUUUUUUUUACAAAAAAUUGUAUUCAAUAUAAUUAUAAUAAUAAUAAUAAUAAUAAUAAAUGUUACCUAGAUAUUUUUAUAUUUAAAUAUUAACUAUCUUUAAAGUAUUUUUAACAAAAACAUUAUUUAGGGUCUGCCAUACCUCCCCUUUUUUUACCAAUCAAAAUAUGACACAUGUAAAGUUUACAUUAAUAAAAAAUUGAAAAACACCAAUACUACAAGUUACCAACCGGUUAACCAUGUAUUUUAAAAGGAAGCAAUCUCAUACACCCAAAAUUUAAAUUAUCUUUACAACAACCAAUUAUAUUAUUCAACAAAUUAUUUUAUAAAAGUUGUAAAAUAUUUAAAAUUUUCUAAAAUAAAAGUUUCCACUUAUUUUAUGAUAUAAAGUUAUAACAUUAGGACGUUGUGAAAAAAUCAUUUAUAAAUAAAUUAAAAUAAGUAUUUAUUGUUAAAAAUUAUUAUAGUGAUCAAUCAAUUACUAAUUGAAAAUUGUAUUAAUAAUUUUUUUACUUAUUAUAAUUUUAAUUUUUUUUAUGGAGAGGUUGGUACGAGUGUCUUCCAUUUUUGUAUUUAACUUUAAUAUGUUUUUUUUCAAAUAUUUCAUUAAUUGUAACUCAAUAAAGGUAUUUUAUUGUUAUUUGAAAUAAAAAAAUCUUAAAAUUAAAAAUAUAUAUAUAAAGGGUGCGAGAAAUAUGGGAAAUGGUACCAAGAAUGUGAGACCCUCUCUAAUUUUGAAGCUUAGUACUUAUAAAACUAUUUUGUUCAUAAUUUUCAUCAUUGUAAGUGUAACUAGUAGGAACAAAGUAUAUUAUUGAUAUUUGAAGUGGAGAAAAAAUUCUUAAAAUUUAAAAAAGAUAGAAUAGUUUGUAGGGUAAAAAGAAUGUGGGGAAUGAUAAGAAGAAUGAGAGGAAUCCUUAUAUUCUUAAUACUCUUUCCCACAUUUUUUGUAUUCUCUCCAAUUUUGAUAUUUUUGCCUUUUAAAUUUAUUUUUGUUCAUAAUUUUCAUCAAUUAUUAAGUGUAAGUAGUAUGAAUAAACAAUAUUAGAAUGAGAAAAAAAUUCUUAAAAUUAAAAAAAAAAAAUGAAAAUUUUGAAAGGUAGAAGAAGUGAAGAUUCUUCACAUUUUUCGUAUCAUUCCUCAUAAUCCUUACCCUUUCCAAUUUUGAAGUUUUUUACUUUUAAAUUUUUUUUGUUUAUAAUUUUCAUCAAUUGCAAAAUGUAACUGGUAUAAAUAAAAAAUAUUAAAGCUAUUUGAAGUGGAGAAAAAGAAUUCUUAAAAAAAAAAAAAAAAAAAAUGAAAAUUUUAGAGGUUACAAAGAGUAUGGGAAGUGUAUGAAGAAGGUGAAGAUUUUCACAUUUUUCAUACUCUUCCUCUCACAUUCUUCUUAUCAUCUCCAAAAUUUUAGUGUUUUAUUUUUUAAAAAGAAAAAUUAGAAUAUUUUUUUAUCAUUUAUAAGCCUUAUUAAUAUGGGUAAACAAUAUUAUAUCAUUUUCAAGUGGGAAAAAAAAUCUUAAAAUUGAAAAAAAAAAUGUAAAAUAUCUAGGAUACAAAGAAUGUGGGGAAGGAUAUGAAAAUUUUAAGGAGUCCUCACAUUGUUCAUAUUCUUACAUUCUUUGUACCCUAAAAAAAAAAAUUGAAAAUUGAAAAAAGUGUAAAAUAUCAAGUGUACAUAGAAUGUUGGAAUGGUAUGAAUAAUGUAAAGAUUCAUCACAUUAUUCGUAUUUUUCCACACAUUUUUCGUACCAUCUCCGAUUCUUUUAGUAUUUUAAUUUUUUAAGAAUUUUUUUAUCAUUUAUAAGUCUUAAUUAGUAUGAAUAAACAAUAUUAUUGUAUUUCUAAAUAAAAAAAAAUCUUAAAUUUUAAAAAAGUAUGAAAUAUAUGAAAUGCAUACCUUUCUCACAUUUAUGAUACCCUCCACAAUUUUUUAGUGUUUAAUUUUUAAUUUUUAAUUUUUACAUAAUUUCCACCAAUCCUAAGUGUAUAUAAUUGGUGUUUUUAAAUUUCAGUGAGUGAAUUUGAAUUUUUAAUAAUUUGUUAAAAAUAAAACAAUGUGAAUGAUAUGUGAUGAAAUUUUUAUUUUUAUUAAGUAAAUAUGUUUUAUAAAUUUUAUAUCAUUUUUAUUUUUAUUUUUAUCCAAUUCUAUUUUUUAUCUCAAUAUUUAUGUGUUAUUUAUUUCAUUCCUAUCCAUUAUCCAUUUAAAACUAAUCAUUCCUAUUCAUAUACUAUUUAUUUUAUAUAAACUCAAAUAACUAUUAUCCAUUAAAUUUAAUUAUAAAUUAUGUAUUAUUGUGGACCCCGUAUUUUCGUGCUCAACGCGUUUCACACUCGAAUGGCGAGCUCGAUUUUUAUUUGAAAAAUUAUUUUAUUGAAAAUGAUUUGGAGUCGCCACUUAUUUUUGUUUUAUUUUUAAAGGGUAAACAACAUAAGAAAGAAAAACCCUAAAUAUGACUCAUUGUUUUGGAAAAGGUAGUCUGUGAAAAACCGGAUCGGGUUCGGGGGUCAGGUUACUUAUCAGGAAGGUAUGGUAAAGACCGUAGCACCCCUCUAAGUCCUUAAAGUCGGGUCUCUACUAAUAAAAUGAAGUUGACAUGACAACCAAUGAGAAAGUCAAUGAAAACUCAAAUUGAUCAUGCACGUAUGAGAAUAAAAACAUGAAUAUAAAGUGACCAGAGUGAGAAUAGGUGUGUACCUAGGCAACGAACCGUUAUGCGCUAUCAAGAGAGGGGGUUAGCGCACAAUUAAAGAAUAAUCUCAUGCAUGUCAUAGAGCAUAAUAAAAUUAAUCAUGUAUGAUAAUCGGAUCAAUCAAUCAAUCAAUCAAUCAAUCAUAAAUUCACUUAUGUAAGGCCCCUACCAAAGCCCGUUUAUUUUAGCAUGAAUUAAUUUCAUAAAUUCUAUUAUUCGGAAUUACGGAAUUUAUUCUUUGCUUAUUUUAAAACUUAUUCAAAAAUCAAAGAAGUUAUGAAAGUUGCGUGCCGAAGGGAAAUGGCAGCAAAUUUUAUUAAAAACAGGAUUUUGGAACCUAAAAGAAACUUAAGGAUGAAAAAUGGGAGAGUUGAAUUUUAUUUGAAAAUCGAAAUUUGAAAAGUUAUUUACAAAAUAGACUUUGAAAAAUGAUUUGAGGAAUAAGAGUGGGAAAUCAUUUAUAGGAAUAAAAUAAGGAUGGAAAGAAUAGAAGGGUGGCACGUGACAUAAAGGUGUUCAUGCAUAAUGAUGUCUUGCACGUGGGCCCGAGGGGCAACUGAUGUAGCUUGUGGGAUUGAUGAUAUCAGCUGAUAUAUUCUCUGACUUUCCCCUCCUGGCGACCACCAUAUAAACCAUGCAUGCCUUCAAGCAUCUGGUAUUUGCUUCACAAGCAUAACAGAUGCAGCACACACCGUCGUCACCAUCUUUUUCAUCACCACAGACUAUGCUCUCCACUUCCCAUGACUUGAUUUGGCUGAUAAGGGGACUCGAGAAUUGUUUUAACUGGGCAAGUUUAGCGAGACACGUGUCUCCUAAUCAUUGGUCAGACUUUUGUAAAAUGCGGCAUACUCUUCUUUAAUAAUCUCCCCAGAUUUCCUCAUCCAGAUGGUCAUUUGCUCGUCGACCAAGGACUACUCACGUGAAGCUUCCUUGAUUUUCUUCUUCAAAAAUUUCCUUCUCAGUGGUCUUUCCAAUCCUGUGACUUCCAGAUAUACUCUUCAUCAUCAUUGUGCUUGGUAGCGACGAUCACCUUCUCAAACACCAAGUAAGCCAAGUAGAAUCCUAUACCAAACUGUCCAAUCACGUUCUCGUCAAUGCCAGCAGCUGAAACUUCCACAAACUCCUCAUGCAGGCUACAUGGUGUGAAAUACGGGCGUAAAAGGUUUGGCAUAUAUGAGUACCUUUAGGGAACCGGGUAGUGAGAGAAAUGGACGGGUGGGCAUUGGAAGGUGGUGGUGAAAUUAAGAUAGAUAAAUUGUAGGAGAUGGGCACGAGGAAAUGAGAGAUGAGUUGGGUAGUAGGCACACUAAUGGACAAGGUGGAUAUGGAUGACGGGAGAGUGAGAUUGUGGGUAUGGUGAGAACCCUUGAGAGCGAGGAAAGCAGUGUAUGGAACCACAGUGCUUUUUCCAUGAGUUUCGAUGGGUCGGUAUGAUGAGCAGGAGUCAACUAUCCAUUCCUUUGUAUACAGCCUGUUUGUGAUACACGGAUUGAAGGUAGUGCUCUCAAAGACUAUAGACGAUAACCCAGAAAGACCUGCAUCGGAUACUCACGUUGAAGGCUCAUGCUCCGCAAAGGGACAAACCCCAUUUGGGGAUUUUAUAAUACCAAUCCAACCACGCUUCAAGGAUGAAACCGCAGACUUCUUCAUAUGAUGCAUCUUCAGGAAAUUAGCCCCGCUCCCACUGAUCCAAAACUGAAACUGGAUAAUCAUUAAUUUCUUCAACUCUUUCAGAGCAAUGAAACUGAGACUUUUGCAUAAAACCCAGUUAGCCCAAUCGAAAGAAAAAUCAAAGGCUGAGACACAGUUUCCUCGAUUGCACAAACUUUGAGAGCAAUAUCUGUCACGACCCAAAUUCCGGGCGACCCAAAAUUUGACCCGUGAUCCCAGGUCAAAGGUUUGACCCUAAGGGUUCCUCCUAUUCCAUGUUGGCAGUCAACCAAAACACUCUGGAUUUUUUUUUUUAUACAUCUCACUAGAAUUCUCAUAAUUUACAAUAUCCCAAAACUACUCAAAACAACAAGAUUAAAUAAAUAUUCAUUAUAGUCCAAAAUAAAAGUUCUCAAUUAACAACUUAAUCAAAUAAAGCUUCAUAGCAAAUCCAUGAGUCAUAAUUGCUAAAACAAAUCCCCAAAAUCCAAAAAGAAACACAAUAACAAAUAAAUGUCACGCUCCACUAGGCCUCUCCAGGAGCAUCCUGAAGUCCUCCCUGUCCCACCUGUGGAUCCUCAGGAGAGAUAUCUGCAUCUAAAAAGGUGUAACAAGGAAGGGGUGAGCAUUUCCACAUUGCUCAGUAGGGUGCCUAACACCCAAGGGGUUAAAGGGAUUACUAAGUUCAAAGAAUACGAAAAGAACACUUCAACACCACAGGAACAAUUCAACAGUGUCAAUCAAACCACAUAGUUUAAUAUAUAUAAUUUUAUACCCAAUUUCACAAUAUUCAACAAUUACAUGAAUGCACAUGAACGUGUGACACACAGUCAUACAAUGCACUAUUGUUCUCGGGCUUUCACCGAAGGAUACGCGUCCGCACCCAAAUACACUCCCCAUUCGGAGUCUUCCCGGGGUAAACUUUUGGGNNNNNNNNNNNNNNNNNNNNNNNNNNNNNNNNNNNNNNNNNNNNNNNNNNNNNNNNNNNNNNNNNNNNNNNNNNNNNNNNNNNNNNNNNNNNNNNNNNNNNNNNNNNNNNNNNNNNNNNNNNNNNNNNNNNNNNNNNNNNNNNNNNNNNNNNNNNNNNNNNNNNNNNNNNNNNNNNNNNNNNNNNNNNNNNNNNNNNNNNNNNNNNNNNNNNNNNNNNNNNNNNNNNNNNNNNNNNNNNNNNNNNNNNNNNNNNNNNNNNNNNNNNNNNNNNNNNNNNNNNNNNNNNNNNNNNNNNNNNNNNNNNNNNNNNNNNNNNNNNNNNNNNNNNNNNNNNNNNNNNNNNNNNNNNNNNNNNNNNNNNNNNNNNNNNNNNNNNNNNNNNNNNNNNNNNNNNNNNNNNNNNNNNNNNNNNNNNNNNNNNNNNNNNNNNNNNNNNNNNNNNNNNNNNNNNNNNNNNNNNNNNNNNNNNNNNNNNNNNNNNNNNNNNNNNNNNNNNNNNUCUCCCGCGUGCUGCACUUUUCCAAUUUUCACCCUUUUCCUUUUUUUUUUUCUUUUUCUUUUUACUAACAGCCCAGCCCACUUCACAUGGCUUUUUAAAAAAAACCACCAGCCCACUUGCUCCAAGCCCAACUCAAAAACUAAGCCCAAUCCAUUAUUAUUGUUAUUAUUUCUUUUCUUUUAUUUUCUUUUCUUUUCUUUAUUCUAAUUGUUUUAUUUAAUUUCCAAUUCAUUUUUUUUUUCAUUUUAACACACAAUUUUAUUUAUUAACACCAAAUAAAAACUAAUUUUCUUAAUAUUAUUAUUCAUCAAUUUACUUUAAUUAAUUAAUUUAUUUUUCUUAAUUAAUUCUAAUUAAUCUUAAUUUAUUUAUUUUUCAUUUUUCGUUUUCGUUUUUCGUUCCCGUAAAUUUCCAAUUUCUAAAAUCCUAAGAAUUUUCUAUCCUAAGGCUGACAUGGCAUAAAAUUUCAACUCGUUUAAUUGACCGACGCAAUAAAACGAAAUUCACCAAUCCGAAAUUGACACGUGUUCUCCAAACGCUUUUCUUUUUGACUUUUCAACCAUCACAUAAAUUAAGACUUUUCAAACUAAAAUUGCUAACGUGGCAUAAAAUACCCGGUCAUUACAAUAUCAGUGAUAAACCUCCGAAGGACUUGCAGAGAAGCUUCAAAAAUCCUCCGUCAUGUCCAUCUUUGCAAGUCACCCGAUAUAGUAACCGCUAAUUCAGAGGAGAGCCACCAAGCGACUCCAUAAGCAAUGAGACAGCAUUUACUCAAAUUCAGGAACCGAACUUUUAUGAAAUCCCAAGGCCAUGAUAGCCAAACCCUUAUUCUUGUAGGUGUAAACAGCCACCGAGAAUAGAGAAUAAACCAUGAAAGGGACAAGCAUAAAGAAAAGAAGAAAAAGAAACAGAGCAUCCAAUGGAUGGGUGGGAAGAAUCAGAUGAAAGCAAGAUCCAGGAAUAUGACACAGACAAACAAAAAGAACUAAAGAAGAGUUAGAUCAUUCUUAAUCAAAUUUCAUAUGAAGAACCAAACAUGUGUUAUGCAUAGCACCAUAACCCAGAAGAUAUCAAUGACGAUCAAAGCAUGGUUUGGCGAACAUACCUGAGAAAACUCCUUUUCUCUCUCACUCUGCAGCUUCAAGAAUCUCACUGGAGAAAAGAAAAUCUCCCUCAAAAGUCUCUAUCUCCUAGCUGAAAAUAUCUCCUCCUCCACAGCAAAAAGGGCACCUCCCCUCCCUAUCUGCAGCCCAAACUCAAAAAAAAACCUCUCUGCAACUCUCUUUCUCUAAAAAGCUCCUCUCCCACAGCUGAAAAAACACCCUCUCCCCCCAAAACACCACCCCCUUUCCACCUGCAGCUGGCCUGCUACUCUUCAACAGAAACGCACUCCUCUCUGAAGAUCCCUCCCCAGGUGUCAACCAUUCAUUGGCUCCUUCAACUCCACUACCUGCUUCACUGAAGGCCAAUUACGAGGUGACACGUGGUUCCUUGAGAUUGUGACACCUGUCCAAAGUUAGCUGCAGAAAAUGAGCCCCAAACGGGAUCUACAAUUAUCCAUUUAAAUCCACCCUUUUAGAAUCAAACAUCAUAUUUUAAUUAAAUAAAAUUUAAAUUUAAUGAAAAUCAUUUAAUAACAACCGGUUACUCCCUUAACCGGUCAUAUCCUUUUUUUUUUUCAUUUUUCUUUUUUCAAAUUUAAAAUGGAUGGUCAAGAUCUAAUCUUGGACUUCCAACGGAUAAAAAAAAGUUUCGGUACAGUACCGCAUUCGGUACUGUAGAAUUUUCCUUAACAAAGUCUACUAAAUUAAAAUGACUUCCUUCCAAUGGGACCUCUACGCGUUUUUUCUGGUUUCUUAUAAAAGGCCCGAUAAAUCCAAGAAAGUAGUGGAAUUCCAGUCGCCACAGUCACCAGUUGCAGAUUGGCUAUGUCCUCCACUUCCACCACAGCCUCAACUACGGAUCCAGCUGAACGGUCUCGGCGUUCGCUUGUGUUGCUCUGAUCCUUCCACCUUCGACUUCCUACUUCCAUCUUUACUGCCAGACUGCCAGUACCAAUCCUACGCACCGUCUGAAACAUCAGCACUCCUUAUGUCAUCACACCCGGCUGAGACCCAGCUGAUCCCUUUAUUUUCGGUUUCAUCAAAUUAAUGAGUUUGGAUCAAAUCAAUCCCAUGCUCACCUUGGCUGUCUAUCUUUCUUCCUUCUUUCUUCAAUUCCUCAUCUCCAUGGCCGGGGAUGAGUCUCCGCCUUAUAGGCCCACUGAUAAUAUUCUCCUCGACUGCGGCUCAUCCAUCAACACAAAGUCUCCUGACGGCAGGACUUGGCAAGGUGAUCAAGGGUCAAAAUUCUCUGGAACUUCUGAUGUUCAAAACUCAUCCUCAUCAUCCAAAGCUUUCCGGCAAGACCCAUCGGUCGACCAAGUUCCAUACAUGACCGCUCGUAUCUUUAACUCCUCGUUCACAUACAGCUUCCCUGUUUCAGCCGGACCCAAGUUUGUCCGCUUCUACUUCUACCCAACUGCGUACUCUGGCCAUAAUGAAUCCGAGUUCUUCUUCUCCGUCACAUCAGGGGUGUACACCCUCCUAAGCAACUUCAGCGCUUCUCUUACAGUUGCUCCUAUGGGGUCCGGAGUAUCUUCCCUUGUUAAAGAAUUUUCCAUCAACGUGUGGGACAACCAAAUACUCAAUAUAACCUUCUCUCCAUCCCCAAACUCCUGGGCCUUCGUUAAUGGUAUUGAAGUCGUUUCCAUGCCAAAUCAUCUCUACGGACAAAUUGACCUUAAAUUGGUUUCCGCGGUUCAGCAAUUUGAAAUGGAUAACUACACAGCCCUUGAAACUGUUUAUCGUUUAAAUGUUGGUGGCAAUCAUAUCCCGGCGGAAGCAGACAGUGGAAUGUUUCGGUCCUGGAGUCAGGAUGACUCUUACAUAUACGGAGGAAAUUUGGGGUUGACACCUAACCUGGAUAUCCGCAUACAAUACACUCAGACGACACCGCCUUACAUUGCACCACGUACAGUCUACACCACUUCACGCACCAUGACUAAACAAGAGGAGAUAAAUAAGAGAACCAACUUGACGUGGCUCUUCCAUGUGGAUUCUGGGUUUUAUUAUCUUGUUAGGCUUCAUUUCUGCGAGUUGCAAUUGGAGGUAACCCGUCCAGGUGAACGAGUUUUUUCUAUAUUUCUUAACAAUCAGACAGCUGAAGAAGAAAUGGACGUCAUCGUUAGGAGUGGUGGCACAGGAUAUCCAAUUUAUCAAGAUUAUGUUGUUUAUUUGUUAUCCGAUGGCAGCCGAAGGAAGCAGGAGCUGUGGCUCGAUUUACAUCCUAAUGCGGAUAGCAAGUAUGCUAACGUAAUAUUAAAUGGAUUAGAGAUGUUCAAGUUAAAUAAUUCCAACGGUAGUCUCGCAGGACUCAAUCCUGAUCCGGUACUAAAUCCUCCUCCCUCGGAACAGCACCCAAACUCCCCGGUAAAGCCCAACAAUAGGGCGCCACUGGUGCUGAUAACAGUCAUUGUAGCUGCGGUCGGCGGAGUAGUCGCACUCUCUCUUCUCUGGUUCUUGGUUCUCCGACCGCGGAUGAGAGUGAAACACGUUGGUGGCAUCAGUCGGGCAAAGUCAUCUUGGGUCCCAUUUUCCUACACGACAAGGUCCACAAGCACCAACGGCUCGUCACUACCGGCCGAUAUCUGCCGCCACUUCUCCCUUGCCCAGAUUAAAGACGCCACAUGCAACUUCAACAAGAACUUCAUCAUCGGCGAGGGAGGGUUCGGAAACGUUUACAAAGGCUUCAUCAAAGGCGGCUCCACCACGGUUGCGGUUAAACGGCUGAAUCCAUCAUCAAAACAAGGUGCCCGCGAAUUCGAAACAGAGAUCAGAAUGCUGUCCAAGCUCCGCCACAUCCAUCUCGUGUCUAUGAUCGGUUACUGUGAUGAAGAAGGAGAGAUGAUCCUUGUCUACGAUUACAUGGCUCGUGGCACUCUUCGUGAUCAUCUUUAUAAAACAAAAAACCCUCCACUCCCAUGGAAGCAACGCCUUCAAGUCUGCAUUGGGGCGGCGCGUGGAUUACACUACCUUCACACAGGCGCGAAGCAUACAAUCAUUCACCGGGACGUCAAAUCCACCAAUAUCCUGUUAGACGAGAAAUGGGUGGCCAAGGUUUCGGAUUUCGGGUUGUCUAGAGUAGGCCCCACGAGUAUGACCCAGACCCACGUCAGCACAGCAGUGAAGGGCAGUUUCGGUUACGUGGAUCCAGAGUAUUUCCGGUUGCGGCAGUUGACGGAGAAGUCUGACGUGUACUCGUUCGGAGUGGUGCUGUUUGAAGUGUUAUGCGCUAGGCCGGCGGUGAUUCCCGACGCUCCAGAAAAGCAGGUGUGUUUAGCAGAGUGGGGCCGGAGAUCUUAUCGGAAAGGAGCCCUAGUUCGGAUCAUGGACCAAAAUCUGAGGGACGAGGUUGCGCCAGAGUGUUUGAAAAAGUUUGGGGAGAUCGCUGAUAGCUGCGUGCGUGACAAGGGAAUCGAACGGCCACCAAUGAGCGAUGUGGUGUGGGCCCUUGAGUUUGCACUGCAGCUCCAGGAGACGGCGGAAAGGAACUCCCAAAUCAACAGUGGGGAUGAGGUGUACAUUGGUCGGGUUGGAAUCAAACCGGACGGCUCACAACCGAGCCCAAUUACUGUGACACGUGGAGGUACCAGCACCAGUGAUCACGAUGACCUGAUCUCAGUGUCAAGCUCAAGCACUACCGUCACGUCUAGGGUGAGCACUAGUCAAAUGAGCGUCCCCAGUUACGACCACGUCAGAUGGGUGUGCUCUGAGAUAGAUAAUACAAAGGGACGAUGAGAUCAGCCCGGUCAGGUCAUGCUCAUGGAUCUCACAGCAGAGAAGGGUAGUCAGGAUUAGGUGUCAGCUGAGUCAACUCGUAGAGUAGAGUAGCUUCUACCCCGGUUUAUGUUGACUUAGACUUAAAAGUAAUGAUUAAAAUAUCACGUAAAAUGAAACGCAGAUAUAGAUAUAUAUAUAUAUAUAUAUAUAUAUAUAUAUUUUAUAGGUUAAAAGUGAGUCAAGUCGUUUACGCGUUUAUUGAUAUGUAGACGUGAGAAGUUGGUGUGUGAAUAAUGGCCUACUUCGCUUUCACGCGGAUGGGAAAAUGGUGGCCAUGGAAGACCACUUGGGUUGCUGCUUUGAAAGUGGAGGUUCAAAUAAUGCACAUUAAAAAGGAAAAUGAGAAGAAGUGGGAAAGGAAAAGGAUGUAAAGCGACAAAGCGUAGCUUGAGAAUUUCAUGGUGUAUAAAAAAGAAAAAAAUAAUUAUUCCCUACUUUGUUAAAGUUUGCCAAUUUUCUAAACAAGAGAUUAUAUGCAACAAUUUCUCACAAAAAAAAUGUUAAAAAAAAACUAUGAAAAAGAAAACAAGCUAUUAUGGUAAAAUAAAAAUAAAAAUGAGGAGUUUAAUAAUUUGUUAAUAGAAGCAAUGAGUUUAAUUUUUUAAAGAAAUUUAUUAAAAAAAUGUAUUAUGAAUUAUGCAAAAAUAAUAAUAAUAAUAAUAAUAAAUGUUCAUAAAGUAAAGAAAAUAAAUAUUAUUUCUUAAAUUAAAAUGAUAAAAUAUUAUUAAUCUUUGAUUGCUCUUUAUUUAUAAAAAUAUUGACAGAAGUGGAUUCUUAUCAUUAUGUGUUUAAUUUUGUACAUUUUUUUCAUGAUUUUGUGCAUCUCCUUUAUUAUUCUCAUUUUAUAUUUUGUCAUUUUGUAUAUUUUUUAUUCUUUUUCUUAAUACGUUUUCUCAAAUCGGAGUGGCAAUAGUCUGAAAACAUGGUACAGACAUCUUUUGGCAAACACUUGAUAAAAAUAUAUAUCAAAUUAUUCUUUUUUUUUUUAGAAUUGGAAUCCAUUAGAGGGUGAAGUCUAUUCCCUUUAAAUUGAAUUUUUGUCUCCUCAACUAUUAUGACCAUGGCUUUAUUAUCCAAAUAAAAACUUAUGCAUACUCUAAAAAUAUUUUCUCUCAUCUUUUUUAAUACUAAUUAUUGAUUACUUAUAUCUUUGAAGAGCUACUUUAUAUUGACUAAAAGAAGGGUAAGGUUGUUUAGUAAGCAUAGCAAGUGAAAAAAAAAAUUCAUAUCUUUAUCCUAAGCUAUGAGCGAAUUGAUAAACUUUGUCUUGGUUUAAAAUUGGUUUUUGAUCGCAAAGAAAUUGUCACAAAUGUGAAGAUUUUAGCUAUACCAACUAAAGGUAAAACACCCAAAAGAUGGGGUGAAUUGAGCGUUGAUAUCUUUUUGCAAAUUUAAACAAGUUAAUUUAGAUGAAUGUAAGAAACAAAUGAACAACAAUAUAACAUAUAACAAUAAAUGAAACAAUUGCAUAGAGUAAAUAGAGGAGGGAUAGAGAGAAUGCAAAAACAAGAUUUUUAUUAUGGUUUGACGUAACCCAACCUACAUCCAUUUUCCUCAAACUCCAAUCGAGAUGAUUCGAAUUCCACUAAUUUAAAGCUUUUAAAGCCAAAGCCUUCAAACUUUUUGCUCUUGGAUUCCUAGUUCUAAUGGAUCUUCCAUAAGCCUCAAGAGAUGUCUCACUCUUGAACAAUCCUUCAAAUAAUACCCUAAACUUGAUAAUUCAUAAGUGAUACCUCGCAUUUGGAUUUCUUUCCUCGAGUGAUACCUUACACUUGAGCUCACUUCAUUAGGUUUAUAAGAAUUGAAUUUUCAAUACAUGCAAAUUCCUAGUUUAUAAAUUUUUACUCAAGGAUACAAAAAAACUAGAAUUGAUUAGGUGCACUAAGAAUGGAAUGUAAGUUUAAGCUCAAUGCACUCAAAAUAUGUUCCUAAGGCUCAAGAGAUGAUUGAAUAAUAGUUUGGAACUUUUCUCUCAUUUAUAAACAAAGUAUAGAACCUUAUAUGGGAGCUAAUGGUCAAAUUAGUCGUUAGAAAUAAGCUUCCCAGAAUCGAAUGUCCACUUGGUCAUCUAUUUACUAGCAGUUGAAGGCUAAAAGAUAGAAAUGGACAAUCAGUUGGUCGUUCACCUUGCCAUGUGGACAGUAGCUAAAAACCCUUCACUAGAGCAAGUGGCCGACUAGGUGGACAUCAACUUAAAGGUGUCCAAUGGACCAGGUUGCCCAUUUUGGCCCAUGGCCCAGCAGGCCAAAAGGCUAGGCCAGGCCGACACAACCCAACUACUGUAGCGGGUUGGGUUGGCAUGACCCAAAGGAGCAUGUAGUGCUGGGCCUAAGGAGAUGGCUAGUUGUGCCAUCAUAUCGGCCCAUUUUGAUUAAAAAAAAAAAACCAAAUUCAAAUAUGAUUUUUUUUUUACUAUUUUUAAAAACAAAAAAUUAACAUUUCUAUAGAUUUUACAAUUACAAACUUAAUAAAUAUAAAUAUAAAAAAUAAAAAUCAUAAUUAUUAGAGAUGUUUAAAGUAACAAAAAGAAAUUUCAUUUAAUAAUGAAAAAAAAUAAAGACAAAAUGACUUAAAAAAUUAAAUUAAAAAUUUUAACAAAGUCAGUGGCCCAUGAGUUGUGGGCUGCUGGCACAGCCCGUUAGCAUGACCUAUCGACACGACACAACAUGACAUGAUUGGCACGUCACAACAUGACACGAUUGGCCCAUGAGCUUAUGGGUCGUGUUGGGCCACCUAUUUGGUUUACAUAAGUUGGCUUGGCCCGAUACGAUUUUUAAGUGGGUGGUGUUAGCCUGACACGUUGACCCAUAAUGGCUCCCUAAACAUUGGGCCUUGGACACCUCUACAUCCACUUGGCCUCUAAUAGAGGAAGCCCAAAAACAAAGCAUCUAAAUGUUGACUUGUGCUCUUUUGACAUAAGAUUCUAGCUUUAUGUUGCCUACUUCAACUAGUUGUAACUUAUUUGUUUCACAUUCAAUUCACACUUUGUUUGAAGUGUUGGAUUCUUAACUUUGAGUUCAAAUUGACAUGUGGCUUGCUCCAAAAUCAAUUUGGUCAAUUUUUCAAAAUUGACCUCAAAAUGAAAAAAAUUGACCUCAGAAUGAAAGUAUAUGCAUCUACCAAGUUUUGAAAUCUAACUCUUGUCCAACUUAAAAUUUCAAACCUCUUUUCUCUUAUUUGUUGAACUUUAUAUCUCUUUCCAUGAUUUUCUCUUCUCAUUUCUUGUGCUAUGCAUUGCUCCAUUUGCAUUUAUUGCAUCUUUUUAUCCUCUUAAACUAUUUCUUUGUUCUUUUUGAGUUCCUCUCUUGUUCCAUAUAUUUUCUUUUUAAUGGCUCCAAAGAGAUCUUCUUGCCUUUCACACUUAAAUAUAAUUAUUAGAACCAAACUUUGUUUUGUUAUCAUCAAAAUAUGAGAUUAACCAAAUAUUGGUCUAACCAUAUGUAUCUUCAAAGUCUCUUAAAUAUUCUUCAAGAAAUCGUGAACUUUUUUAUUUUUAUUUUUAUUUUUUGAGCUAUCAACUUACAUUUUAUAUAUAUAUAUAUAUUCCCAACUGUAAUAGGGUGCAAUUGCUUUUUAAGAGAAGUUCACACCUCAUAUAUCAUGUUAACACAAAAAUCAUACUAGAAGCAUCUUCUUUCAUGGUUCUAAGAACUCAUGAAGUGAGAAAUCCGUCAUUAUCGAUCCAUAAUUGAUAUUACAAGAUAGGACUUUCAUUUUCCUCAUCAUUCUUAAUUUCUUCAAUAGGUUUUUCCCAACUUAAGAAAUGGCAAAGAACAGUGACACCAUGAAUUAAGAGGAUGAUUUGAUUUUCUCAUAAUAGGAAAUUUCUGGUUCUUGACUUGAAUAAAAUCAAACUAGGAUAAGACUUUUGCUUCCCUCCUUAUCCCUAAUUUUUUUAGCAUGUUUACUUAAGACAUGAUGAAGAAUACCAACAACACAAACUAAGGGGAUGAAUUGAUUUCCCCAUAGUAGAAAAUUUGUGUUGUUUAGCUUGAUUGAGUCAAACUAGAAUAUUGAUGGGAGGCUUGGAUAUUAAGAUCAAUUUUUUUUUUCUUUUCAAAAAGGAAAACAUGAUUUUUGAGCUAGAGGUAAAGCCUUUUUAUGACAUUUGACCUCUUUUGGAGAAGGCUUGAAUUCGACUUUCCUCUCCUAACUCUAAUAAUAUGAAGAAUUUAAUAAUUUGGCAAUAAAAUCAGUAAGUUUUAUUAAUUCUUUUCAAAAAUAUAUACAAGAAUGUAUUGUCAAUUACACAAAGAAAGAAAUAAUAAAUAUUUUAAAAUUAAGAAAAAUAAAUGUCAUUUCAUAAAUUAAAAGAAUAAAGCAUUAUUAAUAUUUGAUCGCUCUUGAUUUAAAAAAAUAUUAACUAGAGUGGAUUCUUAUCAUUAUGCACUUGAUUCUAUGUGCCUUGUUCAUGAUUUUGUGUAUCUCCUUCAUUGUUUCCAUUCUAUGUCAUGUCAUUUUGCGUCCUUUUCUAUUUUUUUUUAAUAAAAAAUAGACAAAAAAAAAUGGAUAAGAUAUAAUAAGAACAAAAUAUUUGAAAAAUUAUGACAAUUUUUUUCUUUUUCAUUCCAAAAAUGUUUAAAAUGAGUUUUAUUUCAUUUUAAGGGACUAAUUAUUGUUAUUUUGAGAUAAUGAUUAAAGUACCUUUAUUUUACCAUUUUUAUAAAAAUAAUAAUAAUAAUAAGUAACUUAUCUUAAUCUAUAUCGAUUCAAUCUCAAUAAUUAUUAAAAUAAUAAAAGAUAAUCCAAUUUUUUUUUUAAUUGUAAUGAAAAGGAUAAAAAAAUUAAUUAAAUUAUUUCAAAUUUUUAUUCUUUGAAAUUCUUAAUUCUUUACUUAAAAAUAUCCAUAAUGUUGUAAAAGAUUGAAAUUAUAUUUUAUUUCUCUUUCAUUGUAAUUUUUAUAUUUCCCUUCCCUUAAAGUUAUUGUGUUAAAAAUUGUUUCAAUAUAAUAAUGCUUCAAUUUUUUUUUUCUUUUCAUUAUGUAUAUCUAUAACUAAAGAUGUGAUACAAAUAUUCACCAUUUUGUGGACCCGUAUUUUUCAUGUGCAUUCCUACUCGACAACAAAACUCAUUUUUUUGGUUGAAAAACUAUAUUUUUUUUUUAUAAAAAUUGGAGUCACUACUUCUUUUUAUUUAUUUUUAAAAGAGAAAAUAAAAUAUAAAAGAAAAACCUAAAAAAAUGACUCCUUAAGUUUUGAAAAAACAAGUCUUUGAAAAACCAGAGUUUAGAUCUAGGAAUUAGCUUACCUAUUAGGAAGGUACCAUAAAGGUAACACCCCUCUAAGCCCUAAAACAAAGGUUUUUACUUACUAAGUUGAGGAAAACAUGAAAAUUAAUUGAUGUAUCGAGGAUAACAAGGAAGGCCAAAGCUGAUUAUCUAACAAUAUGUUAAACAAGUCAAACAAUCAUUUUAAGAUACAAGCAUACAUGAAAUAUAGUGUGUGUACCUGGACUACCAUUCGAAGCACUAUAAUAAAACAUCAAGGUUAGUUCAAAUAACAUACCACACAACAUGCAUUUCCUCUUAGUCAAAGGAUCAAGCAACAAUCAAAGCAACCAAUAACAAUAUUAAACACGAAGAUGUUCACACAUGAAACAUGCAUAUUUAUAAAAUUAAGAAACAAAAGGUGAGAAGCAUACCUGAAUAACAUGAAUUAUUUAGAAUGUGCUUCCAUAAGAUUAAGAAAUAAUAUGACAAUUCAUGAAUUAGUAAUUUACUAAACAAAGGAAUCAAUUCAAAUAAAGCCUAUCCCAAGUAAUAGAACAUUUUGUCUAACACGAUAAUCAUCUUUGGAGGUAGUGAAUGGAUUAUUUCAUCUUUAAUUUCAUCCACAAGAUAAGUUGGAUCACCAUCAUUCUUUUUUAACUCCCAUUUUUGCUUUUAAGUUUGCUUUUCCAUUCUUUAGAGUCAAUAACUAGUGCAACACUAGCUAUCACAACAAAAGUUGAGUAUUUUACAAGAAAGUGGAGUUACAAACCAAAAGCAGUUCCUUAACAAAUGCAUUUCGAUCAAUCUGAUCAUCAACUAAUGUUGCCUUUAGUUGUCCAGGUUUAUUGUUACAACAACAAAGGUGUUCCUUAUAUGCUUUCUAGGUAGGCAUGACAACCAAGUGGGUUGGAGACGUUGGCCCCAUUCCUAACCUCAUCUUGUUUAUUCAAAAUAUUUCUCAUCCUCAUUCCAUUUUAAAAAUUAAACGAGGCGGGACAGAAUGAGGCGAACAUGUGAAUUUUCCAUACCUGCCUCGUCUCGCGCUGUUUAUUAUUAUUAUUUUUUAAUUUUUUUUUUGAAUUACAUUAAAGUAAAUACAUUUUAUAAAUAGUUAAAAUAGUAUAAUUUUUUUAUAACUUAUUUUAUUGAAAAAUAUUUAUUAUUAUUAUUAUUAUCAUUACUAUCAUAUAUAUAAAAUAGAGAAAUAAAAAUUAAAUUAAAUUAAAUUUUAAAAUGAAUUUUAUAUAUAAUCGAGGUGAUGUGAGACAAGGCAAUGCCUAAACCUACCCUGAACUCGUUUUAUGUUUUAAAAAAAAAAAUCUCAAACUCGCCCCAAAUUUGUUUAUUUAAAUUUGAAACCCAUCCCAUUAGGGGUGGAGUGAGGUAGGUACUCGAAAAAACUCAUCCCGUCACCAUCGUUACUUCCAGCUAUUGAAUGUUGAUCUAACGACAUUUUGCAUUCCAAUUAUAUACCCAUGUUAGCAUUAUGGCAACAUAGAGUAGGAUAACAAUCACAAGAAGAAAAAAAAAAGUUGUGUCAAUACAUGUUAGUCUCAUCCCAAUAUAGAGAAGGAUAACAAUAAAAAAAAAAAGAAAAAAAAAAAAAGGAAGUUAUUCUUAGCGUAGAUUAAUUUCCUUUACCUAAAAGAUAAUAUACGUCAUUAUUAUCAGGAAAUAUUAAAUAAUAAAAUUAGUGAAAAGCUAUUAUGACUUAUGAGAAUAUAAAAGCUUGAUAGAAAAUUAUAAGUUAAUGUAAAAUUAAUUGAUUGUAAGUUAAUGUAAAUUUAUGUAGCAUAGCUACUUCAACAUAUAAUUCAUAAAUCAUGGUAACCAUUUUCAAAUUUUCCAAGGUUUAUUAUGUUAUAAAUAUGUGGAAACUUGUUUCUCCCUUUUCAAACCCAAUACCCAUCUUUGAGCAAGAAAACUUGGUAGUGACAAGCAGUGAGUCUUGACAUCCAACAACUGUGGACAAUUACCACCACCAAUGAGUUUUGACAUCCAGUGAUAAUUGGAGGCCACCAAUAGUGGCUAUAUCUUCUCACAAAGGUAACGAGUUUUUAUAGAUUUCUUUGAUGCUAGUUGGUCUCAACGUUUGCUCUUCGUGAUUUCUUGCAAAUAAAGUGAUAUAUAUUUUCACAAAAAUUCUAAAUCCUCCAUUUGGUGCAAAAGUGCAUAGAGGAUGCCAUCAAAUGUGUGUGUAUACAUCACAUAUAUAGCCCUACAAAGAGAUGAGCUUGUCCAAUGUCAUAAGUAGAUCAUAGAGGUGUUGGUAUGGGGAACUAAGCCUUAUUAAUGUUUUUAGCACUAUUUUUAAAAUUGCAAAGAGUAAAAAUGAUAAUGGCUCUUUAAUUAAUUAUUUUAGUAGAUAUUUUUUGGAUUCUUUUUAAGAUCUAUAGAUGGGUAGUGUGGGAAGGAGCAAUAGAUAACAACAUUUAAUGGAGAAAGUUUUAGAUUUCUAAUUAAGAGAGUGUUCGCUUUGUUGUCCCUAUCAGCUAUAUGUGUGACACGGAAAUGCUCUUUAUUAAUGUAAUAGUUUGGUUAGAGCUCAAGUAAGUAUUAAAUUUGAAUUUAGGACAAAGCAAUAAGGUGAUUAAUAUUUUAGUUGUAAUUGAGCUAUAAAGUCAUGUAAAAGAUGCUUGACAACAACCAAGCACUACAAGAAAACAAUGAAAUUAUCACAAGGCUUUAGUAGGGGCCAAAAAACACCUUAACUAAAGAGAAUUUACUAUUGCAAUCAUAGUUUGAUCACAUAUGAAGGUCUUGGUGGAAUGCAGGAAAGUUACCCGCUAAGGUUUACAGCUAGAUGGAGAUAUUAUUUUUAUGGUCCUAUAGUUGCAAUCUUAAAGUCCUGCUAUUAUACAGUAGUUUUGGACAAAUGCACUGUAGAUAUAGGCCCAUUAUAGUCACCCAACCCAAGCUUGCUACCAAAAAGGUUCAUGUAAAAGUAAGCCCUAAACCAUCUUUAAAUAACUCAAUAGCCAAACCCUCGUUCAAGCCAAACCCUCAUCUCUACUUCUCUUUAACUCCGGUUCUUCAUCAUUGAUCAUCAUCGUUUAGGCCAUGGAGCUCAUUUGAUGAAUCCAAUUGAAUUCAAAACUCUGCUUUUUGAUUGAUUUCGCAGAUUUUAUUCUUUGAAAAUCUUUUAUAAAAGGCUCUUAGAAGUAAUUUAGUUGAUUUUUUACUCAAUUUUUAAUGUGGUUUAUGAAUGAUUUUUUUUUAUUUAUUGUUUCCAUGCUUUAUCUGGUUAUUGAGAAAGUGUAGCAAAGGAAAAAAGAAAAGAAAGAAAAAUAAAACUUGAAAUCUUAAGACUUUGGUUACACCUUAGACUAGUGGAAGAUUCCAAGUUUUUGUUUACUUUUCAUGUGUUAUUGGGAAUUCAAAACACCCGAAGAAAAAAAGUUUUGAUUCCCUUGUUUUAGAAGAUAUAAUGCUUCUAUAUUUCAAAGAUGAAUUUGGUUUGUUGUUGACAUGAUAUUUUUGUUCCCAAAUUCAAAAUUAUCUUAUUUUUUUCUUAUGUCCUUAUGGAAUAUGUUUGAAUUAGUCAUUCUUUUUUUUAGUUCCCCUAUUUUUGAAGGUUUAGACAUUUGGCUUCACUUUUCAAUGUGUCAAUCAAUUAUCUAUUUUUUCACUUUGAUUAUGUUUGGUUGGUAAGAUUUGAUUUGAGGGGGUGGGGGGAUAGGAUUUAAAAUUCCAAUCCCAUGUUUAGAUUAUGACCGAAUAGGAAAUAAAGAGGGAUUACUAACCUGAAGUUAAUUUUUAAUCCUUUCUUUGAGGGAUUUAAAAAUCUCAUGUGUUAACAUGGGAUAUUCUUAUACAAGGAUUUAAAAAUCUCAUCUCAUUUCCUCUUAACAAACUAAACUCGAUACAAGCCAAGAUUUGCCAUGGAUGAGCUUUAAGCAAAUCAGAUGAUUUUUGAAAGAGGGUUAUGUUAGGACAUUAUAUUUUGUUUUUGUUGUUGGUAAUUUUAUUCCUUUUCCUUGUGGCAUAGGAUCUUUUUAGACAAUGACUUAUUCUUCAUUGAAAUUUUGAGGUUAUCGUUUAGUCAAUCAGACUAUUACAAAUAAGUUUGAUAAGGUUUGAGUAGAGACAAAUUAGUUUUUUUUUUCCUAAUAAGGUAGGGUUGGGUUAGAAGUUUUAAAAUUAAUCUAGAAUGUCUUAAUUAAUUUAGAAAGAAUUUUAAAUUGAGAAUUUAAAAAGAAAAAUCUUUUCAAAUAAUAAAAAUAAUUUGAAAAGGCAUUUUAAAUUGAGAAUUUAAAAAAAUGGAAUAUUUCCAAAUCUUUAAAGGAGUUUGGAAAAGAGAUUUGAAAAAGAAUUUAAAUUAAGAAUUUUAAAGAAGAAAAAAUUUUCAAAUGUUUUUGAAUUUAAAAUACGAAAUAUUUUCAAAUCUUUUUAAAAUUCUUAAGUUUCUAAAAUUGUUUUUAGUAAAAUAUGAUUUCUAAAUUGAUUCUAAGUCUACUAGGUUUUCUCUUAUAUAUGCCUUACCUAAAUGUUUUCCAAGGAUGGAUGCUUUGAGAGAAUAAACUAUAACUUACCCUAUCAUUCCCAAACUUUCUUGAGAAUUCAUCGAUUAUAUUCUAUGUUGUUAGAAAGACCUGCAUCCAUUCAAAGGUUAAGGCAAAUCCACUACAACAUUGGAUGUGCGAUGUUAUGGACAUGGAUCAUGAUAUAAGUAUUGAAGAGUAAGUCUUUAGGAUAGGCAACUAGAUAAAUUUAUUUAUCUUGUUUUCAUAUAGUGGAUUAUCAUUUUAGAGGUCUUAGACCUCAUAAUUUUUUAUCUCCACAAUUAGUAUGAGGGUUUUCUAUGUAAAAUUGUUUGUCUCUUUUGUGAUUGUGUUUGAAUUGGAUAUUCUUAUUAUCAAUCAUAAUUUAAUUACUUUCAAUUGGCCUAGAUUCCUCUCAUAGGUUAUUUUGGGUUAAUAAAUUCAACUUUUGUUUUAAAUUUUUAAUUUCUACCCAUUCAACCCCUUUUAGGGGUUACCUAAUUGAGACAAAAGUUUUUCAAUUGGUAUCAAAGCAUGCUUUUAAUAAAAAUCAAUUUUUUCCUUGAUCCUGCAAGUCUAGUUUGAAACAACCAAAAGUGGGAUGUUCCAUUAAUAGUCCUUUAUUUUUUAAUGGGGAUAACUAUUCCCACUAGAUGGUUGGAUAAAAUGUUUCCUAAAAAUACAAGGAGAAAAGGGUUUGGAAUGUAGUGGAAUUUGGAUGGGGACCCCCAUUAAAAUUAAAUGUUAUUGGAAGAUUAACUAGUGAAUUAAAGCCUAAAUAAGAGUAGGAUAAAUUUGUAGAGGCUAAUGCUUGGGCUCUCUACAACAUAUUUAAUGGAGUUAGUCCCAACAAGUUUUGUAGGAUUGCCAUAUGUAAAUGUGCUAAAGAAGCUUAGGACAUACUUGAGAUAGCUUAUGAAUGUACUUCAACGAUGAAAUUGUCUAAGAUUCAAAUGUUAACCUCCAAAUUUGAGAGCAUAAGGAUGUAAGAGGAUCAUAUCUUCUAUGUAUUCUAUUCUAAGCUUAGUGAUAUUGUAAAUUUUUUUUCUUUUAACUUAGGAGAGAGGACCCCUGAGUCUAUAAUUGUUAGAAAGAUUUCAAGACCCUUUCUUGAAAGGUUUAGACCUAAGGUCACAACCAUGGAGCAGAGCAAGGAUGUCGAUUCUAUGAGAUUCGAUGAACUUGUUAGCUCUUGACAAACCUAUGAGAUGACACUUCCAUAUUCUCAAAAGCCUAAAGAAUUAGCUUUUAAGGCUUCUAAGAAUGAAAAAAAAAACCAAAAAUUUUGAAAAUGCAAAUAGAGAUGAUUUUUUCAUAUAUCUAAACAUGUUAAUGAGGCCUUAAGAUUUUAAAAAAGGUCUAAUAGAAAACAAGACUCAAGAAAGGGAAAAAGAUUUGGUAAAUCCUCUAAAGAAAAUGACAGGAUAUUUUAAAGGGAAAGAGGUUGAGUGCUUUAAUUGUGGAUGUUUGGGACAUGUUUUUACUAAUUGUUCAAGUCCCGAGGAUAUUAAAAAAUAGAUGCAGGUUACUUAGAGGGACGUUAACUCUAAUAAGGGUGACUCCAUGACUUCUAAGGAUCAAAUAUAUGAAUAGAAUGAUUUUUUAGCUUUGUUGCAUCUAUUGAAUCUAUGCAUGAGACUGAUAGUGAGCAUGUUUACUGAUACAUAGAAUAAUAGCUUUCUUAAGAAUAUUGUUGUUGAAUAUCAAUGCUUGAUUGAGAAAUUCUUGAAAGUUAAUGAUGUUAUCGACUCACAAAAAUAUGAGAUUAAUUUACUUUGUGAAGAAAAGAUUAAUUACAUUGAGAAAUUUCAGUUUCUUAAGUUAUAGUAUCAAUCUCCUUGAGAGAUGAUAUUUUAACUCGAGAGAUUGAAUGUCAAAAUUCAUCUUUAUCUUCCAAUGAGGCCUUUCACCCUAGGAUUGAAGUGUUAAAUGAUAUUCUUGAUAAAUGUAAUUCCCAUGGAAAGAAGAGAGGUUUGGGCUAUAUUAAGAAAAUUGAGACUCCCACUAGUGGAGACACAAUCUUUGUUAAGGGUAAGAAGGAAACUCCUAACCAAGUAGCCUUUCCUAGCACUCCCUUACUAUGCACCUAUCGUAAAAAGUAUGGACACACUUAGAGUAGAUGUCAUAGUAGACUUGAUGAGAGGUAUGAGUCUCAAUUAAAUAGGCUAAUGGGUUGUUAAAAGGACCUACAUCCUCUUAAAGGUUAAGGCAAAUUAGCUAGAGCAUUAAAGGUGUUGUGUCACAUAUAUGGAUCAUGAUAUAAGUACUGGAUAAUAAGUUUUUAAGAUAAGCAACUUGAUAAAUUUGUAUAUCUUGAUCACUUAUAGUGGAUUAUUAUAUUAAAGAUCUUAAAUCGUAUGGUUUUUUUAAUCUCCAUAAUUAGUGUGAGGGUUUUCCAUGUAAAAUUGUUUAUUUCUUGUGUGAUUGUGUUUCAAUUGAAUAUUCUUAUUAUCAUACAUGAUUCAAUUACUUUAAUUUGACUUAUACCCCUCUCAUAAAUUAUUUUAUGUUAGAAAUUCAACUUUUGUUUUAAAUUUUUUAAUUUCCAUCCAUUCACCCCUCUCUUGGUGUUACCCCAUUGAGACAAGGAUUUUUUAAGUUGCUUGUCUCUAACCACCAAUGAAGCUUUGGAUGGUUGAAGGUAAGUGUUUGGUUUUCGAGAAUCUUUUAUUAAGCCUUUUAGGGUUGGUUUCUUUUUUUUUUCUUUCUUGGAUUUCACCAUUUUUCAUUUGAUGUACAUUUGGAGAUUUUCAAGUGGUGCUCUGUUUGAGAAUUGGUGUUCUCUGUUUGAGAUUUUCAGGUGGGUCGGCUUGAUUUUUGGUGAUUUGAAGUGUGAAAGGAAAACUGCUCAAGCUUGUACUCUAUAAAUUAAAUCCAUGGCAUUUUUUUUUUCUUUUCGAUUUUACUUUUCUCAUCUUCUUAACUAUAUUCUGGAUUGGUUUGGUACAUACAUAUAUGGAUGAGAAUUGACGUGAAAGGGAUAAAUUAAAAGUUUAAUAAAAAUAAAUUUUAAUUUUAUUAUAAUGAUUUUUUUUUUUUUGAUUUUUAAUAUGUAAUAUAAAUAAAUGGGAAAUUAAAUUGAUUGUUUAUUUAUAUUUAAUAUUCUAACAUUCUAAACAUACCGUCUAAGUUUGUCACUUUUCUUGCCCCAAAAAGAGCACCCAUUCUUCUUAUAAUAAUGUUGGGCAAUUUAAUAACCACUUUGCUAAAUCCCCUACUAGGACAGUGAAUUAGUAAAGGUAAAACAAUCAUCAUUUAAAAUUUGAUUGUCCUAAAUAUGGGGAGAGACGCAUCAAUAUAAAACAAAAUCGGGAUUUACUAUUUUAUUCAAACAUUUGAUAGGCAAACUAAUUAUUCCAAUAACAAAAAUCAAUUUGAUUUAAUUAGAACUUUUGAAGAUGCAUAUUUAAGACUAUUUUUCAUUCUCGAAAGUUUGAGAGAAAAUGUAAAAAAUAAAAAAUAAAAUUAGAUUUUAAAUUAAUAAAUUAUAUUUCUAUCUCACUUCAAAUUUAUAGAUAAUUUAUUAUGCAUAGAUUUUUUUUAUUUAUUUUAAUUAUAUUUGGCUUUCCAAUAGUAAAAUUAAAUAUGUAAAAAUUGGUAACUUUUUUUGCAUUUACAUAAAUGCUAUGCAGAGGCACAGGUUAGUAAUUGCUCACAUCUAGCCCCCAAAUGGGAGCCAUACCCUUACCAGAAAAACUAUUGGAAAUUCGAAUCUUCAUACAAGAUGGGGAGAUAUAAAGGUAGAGUGAAGCCCUCUUUUGUCCAUUCAAGUCUUACGAUACUCAUACCCGACAAAGCAAAAAAAUCAUCCUUUUAACUUUAUGAGUGGGUCCAAUUACUUUAAUCUUUAUUAAAAAGCAGUGGUAACAUAAUGGAAUGACACUCGCAUAAAGGCCAGCUGACGUUAAUAGCCCCAUCAUAGGCUAUUUAUGCUUGAUUAUAUAUCUCUUCAUGACAAGAUCGUUCAGAUAAUAUUAUUGCAUCAUGCCUAACUGGACUAUAAAUUGAAUCUGAUUAUAGACUUUCUUAAAUUCUUUAUCCUAUUGUGACUUAGGCUUUAUCCAUGGCUGCAUCAUCCCUAAAUAGACUUACAAGACUCUCCUGGCCCCUCAACAACCACAUCAUUUUAGUACCCUGUUACUGCUAUAUUAAAGUUCGAUGUGCUUCCUUGUGGUGAAGAAGGGCCUGCAACUAGCAAGAAUAAAGUAGAAGAGAAUGGGAUAAAUGAAAAAGAAAGUAGGGACAUUAAAAGCUAAGGGACGGGGAAGGGCGUAGCGAAAGAGCAACUUUUUGUGGGUUUGGCCCUCUCGUGAUUGGCUUUUCUCUUACUCGUGAUGAGAUUAUUUUAAAGUGUAUUUGGAAUAGUAGUAAUUUUAGGAAGUGUUUUUAAUUUUUUUAUCUUUAAAAGAUAAAAAUUUUUAAGUAUUAAAAAAACUAAAAACGUUUUUUUAAAUCAUUAUCAAACACACUUUUAUUUCACUAUUGAUACUAGGAUACUAUUUUCACACCUCGGCUAAAACCCAAAUGAAAUAAGUUUAUAAAUGGGAUACUUUUUCAAAAUAACCCUUUGUCUUUUGUUUUUGUUUUGGUUUUUUUUUUCAAGAGAUGAGAAAAAUGACCUUUUUUAUAGACAAAAAUACCAUCAUUAUAUUUAAUCUCAUAUCGAACCUUUCCAAAAAACAAUAUAAGAAAUAGUUUUGUCCAUUAUGAGAUUAUAUUUAUGAAUUCAAAACAAUGGAAGCUACUUUUAUAAAAUAAAGAUUAUUUUGACUUCUUUAGUCCAAGUAUUUCUUUAUGAAUACUUACUGAGGUUGGUAGAAGACUAUGAAUGAAAGAAAUAAUUAAUUUUUUGUCCGUACACAAAUCACCGGAGAUCACCAAUAAGGAGCUAAAACUGUUGAAGAGAGCCAAACCUUUGCUAGCUAGAAAAGCAUGAACAUGAAAUUAGAAUCUUGGCAUAUUAUAUUCUCAAGUGUCAUGGUGAGGUCUUUCCACAUCUAAAAAGCAUAGAAUAUAUCUAAUAAUGUAUCCUUUUAACUUUGGGGUGCUUUUUUAGCAUGAGCUAC